AUAAGUGUGGAGGUUUCCAGGCCAAAGAAAUCAAGAAGCGCGACGGAGAAAGAAGAUGAAGAUGAAGUUUUAGUUAUUGAAGGGAUUGAGUAUGAAGAAAAUCAAUUAAUUAAGUUCGAUGUCCUCGUCAACGAUGAACCUGAUUCACCUGGUGGACCAGACAACUCCGAGUUUGCAGGAAGUUUCGUCAAUGUGCCUCACAAGCAUGCAAAAAAAUCAAAGACAACUAUGGUAUUGGGGAUUACAGGAUUGUUGGAAGAUCUGGAAGCUGAAGGAGAUGAUACCCUUGUGGUGACUUUAGUGCCUCGGUCUGGUGGUGAUUCUGUUACCGUUGCUAAUGUCAAGAUUGAGUUUGUCGCUGACUGAUCAUGGUGAUGAGAGGACAUAUGCUACCAUUUUCUUUUCUUUUUUUCCUUUUGCCUUUUCUUGUUUUUUCUCUUUCUAUGUCAGUAUUCAGUGAGUUUUCUCUUUUUUCUUUCAAGAUGCUCAACUAAUGGACCGUAUUUCAAUUUGAAUACUACAAUGGUUUCUUAGAUUUGUUGCCAGAAGUAGAUGAACAAAAAUAACUAGACCCAUAUGGUAAAAAAUAAUUGUCAUUUUAGACGUUUUUUUAAAUGAUACAUAAACCUAAAACAAUAUGGUUUUGAAAGAAAAAAACUAAAUUUUAUCAUAAACAAACCCAUAUCAGAUCUCAAAUAAAUGAAUUACCAAGUUGACCCUAGAUCUUAUAUAACUAGGUCUGGAUUGACAAAAAUAACUAGACUCAUUCGGUUAAAAAAAAAAAAAGACGACGUGAUGGAGGACUGGCCAAAGCUACUUUCUUCCCCUCUGCCUCUGUAUGAGGCUUAUAUAGCCUAAAACGCAGCUCUAUUUAGGAAACAAAAUCUAGGGACACAAUCAUGGGUGGCUUACAAUCGAAUAAAGCAAAUUAGGAAGCAAAAUAUUGUGAUUUAUUCUAUGAUCUCGGUAAUUAUUUCCCACGUGUAGAAUAUUAGCCAUUAGGUGAUGGUGCGACUCCCCUUUGCGUUCUUCCAUAGCUGGCAUAUAGGUGUUCAAAGUCAUUACCUUUGGACCAAAGAUGAAAAAGCUAGCGGGAAUGGUUUGCAGGGUUCGUUGCGUGCAGAAUAUUGGGUUGUUCUGCAUGUAACGUCAUUAAUUACCCUUGACCUGUUUCAUAUGGGGUGGGUCGAGACCGAACGGUUAUGGGGUGAGCCUCGACCCAAUUGCCUUUCGGGUUGGCCGAGAACCACUGCUUUUGGGGUUGCAGGACCCAUUUGUCUUUGGGUCUAUCCUCAGCCCCAUUGGCUUUGGGGUCGGCCGAGACCCACUCUUUUUGGGGUGAUAAGACCCAUUUCUCCUUGGGUUUAGCCUCGGCCCAAUUGCCUUUGGGGCCGGCCGAGACCCACUCCUUUUGGGGUGACAGGACCCAUUUCUCUUUGGGUCGAGCCUCGGCCCAAUUGCCUUUGGGGCCGGCUGAGACCCACUUCUUUGAGGCUGGUAGGACCCAUUUCUCCUUGGGUAUAGCCUCGACUUAAUUGCCUUUGGGGUCGGCCGAGACCCACUCUUUUUGGGGUGGCAGGACCCAUUUGUCCUUAGGUCUAUCCUCUACCCAAUUGCCUUUGGGGCCGGCCGAGACCCACUCUUAAGCGUGUGGUAGGACCUAUUUGUCCUUGGGCCUAGCCUUGACCCAAUUGCCUUUGAGGCCGACAGAGACCCACCCCUUUUGGGGUGGCAGGACCCAUUUGUCCUUGGAUUGAUCCUCGACCCAAUUGCCUUUGGGGUCGGCCGAGACCCACUCCUAACUAGGAGGGUGUCAGGACCUAUUUUUUCCUUGGGUCAUGUGUGGGCCCAAAUUCCUUUAGGGUCGACCGAGACCCACUCCUUGGGGGGGUGGCAGGACCCCUUUUCUCUUUGGGUCCAACCACGACUUAGCCUCCUUUUGGGGCCGGUUAGGACCUCUCUCCUCUUAGGUCCGACCACGGUUUGGCCCCUUUUUAGGGUCGGCAAGGACCCCUCUCCUUUUUUGGUCCGGCCACGGCUUGGCCCCUUUUUAGGGCCGACCAUGACCCUUUUUCUUUGGGUCUGGCCACGGCUUGGCCCCUUUUUCUUUGGGUCUUGGCUUUUUUUUUUAGGCUAAAAAUGGGUAACAACAGAUGCCCCCUCUUUACAAUGCUUACGACGCAAAACUUCCUCAAUGUUUUGCAUGGUAAGCUUGUAAAGAAAACAAAAGGUCCUUCUUGCUUGCUGAGUGAUCCACUCAUCCAAGGGCUUCAAAAGGUAAAUGGUCUCAAUAUUAUCGGUGACUUGUCCAGAAAAAUAAUGGUCUCAUUGUAAAGGGUGACCUACCCAAAGAAAAAUGGAAAACGGUCUCAUUCUAAUAGUUGACUUACCUAGAGAAAGAAAAACAAUGAUGGUCUUAUUAUGACAGGUGGCCUACCUAAAAAAUGAUGGCCUCAUUGUGAUGGGUGAUCUACCCUAGUGGAAAAAAAUGAUGGUCUCGUUGUGAUAGGUGACCCACCCAAAUGCAAGAUGGUCUCAUUAUGAUGGGUGACCCACCCAAAAACAUGAUGGUCUCAUUGUGAUGGGUGACCUACCUAGAUGGAAAAUGAUUGUCUUAUUGUGAUGGGUGACCUACCCAGAUGGAAGAUGAUGGUCUUAUUAUGAUGGGUGACUUACCCAGAUGUAAGUGAAAAGGUUUUUAGAAAGGGGUCUGAAUAUAUAGAUGCUUGCCCAUUAUAAAGAUUUUCGAAAAAAUCCAUGUUUUUUUUAGGAAAUAGUCUCAAUAUCGGAUGACCUGCCCGUUUUAAGAUUUUUAUAAAAACUCCAUGCUUUUUCUUUAAAAUGGUCUCGAUAUCAAGUGACUUACCCGUUUUAAACUUCAAAAGAAAUCAUCUUACCUCGAGGAAUAAAGUAGUGGUGGUUCAUUUUCUUUUUCAUAAUUCCGUUGACCUGAGAUUUUGUACCUCAGCGGUUCCCAAAACCUUGGAGCUAUUUUGUCUUUCAUCACACCUUUCCUGCCAGGUUAGUAUUAUGACAAUAUAGCAUGCAUGUUUUGUUACCUAUUUUGGAAACAUAGGUCCCCCCUUUACAUUGUAGACUUCUUUGAGCUCUUGUUUCCAUUUGUUUGCCCGACCUGUCCUUUUGAACCAGAAUAUGCUCUCGUGCUACAUUUCCUAUCCUUUUCAUGCUUGAUGAAGAGAUUUCCAGUUCCUUAUAGGGCCCUUUCUUACUCUAUUGAAUAUCGCCUUUUAUUAUACUUUUGCUGAUGUUUUAAUUGUCUUUUCUAUUUUUAAGAAAUUAUUUAAAGAGGAAAACUCAAAAGAUUUGGUUUUGUUCAUGAAAAUCGAAACAUGCAAUCAUCAAAUUUUGUUUUAAGCAAUUCUUAUAAAGGUGUUUCAAAGGUUUUUAUAAUGAUACCCCUUAAUGUUGGGCUUUGGUUCACUAUGUACCCCUAUAUGCACUUCGUGCACUUCUUGCCCCCAGUGUGGUGUGCAAAUGUAUGUCAAGUUUAGAUUUGGUUUGGUUCUCUCCAAUUUAGGAGUUUGAUGGAGUCAUCUUGAGCAUAUUAUGAUUCCUUAGUCAUGCGUAAAAAAGUUCUUUUAAGUAAAAGAUUUCAAAUGCUAUGAGAUCAUGCGUUUUAUGAAGAAAAGGUUCUUUACAAAGAGAAUUCAUGGCCGAACUUUAUUUUAUUGAUUGGGAAAUUACGUAAUAAAUCAAGCGUAAUAUUUCUUUAUAGAGUCAAAAGUCACAGGUCUAACUAAAUCUUCUUCAUCCAUUCUAGAUAAUAGCAAAGCUCCUCCCGAGAAGGCUUUCUUCACCACGUAAGGGUCCUCUUAGUUUGGUGCCCUUUUACUCUGAUCUUCUCUUGAUAAAGGCAAUAUUUUCUUUAGCACAAGGUCUCCUUCAUGGAACCCUCGAAGUCGGACCUUCUAGUCAUGAUUCGGUCAUUCUUCUUUGGUAUAGUUGAUGAUGACAGAUUGUAGCUAUCCUCUUUUCACUGAUCAGAUUCAGUUGUUCAUAUCUAACUUUUUCUCAUUCUACCUCUUCUAGCACAGAGUCUACCAAUACUCUCAAUGAGGGGAUUUCCACUUCUAAAGGCAUCACUGCCUCUAUCCCAUAUACCAACGUGUACGGGGUGGCUCCUAUUGAGGUGCGGACUGUGGUGUGAUACGCAUGAAGGUCAAAUGACAACAUCUCAUGCCAAUCCUUGUAGGUGACUACCAUCUUCUGAAUAAUCUUCUUGACAUUCUUGUUAGUAGUUUUUACCGCACCAUUCAUUUUUGGCUUAUAUGGUGAGGAGUUGGAAUGCUUGAUUUUUCAUUUAGCGCAGAGUUCUGUUAUCAUUUUGCCAUUGAAAUUCUGGGCAUUAUCAGUUAUAAUCUUUUAUGGUGGAACAUACCGAUAAAUCAAAUCUCUCUCAAUAAAUGUCUUCACCACUUUUUGCGUCACAUGAGCAAAUGAACUGACUUCUACCCAUUUUGUAAAGUAGUUGAUAGCCACGAGAAUAAACCUAUGACCAUUGUUGGUUUUUGGGUUGAUAGGUCCAAUCACAUCAAUCCCCUACAUCGCGAAGGGCCAUGGAGAUGUCAAGUUAAACAAAGGAAUUGGAGGGGCGUUGAUUUUAUCACUGUACACCUGGCACUUAUGGCAUCCUUUCAUGGACUUCCCAUAAUGUGUCCUUGGCCUUAGCUUCAUCCAAACAUCUCAACAAAGUCCCAUCAGAUGAUUUCUUAUACAAAAUCUUCCCAUCAAGAUAAAAGUCCAUUGCCAACCUUCCCAAGGUCUUCUUAUCUAUUUUGGAUGCCCCCAUGGGAUAUGCCUGGUUUUGUAAAGAGUUCUUGGUAUCAUAGUACCAAGGGUUUCCAUCAAUUUCGACUGAGCAACAAUGAGCUAGGUUAUUCUUGAUAUCAAUGUGUUUCGGUUUUUCCUUGUGCCCAAAGUCUAUUUUAGCCAUAAAAGCUAGUGUGGCCAAAGCGUCAAUAAACUGGUUUCCUUCCCUUCUUAAAUGGGUGAACUCAAUUUCCUCAAAUUCUCUAGCAAGUUUAGACAGGUAUUCUUGGUAAGGUCUCAAUUGUUCGUCCCUAGUUUUCCAUUUUCCUUUCACUAGGCAAAUAAUUAGCAUUGAGUCUCCAUACACAUCUAUCUUUCUGAUUUUUAGCUCCAAUGCAGCCUCUAAACCGAGAAUGCAAUCUUCAUACUCAGUUGUGUUGUUAGUGCACCCAAACUGCAACUUAACUGAAACCGGAUACUGUUUCUUAUUAGGAGAGAUUAUCAUUGCACCUGUUUCGUUACCACAUACAUUUACAGCACCAUCAAAGUACAUAGUCCACCACUUUGAUUUCCCUUCCUCGACUACAAGCACAUCUUCAUCAGGAAAAUCAAAGUUUAACGGCUCAUAAUCUUCCAUAGCAUGGUCAGCUAGGUGAUCAGCGAUGACACUCCCUUCCAUGGCUUUCCUUAUCAUAUAUACUAUGUCAUAUUUAGCCAACAAAACUUGCCAUCUUGCAAUUUGGCUUGACAGAUAGGGCUUUUCGUAGAUAUACCUUAAUGGGUCUAAUUUUAAAAUCAACCACGUAGUAGAUACAACAUAUACUGACGCAAUCUCUUUGCAGCCCAUGCUAGUGCGCAACACAACUUCUCAAUCACUGUAUACCUAGACUCACAUUCCGUGAACUUCUUGCUUAGGUAAUAAAUGACGCCAAAGCCAUUGCACUGAUGAAAAGUCUUCCUGACGAUGAUCCACGUAGCUUCAAGAGCCAAGCCGACGUUCACUGCGCUUAUUGUGAUGGUGCUUAUCACCAAGCAGGCUUUCCUGAUUUAGACCUUCAAAUUCACUUCUCGUGGCUCUUCUUUCCCUGACAUAGACUCUAUUUAUACUACUUCGAAAGAAUCUUGGGUAAACUGAUUGAUGAUCCAACUUUCGCUUUGCCUUUCUGGAAUUGGGAUGCCCCUGCCGGCAUGCAAAUGCCAGCCAUUUUUACUGACCCCAAAUCACCACUUUAUGACCCCCUUCGCGACGCGAAUCACCAACCUCCGACAUUGCUUGAUCUUAAUUACGCGAAAGGAGAUGCGAAUCCAGACCCUGCAAAAGCAGAGGAAUUGUAUGCAAGCAAUCUUAACGUAAUGUACAGGCAAAUGGUGUCCGGUGCCACGAAGCCUACUCUCUUUUUUGGAAAACCAUAUCGUGCUGGUGAUGAUUCAAGUCCUGGAAUGGGUACAAUUGAGACCACCCCACACACUCAGAUUCACUACUGGACCGGCGACCCCAAUCAAACUAACGGGGAAAAUAUGGGCAAUUUCUACUCAGCAGGGAGAGAUCCCAUAUUUUAUUGUCAUCACUCGAACGUCGACCGAAUGUGGGACAUGUGGAAGAAAAUACCAGGAGGCAAGCGAAAGGAUAUCGAGGAUCCUGAUUGGCUUAAUUCAGAGUUUCUUUUCUGGGAUGAGAAUAAAGAGCUGGUUCGUGUAAAGGUUAAAGAUACUCUUGACACCAAGAAGCUAAGAUAUGGCUUUCAAGAUGUUCCUAUUCCUUGGCUGAAAACUAGACCAGCACCAAAAUUAACAAGGCAGGAAAAAUCACGUCGUGCAGCUAAAAAAACCGUUGUAUUAACACCAAUUAGUGCAUUCCCUGUUGUCUUGGAUAAAGUCGUAAGUGUGGAGGUUUCCAGGCCAAAGAAAUCAAGAAGCGCGACGGAGAAAGAAGAUGAAGAUGAAGUUUUAGUUAUUGAAGGGAUUGAGUUUGAAGAAAAUCAAUUAAUUAAGUUUGAUGUCCUCGUCAACGAUGAACCUGAUUCACCUGGUGGACCAGACAAGUCCGAGUUUGCAGGAAGUUUCGUCAAUGUGCCUCACAAGCAUGCAAAAAAAUCAAAGACAACUAUGGUAUUGGGGAUUACAGGAUUGAUGGAAGAUCCGGAAGCUGAAGGAGAUGAAACCCUUGUGGUGACUUUCGUGCCUCGGACUGGUGGUGAUUUUGUUACCGUUGCCAAUGUCAAGAUUGAGUUUGUCGCUGACUGAUCAUGGUGAUGAGAGGACAUAUGCUACCAUUUUAUUUUCUUUUCUUUUUUUCCUUUUGCCUUUUCUUGUUUUUUCUCUUUCUAUGUCAGUAUUCAGUGAGUUUUCUCUUUUUUCUUUCAAGAUGCUCAACUAAUGGACCGUAUUUCAAUUUGAAUACUACAAUGGUUUCUUAGAUUUGUUGCCAGAAGUUGAUGAACAAAAAUAACUAGACCCAUAUGGUAAAAAAUAAUUGUCAUUUUAGACUUUUUUUUAAAUGAUACAUAAACCAAAACCAAUAUGGUUUUGAAAGAAAGAAAAAAACUAAAUUUGAUCAUAAACAAACCCAUAUCAGAUCUCAAAUAAAUGAAUUACCAAGGCGGCAGAUGUCUCCCGACCCCGAAAGGUACCUUCUAUGAGAAAUUGGAAGAUGUCUUCCUUUUUUACACUUGGGUCAUUGAGAAAAGUGGAAAUGUCCACUGACGCCGCGCUUGAUCAACAUAGGUGGGUUUACUUAAUGCGGCAGUGGACGAGGAGUGUUUCGAUUGAAAAUAAGGAGGUUUUUCCUUCUACUUUUAAGAGGAAAAAAAAAGCCAAAUUUUAUAAAAUUUUCAUUGCAAUGGACAGAUAAAUACCCAAUUUUCCACACCUCUCGCCUGUAAUACAAUAUGACAUACAGUAUAAUUAGUACAAAAACGCAAGGCAGUACUAUAAUUAGAGAUUUUCUGUUUUUUCUUUUCUUUUUCUUUCAAAAGUGAACUAUAUAUCUUAUACAUUCCCCAAAAAAAAAAUCUGCCUUUUUCUUUACGUAAAAUCGUUUUUGGAAAGGCAACGUAGUUUUAUUUAUAUUUUCAUAGAGCAAAUAUUACUAAAAGAAGGUUAAAUCAAGUAUAUACCUCGAUUAAUAAUACAUGAUUAUUUUUUAUUCAGUUUGGUGUUGGAAAAAAAACAUUAAAAUAACCAAAUUAUAAAUUUUAUUUUUUAAAUUUCAAAACCAGACCAAAUCAAAAACUAUUUCAAACCAACGGAGUAUGAAUAACACGAUAGAAAAUCCUCGGCAAUAGAUGAAACAAAGGAACACUCUUAUUCAAUUCCUAAUUUGUUGAUGCCAUCAACCCUAAAAAUAGCAAAAUUUUAAAUCUUUAACUAGAAAUAGCACAAACCUACAAACAAAAACCAAUCCAAGACUAAAAAUUCCCAUUAAACAACACCCAUUUACUUCAUCACUCACUAAACAGAAAAAUGUUCAAAAUCCAAUCUUUACUUGUUUUUUAUGACCCUGAGGAAAAUAGAACACUCUUUCUCCACGCUUGAGAACAUUCACAACUGGACCUACACCUGCCUUCUCUAUAUACAAUCAUCCCCUCUAUAACCUGGAACCAGAAAGGAAAAGUCAAUUUUCUUAGGAAACAAAAAGAAUAAAAAAAAUAAAGUCAUUUCACACUUCGCCUUCAUUGUUCCCAUAUUCCUCCUCCUCCUCAUAUUCCUCUAUUCAUAGCCAUCAUUUUUCAAAACCCAACAAGCAACAGAAACAGCAACAGAAGUCAACAAAAACUUGAAGAAUCGUGCUUGAAAAAUAGAGACUUGCCAGAGAAGACAAAUGCGAGACAACUAGAGAGACAGAAGGGGGUGGGCUAUGAAUGGGGCUAUAGAGGAGAUCGAGAGAAAAGGGUGGAAAGGGAGAAGGGGGUUUGCGAUUGUGAGAGUGAGUUUUAGGGUUUAAGUCUUUUGAAGACACUUUUCUAUUUAUUUGUUUCAUCUGCUAUCGCGGUGAAUUUUAAAAAUUCAUUUCGCAGAAAGAACAAAUUUUUAUGGUAUCGCGUUUUCCAAUAAAUCCUAAUUUAGUUAAUAAAAAUUUUAUGGUAUGAAACUAGAAAUAUAAAAAAAUUAAUAUUAUUUUUUUAAAAUAUUUUGUUUAAAAUAAAUUGUCUUAAAUUACUAAGAAUUUAUUUUAUUUUAUUUUAUUUUUUAUGGUUUAUUUAUAAUAUUUUUAUCUCUAGCGCCAGUGAAUAUUCUACUUCAGAUAUUUCCAACUUUAAAGUCAAUAAAUAUUACAUAGCAAAAAAAAUAUAUGAUAUUCUUGACUCUGGCACAAUGAAUAAAUUAAUAAAAUGAAUUUAAAACAAAACAUAUAUAUUUUUAUAUUUUUUUAAAAAUAAUAAUAAUAAAGGCGAAUGGGCUAGAUGGGCCUGAGACCUAGGCCCAACCCAACCCUAACUUUUUUCUUGUUUUUCCUUUUUUUUUAGUUGGGUCCAGUCAGCCCGUACGGCCCCGCCAGGUCACUAGCCCAAGCUAGUGACCCGGCUGGGCAGCAAGCACGCGUGAUGCGUGUGGUACAAUGAUGUACUAAUUAUAAUUCACAACAACAGUAACAAGUGAAUUAGAGCAUCUCCAACAAGUGUGCUAAAUGAAAAAAAUAUUAUUUUGACUCUUUCAUGCUUAUUUUACACACUCCAAAGGAAGUACUAAACAAAAUGUUAAAAUGCAUUUUCAUUUUCUCUUUCACAAACAUUAUUUUUAUAUAUCUCUCAAAAAAGUCAAAAUCAACAAAGUGGGGUCAACAAAAAAAUAAACCAAUUAAACGUGGCUAUAUGGAAAAAAAAUAACAUCAAACUUAUUAAGAGAAAAUAAAAUACUUGUUUCUUUUACUUUAAUAUAAUUAGCUUUUCAAAUGAUUUGUUUUCAUUGGAAUAUAUAUGGAGGACUGGCCAAAGCUACUUUCUUCCCCUCUGCCUCUGUUCUUUGUGUGCUUCUCCUCUGGUCUUGCUUUUCUUUGCUUGGUUUCUUUUUGCUUCUCUUGUUCUCCCUGUCUCCCUCAGUGUCUGCUUGGUAUUCUCGUGUUGCUCGUCAUGUUCUCUGGUUUUCUUCCUUUCUUUUCAGUGUCUGUGUCGUCUGUGUUUUUUUGUUCCUGUGUUGUUCUAUGUUGGCUUGAGCUUGCUCCCAGUUGCUGGAGUUUUGACGGAGAUUCUACAAUCCCUUUCCUCUGUUUCACUCUGCCUCUGGUUUUUUUUUUCUCUGGUUCGUCCUUCCUGUAUUUGCUCGUUCGUCCCCUUCUCUCUCUAAUGGUUUUUUCUUGUCCUCUCCUCCCCUGGUUUUUCUGUUCUUCCGUUCAUUUCCUUCUUGUAUUCGCUCAUUCAUCCCCUUCUCUCUCUACUAUUUUUUUUAUCCUCUCCCCUCCCCACUCAUUCAUGGCCUUUCUUCGGCUUUUAUAAAGCCAUAGAAUGCCAAACAUUCGUGCAUCAUGGGGGCGAGGGAUAGCAGCUGGGAGACGUGGUCCAUGAUUGAAACGGUUUUGGUGCAUUCACUGUGCAUUGAUAUUCUUUAAGUUUUCUAUGUAGCUCUAGUUUAUAUUUACAAUUAAGUUUUGAAUUUUAAUAAUAUUUGCAUUUAAGUAACAAUAUUUCAUUCUAAUUAUGUUUUUAAUUCUUGAGCAGGUGUAAAAGAAAAGAAAUAGAGAGGAAAAUACUCCAAUUAAGGUAUUUUCCAACCUUAAAAUUGUUAAACUUGGUUUUUACGUGUUCGAUUGACAAAGGGAUUUUUUUUAUGGUGAUAAAAAGCCUUAACAUAGCAGAAGAAAGAAGAUCAAGAAUUCAAUAAUAUAAAGUUUUUUUUUAUUUGGUUGGGUUUUGAAGGUUUUUUGGCCUGUUUAAUUAGAUAUGUUUUGAGAUUGAAAAUGAGUUUAUAAAAGUUGUUAGCAUAAUGUUUUGAUGUUUGGAGGGGAUAAUGAAAGAUUUAGAUUUGCAUCAGUCUUGUAAUUUUUUAAUAGCCAAAUGAUUGUUGAAAAUAUUAAUUGGUCAAAACAAUUUGGAAAAAUUAACCUGACCCUUUUGUAGUUUAGUCAUCCUUUUCCUUUGCCUCCAUUCUUUAAAAAAUUAUGAUUUACAUUUUGAAGUUCAUGAGUUCCUAAAACUUCACUGCACGCCAAAACAAAUCAACAAAAAACAUUAAAUUGUUUACAAGAUUGUCAUUAUAUUUCAUUUAAUGACUAAAAAGCUUUUGGAACGUUAAAAUUAAUAAAUUGCCACAAUUUGUUUUUUAAAAAAAAACUAGCUACUGAAAAUCUUACCCUAGCUCCAUCUCUUCUCUUGUUUUCUUCUAGCCACCACAAUCACCUUACAUCUAUCAUCUCUCUUAUCACAAUACAGAAGUUACCUUACAUCCUUUUAUAAUAACACACGCACAACUACACCAGCCAUCUAACACCAUCUACUAUGCAAAGCAAGUAACAAUUGAACUUGUUUUAUCACCCUCAAGAUAAACCACUUCCACACUUGAACACUCUCAUUUCAAUAUUUGUUGUAAGAGAUAGUAGAGUUUUUGGCUCUUCUCAUUAAGAAGGGAAAAAUAUUUUCUUCAGACAUUCAAUCUAUCAAAAUUUACAAGUCUCGAACAAGUGAUAAAAGGGAAAAAUUCAUUCCCUUAGUUUACAAUCUUAAAAAGGAAAUAAAAAACACCAAUUCUUCAAGACUCCAAAUCAAUUCUCAUAGAUACUAAAUUCAAAGAAGAAACAAUUAAUUAAGAAUUUAAGAUGACAAAACAAAGCCCUUACCAACAAAACCCAAGAAUUACAACCUUAUGUGUAAAAAUAAUUAUAAUAAUUCCAUUAGGAAGUAGAAUCGUGACUCAAUAUAGAUAAAAUUACAACACAAAUAAUUUAAACCCGCCCUCCAAAAUCUUGAAAACAAAAAUCUUUAUCAAAGAACCUCCAUACCCACAUAAAAUAAACUACAAAUUAAUAACAUAAUUAAAUGAGUCUUAGACCUGAAGAGAGAAAGCAAAAGGCGAUGGGUGGGAUUAAUUUUUUAGAACAGGGCUUCACUAGGAGAGGAAGUGCUUGUUACAAGCAUUUCAGUUUUAACUAUGAGAGUGCAAUGGGCCAUGUGGAAGUGGAUCUCCAAAAUUGGUGAUGUUUUGCAAACCCAUGAUAAGAUAGAUUAUGUUGGAAGAGAGAGAGAGAGAGAUAUUGUGUUUGAAAAGAGAUAAAUUUUUAUAUGUUCUUGGGUGUUUUUGAUAUGUAAUAUACAAGGAUAAUUUGAUCUUUUUAUUUUAUUUGAGAAAUUAUUUUGAUCUAUAAUGUAAACUAUAAUUUUUAAAAGAGCAUAGGCAAGGUAAAAAAAAAAAGAACUAAACUAUAAUCAGGUUCAUCGAUGUCCUCGUCAACGAUGAACUUGAUUCACCUGGUGGACCAGACAAGUCCGGUAGUGAUAACUACAAGAUUUCACAGUUUUACCGACGAAAAUAUUCUGUCGAUCUGUGAUUCAGAGUUUGUCGGUAAUUUUUUUACCGACAAAAUCAUCAACGGGAAACGUCCAUCGGCUUUCCUUUCGUCGGUAAUACCUAAUUCCAUCACUAAAUCGGUUGGUAAAAAAAAACAAUUUCUGAUGGUUUUGCAGACGGAAAUUACGCACCAAAAAAAAUAUUUCCGCUUGAAAUAUAUCGACGGAUGUAUUCCGUCGGUGAUAGUGGCAUAUCCAGUAAAUAUUUUUCAGCUCCUGGUUAAAUGCCAACGGACUAUAUCCCUCUGUAAAUUUGUCGGUGAGUGGUGAAAUGCUGACAGAAUUUAUCCGUCUGGAAAUUCAUUGGGGAUUGUGAAAGCUACUGUGACAUGCCGACGGAUAUAGUCCGUCUGUAAAUCCCUCGGUGAUUAUUUUUAAAUAUUUUUAAAAAAACUUAUUUAGAAUAAAUAAUAUAAAAUUAUAUAAAUUAAUAGAAAAAAAAACAAUUAUGCAAAUAAAAUUUUUAUUAAACAUCAAAAACAAAAGAAAUAAUGUUAAAUAAUAUUCAUUACAAAUUGAAUGUGUUUCAAAAACAAAUAUUAAAUUAACAUAAUGACGAAGCUGGAGGAGGAGGCUGGUUGUUAUAAGGCCAAAAAGGAGGCACACAUGUAUCACCACUCUGUGAUGUCAUGUUCAUGACCAAUUGGUGAAGCUGUUCAUAAUUCACCGAGAGGUUCUCAUAUUUUUCGGUGAGCUGAGCCGUGUGUUGUUGCAAGGCCACGAACUCCUUAGAUUGGGUGCUCGAUACUGAUUGGGAGCUCCCAACGGUUGAUACACUACGGGCUGCCCGCAAGUUCUCGACUGUAGUGGUGGAGAGCUCGUACACUUGAUUUUUAUCCGGUCCACCGGACGAUCCAACCACUAUCCACAAAUCCGGAUCGAAAUCCAGAUGGGUCGAAAGAUCGUCCCUAUAUCUCUCCCUCAACCGGCUAUUAUAGGUCUCUUGAAAAUGAAAAAAGAAAUCAUCAUAUUCAAUUCAAUAAAAAUAAUAACUUACAAAAUAAAAUGUUUGAACAAACAUACCACAAAGUGUUGAGCACGGUCGUCAACGAACUGUUUGCGCCUCCUUUUGACGGUCUUUACUCCGCACGUGCGUCUCAACAAACAGCUCAAUUGGGCUCGUCUCACAUCCAAGAGAUGUAGCCUGUAAUGAAAAAAAAUAAUUAACAAAUUAUUUAAUGAUAUAUUUCAUUUAAAUUAAUCUUAUUAUCCGUUUCGCAUAUGCAGCAAACAGAACGGAGCUGCUGGUGUGUGUUGUCACCGAGCCAUGAAUUGGCCGGUUCUGGUUGCCAGCACCAGACUGUGAGCGUUGUGUGAACCGCUCAGACAUCACGUGCUCAAGAUAUUGUAGCCAUAUAUCUGCCAGGAUGUAUAUCGGUUUGAAAUCCCUCCAAAUCGCCAUGUCGUUCCAGCCUUGGAGACCCUUAUAACUCGCGUUUUUUUUGCCUUUUUUUGUGCUUCAUAUAAAAAAUCAUGCAACCUACUUUCAUAGUGAGAAAUUAGAUUUUGAAACAUAAAUAUUUUUCUAAAAAAAUCUUGUAUUGUUUUCGAUGUUACCUAGUUGCCGCGUGAAUUUCCCACACCCUCCUCACAAUAGUGUCAUGCCCACUGUCCCAGUCAAAUUUGUCCGGUGUAUAAAUAAUUAAUUUUUUAAAAAAUAAUAAUUUAUUCACAAUUAUAUUAAUAAUUUAUUAGAAAUAAGUUGAAAAUUAGAAAUUAACACCAAUCUCAAAUCUAUCAAACCAUGCAUUGAUUUGAGGUAUCCAUUCAGGAUGUCUGGAUACCUGACUCCAUUGAAAUAAUAGAAUCUUCAUCGAUGAUUUAAAUGCCGAUGAUAUUACUCGGGCGGCCUCAAUGUUUGUGAACCUAAAAAUAAAUUAAAUUAAUGAAAUAUUGAUUAGUUGUUCAUAAAUAUGUUAUAAUUUAAAAAAAAAACUAAAAAUUUAACAAACUUACAUUGAAAGGUCGUCCUUCCACAAUGCCUCAUACUUGUGGGUGAAUUGAUUCCGCUGCGAAGGCACGCCGCCUCUGCGCUGUGAAACCGCGCUGGAAGAGGCAGCAUCGGUUGACGGCGCAGGUGCCUUUUCUUAACAGGCACCUAAGGAUAUCUCAUCCUCGCUGCUAGAAGAACUAGCUGCGACCAUACGUGAGCGACGAGCUAUGGAUUUCGUUCUAUGCAUCUACACAAUUUUAUACUAAUAAUUAUAUAAUUAAAUUCGAAUGUUAAAAAAAAAAAUUGAUAGCACCUCCCCUAUACUAGAGACUACCCAAACUUUUCAAACCUGUAAAUAUUGACAAUAGCCACAACCAAUUGACCCCAUCUAUACUAAUCUUGUAUAUAACAUAACAUCUAUACAAAUAACAUCCAUACUAAUUACAAGGUAAAUUCAACAAUAACAAUUAAAAUUCUACAAAUUAUUCAAUUAUUAUGGUAAUACAAACAAUAAAAUAUAUUCAAAAAAUUCAAAAAAAAAAACUAUAGACUAACACAAAUCAUGCAAUAAUAGAGUAAAAUUGAGAGAAUAAUUAAAUUUAUUCCAACAUAUUCAAUUACUAAUUGCAAGGUAAAUUCAACACUAACAAUUACAAUUCAACAAAUUAUUCAAUUAUUAUGGCAAUACAAACAAUAAAAUAUUGCCAAUAAAUUUUUUUAAAAAAAAACUAUAGACUUUAGGAAUGAAAUAUACUUACCUUAAUAAUGUGUUUAUUUCAAAACUUUAUCUACAUUAUAAAAAUACACCAAAACAAAAAACAUAACAAAACUAACAAUAGCUAAAACAAAGAAAAAAAAAUCCUUAAAGUAAAAUGAAGUAGAGGAAACACAUACCUUUUAAUUUUAUAAAGAUCCAAGUAGAGAUUACAAGCAAAACAAACAAAAGUCUUGAAGAAAAUGAGAGGAAAAAAAUAAAAAAUGAAAGGGGAAUAACGGAGCAGAUGAAAAAAUGAACUGAAGGGGCGGUUGCUGGGAUUUAUAGCGCAGUUGUACCGAUGGAUGCACCGACGGACAUUAAAAAAUAUUAUUUUAAAUUAUUAUAUCGGUGACUUUUGAAUUUCGCACCAUUAUUUUUUAAUUACCCUUCAUAUUUUUCGCAGUUCGUCGGUAAUUCCGUCGACAACAACACACGGUUAGAGAUGCAUUUAAUGCCCCGCCCUUGGGAAUUCACACUGUUCGUCGGUAAUUUUGUUGAUAAUUUUGACAUGUCGACAACAUACCGACAGACUGGAAUUCGUCCGUAAAAUUGUCGAUGAUGGUUGUGGCAUUUCCAGUACCGCUACUAUGAAAUGCCGAUGGACUGGAAUCCGUCCGUAUAGUGUGUAAGAAAGAUGAUGUUUGUAUUACCUAUUUACUUUCCUGCAAAAACUUAAAUGAUAAAUUGUCCAUCACACAAAACAAUAACAACAAUGCUUAAACAAUACAAACUUAUAAAAUAAAUAUUUCGUGUUACAAAAUAUAUCAUCCAUAAUAUAUAUUACAUGAAAAAAAUGUUUUACACAUGGCUUCAUUCUGAUUGUUAGUUAGAAUUUUCUUCUUCUUCGUCGUCAAUUGAAUAGUCAUCACCUUCAUCGCAAUCUUCAAUAUGGAUAUCAUCAUCUUCAUCGACCUUUGCUUGUCUGCUAGAGCUCAAAACAACAUUCAACUCCUCUGCAUCAACAUCAACAAGACUAUUAUCGAAAACAUGAAAUUUAAAUUUUCUUUCAAGUCAAUCGAAGGAGAAACUCGAUAUGGUUCAACCAACUCACUAACUUGAAAGACUUCAUCUCGCACACUUGUGUCUUUGUUCUCAUCCUGAACAACCUCGACACGACCCCUGGGUUUCCUUUUUAAAACGGAUAACCAAUCAACUCUUGAUCGAUCCUUUCUAAAGAAAGGGGUGUAUGUGUAAUAAACUUGUUGACAUUGCUUUGCGAAAACAAAGACAUCGUUUACGUUGCGGAGUCUAGCUUUUGAGUUGAUUUCGACCAAACCAUAGUGCAGAUCAACUCUGAUUCGUCUGUCAGUCGUGUCAUAUCAAUAGCAUUAGAAUAAAAACACUAUAUUCUACUCGCUAUGAUAUUGCAGUUUGACAACCUCUUCUAAUCUACCAUAGUAGUCAACUUCUAACUCACUACUAGUCGAUCCCUUAACACAAACACCGUUGUUGUAUGUCUUUCUUCCAUGCCCGUAUUGUUUAGUAUGAAACACAUAUCCAUUGAUAAAAUACCCGUUGUAGCACUUCACUUUUCUUUCAGGGCCCAGGCUUAGUGAAGACAAUGACUUAACAUCACUCCUUCCCAUUUGAUAAACCUUGUAUGUAAUGUACAUCAAUGAACAGUAAACGAGAAUCUCAUAAUGACAUGCAUACAAUAAUUUUGCAAGUGAUAAUGAGUUUGUGAUAGUACUUACAUGUGUUCUGAACCACGUGGAAAAUUAUUCAUCUUGUAAUUGAAAUAUCUGAGAUUCAGUCAACUAUGAGUUAUAGGACAACAAAUAUUGUCGAUGUUGCUUGCAAGUGAUAAUGAGUGUAUGAUAUCACAAUAUAUAAAUAGUAUAUUAUUAACAAAGUUUAAUUAGUAGUACACAUAUAUAUACUUACUGAAUAAAAGGUCUCAGCUCAUCACAGUUAAAUAGAACAUAAUUGUGUGCUUGUUUUAAAUUUAUUACCGACAAAUAUCUUCCUCUUACGACAUUUUUAGGUGUGGGUCAUCCAGGAUUGGAGAAUAUUGACAAGUUCCCACUAGAAGGCACUUCACCGCCAUCAUCAUACCGUGGAAUGCGAUUGAUUCUCGUUCUCAGAUGAGGUUUGAAAUAGUACGUGAUAAAUGUUAAAAUCUCCUCAAUAAUAUAGGCCUCACAUAUCGAAGCCUCAACAUGCGCCUUGUUCUUAACCUUUUUCUUGAGAUUGAAUAAGUACCUGCAUUGAAUUAAUCAAAUAUUUUCAAUUAAGAAAAACAAAGAAAAUACUUUUAUAUAUGAAUUACAUUGCAACUGUAAUAUCUAACCGUUUGAAUGGAUACAUGCAUCUAUACUGGACCGGUCCUCCAACUUUUGCCUCGAAUGAUAGAUGUAUGGGGAAAUGCUCCAUUGAGUCAAAAAAUGACGAAGGGAAUAUCAUCUCAAGUUUGCAUAGUAUCUCGACGAUAUUCGUUUCAAGCCUCUCAAUGUGAUCAACAUUCAACUUGCUGGAACAUAUAUCUCUAAAGAAAUGAUUGAUCUCCGUGAGUGCAUCCCUUAUCCCUUUUGGCAACAAAUCACGAAAAGCUAAUGGGAUGAGUGUUUGCAUAAACAUGUGGCAGUCAUGACUCUUCAUUCCAUACAAUCUGCAUUCCUCCGUAUUAACCAGCCUUGAUAUGUUCGAGGCAUGUCCAUCGAGAAAACGCAGACUCAUAAGUCAUUUGUAGACUAAUAGUUGUGCGUUUUUCUCUAACACAAAGCUUGCUUUUGGUUUUGCGACCCGUGACCCAUCUCAAACCAACUCCAUAUUUUUACGGUUAUAGAACAAAGUUAUAUCCAAUCUAGCCUUAAUGUUGUCCUUUGUCUUCCCCUUCAUAUCCAUGACGGUGUUGAAAAUGUUCUCAAACAUGUUCCUUUCAAUAUGCAUGACGUCAAGGUUAUGGCGAAGCAGAUUGGUCUUCCAAUAAGGAAGCUCCCAAAAGAUACUUCGCUUUACCCAAUUAUAGGUCAAACCAAAACCAUGAAACUUCUGCUUACCUAAUUGCAGACCAAACACAAUGUCACCGUACUCUGAUACAACAUCAUGCAAUUCUUCACCAAAAAGACGUGGAUAUGCAACAUCCUUUUCAACUCUGCCAACAAAGAAAUCUUUUUUGCUCUUUCUGUACCUAUGAUUCUAUGGCAAGAAACGACGAUGACAGUAAAAAAAAAAGCUUUACCUCUGUUUGUUAGCGUGAAUGCCUUGUUGUUUUCCAUGCAGUAUGGACAUGCUAGUUUUCCAUGCAUACUCCAACUAGAAAGCAUUCCAUAAGCUGGAAAAUCAUUAAUAGUCCACAUCAAAGUCGCCCUUAUAACAAAAUUUUGUUUCCUCGAUAAAUCAUAAGUCAAAGCUUUGGAGGAACUGCGCCAAUUCAUCAAUCAACGAUCGAAGACACAUCUAUAUUCCGGCCCGGGCUGCUUGGACCGGGUAUGACAGUAGAUAAAAACAUGAACUCCAACCUCAUACACAUUUUCGGUGGCAAGUUAUAAGGAGCAGCAAAUGACCCGAAUGGGCUGAAUCUGUUUGUACACAACCCAAGACACAUGUUCCUUGAUUCAGUUGAAAAGUGAGGAUGCACACUGUUAAAGUGUUUCCAUGCUUCGUCGUAAGAAGGAUGCAUCAUCACUCCAUCAACCAUAUCAUGUGAUUGGUGUCAUGUCAUGUGCUCAGUAGUCCUUGGUGACAUGAAUAACCUCUGCAGUCUAGGUGUGAUUGGGAAGUAUCUAAGUUUUUUAUAUGCCACUAGAGUCUUUCCCCUGCCAGUUCUGGGUUUGUAACGAGAAUGCCCAUAUGUCAUGCACUCGGUCAGCUCAGCAUUUCCAAGGUAGUAUAACAUGCAAAAGUUAUGGCACAUGUCAAUUUUCUGGUAUCCUAAACCGAGGGGUUUCAUCAUGGACUUCGCAGCAUAGAAGUUCUCUUUCAGCCUGUUCCCUUCAAGUAAAAUGCUUAUUGCCUAUUCAAUAAUUUUGUCAUACCUGACCUCACUCAACCCGUGAUCUGACUUUAUGGUGAACACCUGUGCUAUGACUGAUAAUUUACUGUGGUUCAUGCAGCCAUCCCAUAAUGGUUCGUUAGAAUCUUUCAACAAAUCAAAAAACCUAGCUGAAUCUACAUUAGGUUCUUCUUCUACGAUUGGACAUUAACUGACAUUACCUUGAUUCAUUCUCAUUGCAUCCAUAACCAUAUUCCUAUAAGGAUUAGUGUUGUCACUUGCCACUUCAUGCAUGUUGCUAGCAUUAGAAGUUGACCCAACCACCCUUUCUCCCAUGCUCUUAUUACGAACAAAUACUUCUCCCUUUGUGUAGAAGAUGCAUCAUUACAAUAUCUGGAUGUAAAUACUUUUUAUUUUGACACUUCCUGAAUGGACACCUAAUACCGCCUCUAGUAAAAUUUUUGGGAAUAGAUGUGAAAUUAAUAAAACCCUAAACCCCAUUACAAUAAUUCAUCCUCCGCAAUCCUUGGGGUGAAUCUCAAUACAUCCAUGACUUCAAUCGAACCUCUAUAAAAUUAUGAUGACAACAUAUAUUAAUUAACUAUGUUAGGUAAAUAAAUUUGCAAAAAUAUUGGUUUACCUCAAGAUUAUCCAACAAACUAAUUACAACUUCUCAUAAAUAUUAAAUAUUCAUUAUCAAUUAUCAACGUCCAUACAAAUUAAUACAUAUAAAUUUACGGAAAUUACAACUUCGCAAUACUAUUGAUAAAAAUUAAAACGGACUCGUUAAAUAAGCUAUUAAUUAUUUCAAAACAACACAUAUAAUUCGAUAAUUCAAUAAAGUUUCAACAAUUCCAAACAAAUACAAUUUUACAAAAUCUAAAACAAACCAUAACAAGUACGAAAUUAUACAUUCAUAUACUACAAGUUUGUUUGAGAAAUAACAAUAAAACAUGUACAUAUACUAACAAAAUACAUAUACUAAAAAAACAAUAAAAUUGACAUUUAAAUGUUAAAAUUUUAAAAGAUAGAAUUACUUACAAAAACUGAUAAAAUAUGUUGGUAAAUCAGAACACGGAUGUUGUGACCACAAAACUUAAAGAAAUAUGACUUGUUGUGCUGAGAAGAGGGAGAUUUUUUUUUAGGGGGGCUAGUUGUUUGCAGUAGGGGAGCGUUGGGAUGGGGAAGAAGAAAGAGAAAUAGGGGAGGAGAGGGUCGGCAGAGUGGUCAUAUAUUAACUUUUGUCGAUGGAAUCACCGAUGAACUACUUCUGUCGGUGAUUCCGUAGGCAAUUUUGAAGGUGAAUCAGUCUCGUCACUGUACGAAGAUUCCGGUUUGAAUCCCUUAGUGAUUCCGUCGGCAAUUCGAACAGUGAAUCGGUCACGUCACUGUAUGGAGCUGCCGGUGUAAAUCCCUCGGUGAUUCCAUAUAUAAAAUCACCUGCAAAAACAUCCACAUCAGCGAACCGUCUUUUUUUUUAAUUCUGAAUAUUUCGUCUGUAAUUCUGAAUAUAUAAAAUUAUAAAUAAUUAAAUAAAAAUAAACCUCAAGAAAUAUUUCAAGACAUCAAGGAUAAAAGACUAAUUUACUCCUGAUAAUGUAAGUUAGUUAUUCGUUUUUACUCAUGUUUUUUAUCAAAAUAAUUUUUAUUAGUAGCGUGUUUGUUUAAUUAAAACUAUAGGUAAUUGAAAUAAUUUUUCUCUCUUUUUUCUUUUCAGUAUCCUAGAGGCGGCUUGAAAUCCAUGCUCAUGUUUUUUCUUGUUUUUCUUCUCUUUGGUGAGUUUCAAUUUUUCUCUUCUAUUGUACUGUCGCAUAUGUGCGUUGUCGCGGUGAAAAAACAUUCACUCUCAAAAUUAUAUGUAUCUAUGUGGCAAAUAUAGGAAGACAAGGAAUUCUUAUCUUUUAUUAGUAGAAAAAUAGAAUGGGAAUCGCCACCUAAUAUUUUGGUCACUAGGAACCCUAACUGGUCUCAGAGAUCGAGUACGGACACUGGUUGCGUAAAAGAAAGGUAUUAGCACCCCAAAUACGCUCUGCCUAAGGUAAGCUGCAUUGUUUUAUUGUCUGAUAAAAUCUAAGCUCUUGUCGUGUUUUCUAGUUUCUGAUCUGUUUAUGGUUUAAGAAAAGUCCUCCUCGGUAAGGAGGUCCUUAUCUUAUCGGGUAAAAACCUAACCAUUCUAAAGUUAAAAAACUAUCUUUUUAAUAUCGAGACUACGCCUUAUAUAUAAGCGCGUUAUCCUUAAUAUUAAAAGAAAAAAAUAUUUGUUUUUGGAAUUUUUGAAAUAUUGGUCUAGUUCUCGUGACUUUAAUAAACGGGUUAUUAAAGUCAAAAUACAUGCUAAAACAUUUGUUUUUUUUCUUUUUUUUGAGAGACUUGGCCGUAUGAAAACAAAAUAUUUUUAAAAUUUUUUUAAUGUUUUGACGAAAACCACGUAUUUUAAUACCGGAUUUGUAUCUUUACAGUAUACAAAUACAAACCAAUAUAAAUCAAAAUGUCGUUAAACAUUUAUGCAGAAAAAUCACAAAUUUCAAAAAAAAAAUUAAUUUUUUUGUAUGGGCUGGACUCGGCCCAAGAGAAAACUAGACCGAGAUCUGGCCAAAAUGAAAUCGGGCCAGAACUGACCCAAAAGAGAACCUACUUGUGGUGGGACUCAACCCAGCCGCGUGGGGUGGGUUGAUGUUCCAGCCCAAAACAAAUCAAUGUAUUGGUUGCUGGUUACUCUGCUGAGCACAAUAACUAGUGAAUUAUAAUUAGGUGGUUACUGAAUUGCUCACGUUCUGCAUGCAAAUGAAGAAGAACAAAAAAUGGACAAAGGAGGAGGGAAGGUUACCUGCAAUGAGGGAGCGUGGUUGCUGUCUCUGGUGGCUUGUGGGGGCGGCGGCGGCGGCUGGGAACUCCAGUGAUUCUUCUUCCAAACGUGGUGGUUAUGCAGUGAGGACCUGCUGCGCCGGUCGAUGGUUCUUCUCCUCCUGAGAGUGUGAUUUAUUUUUUUUGCUUUGUCUCUACUCUUCUUGCUUCUCUCUUUCUCUUUUAUUUUCUUUUCUUUCGUUUCGUUCACUCUUUCUCUCUUCUCUGUUUUUGUUUCCCUCUUUCCCCUCUCCUUCUUCCCACCUCUGUUCUCCCCUGUUUCCUUCUCUCUAUCUCCCUAUCUCCUCUGUUCUUCUUUCGAUUUCUCUUCCCAAUACCCCUCUGUUUUGGUUUCUUUAUUUAUUCAUUCUCCCGUCAACUCCCCCCUGUUCUGUUGGUUUCCCCCUCCUCUCUGUCUCUGUCUCUAUCGUUUUGUUUUUCUUCUCCCCUGUUCUGCUCUGUCCCCCCUUCCUUUCCAAAACUUUCCCCGACACUCUCUCCUUCUCUUCCUUCUCUAAUCCUCCACUGUUCUCUCUUUCUCCUCUGUCUGUCCUUGUCUUUCCUCCUCCCCUUUCUUCAGUACAUCCUCUGGCCAGAGGAUGCAGGCGUUUUCAUUUGUUGUUGCAGGGACAGAGUAACGGCCGGCGUGCAUGGUGGCGAGUGAUAUCAGCCGUGAGACAUGCCUCCUUGAUUGAAGCAAAUCAGCGCCUUCGCUGCUGCAUCGUCUCUCGGCCAGCUGCACACAACGUCUUCUGAAGAAAACAGUGUUCAGUGAAACGGCACCGUUUUGCAACUUUAAAUGAUAUUUCUGAUUUGGUCCUUGGAUGUUUUUGCAAUUUUGUAAUCAAACCCCGGAUAAAUUAUAAUUGGAUCCCUUGAUAUUAGCACCUUUUCCGGUUUAGUUCUUGGUUUCGGAUUGUUUCAAUCAAGUCCCUAAAUGACCAUCAAUAUUCAAUAAUUAUGCAAUUGAGCUCCUUAUUUAACCAAAUCAACUCUUCAAAAUUAUAAUUGAACCCCACAACUUUAAUUGACUUAAAAAAUAAUUUUUCUUGCAAUCAAACCCUCCAUAAAUUCAAUUAAACAUUAGAUAAAAUUUAAUUGAGUCCAUAAACAUAUGAUUUUGGACUUUUUUUUUCCUCCAAUUGAAUUUUCCUUGUCAAUAGAGCUUUCAUUAGUUAAAAAUAUACUGUUAAAUUUUUUUUUUAUAUUUUUGAACCUCCUCAAUCAAUUUCUGGUCAUUUUAUGAGCAUUCAACAUCCUUUUCUCGCUUCUAUUAUUUCUUUGAAUUUUUUUUAAAUAUAUAUUUUUUGUAUUUUUUUUAAUAUUUUGUGUGGAAGCCCAAAAGGAGUAAUAACACAUAAGUUCAAUUAAAGGGCCCUAUCCCAUUGUUUCUUUAAAGACUUCAGUAGAUUUGUGACGCCUAGUUAAAGGUCGGAAGAAAUAACUUGCUUUCUCUAUUCAAUAAAAUAAAAUAAUAAUAAUAAUAAUAAUAAUAAAAACCUCUCUCAUUCUUAUCUGAUGAAGGAAAAGGACAAAAGAUAUGGGGUGGAAAAGAAAAGGUGAAAAGAGAACAAUAUAUAUAUUCUCCAUUUUAAAAUAUGUAUUUUUAUAUUUUGAAAUGCAAAUAUAAAAAUAUGGUGUUAUUAAUUUAUACUUUGCCUUUGAGCAUACAUAAUACAUUACAUUUCAUGGAAUCGUUACUUUAAUUAAAAACCCAGCAACAUCGUGAAGGAAAACAAAAGGCAAGAAGAAGACAAAUAAGACCCCGUUUGUUUGCUGGAAAGUAGUUUCCUUUUGAAAAGUGAAUUCCGGAAAAGUGAAUUCCGAGAAAAUGAAUUAUUUUUUUAUGUUUGAUAGUGUAAUUGAAAAUAAGUUGGAAAACACUUUCCAGUGUUUGGUUAUGUCAUGGAAAAUGAGCUGGAAAAUAACUUAUUAAUGUUUUAUUUUUCUCAAGUUUAUUAAAAUAAUGAGGAACAAAUCUUACAAAUUAAAAAGUUGAAUGAGAAUGAAAUUGAAAAAAAAUAUAAUUUCAUAAAUUAUCUCAAAUAAAAUAAAUAAUAAUCAAAAUAAUAGAGAUCAAAUCUAAAAAAUAAAAAAAAAUGAAAGAUGAAGAAAUCAAAAUAAUAAUAAUUAACAUUUCAUAAAUUAUUUUAAAUAAAAUAAGUAACAAUCAAAAGAAUGAGGACCAAUUUGAUAGAUAAAAAAUUUCAAUAAAAAAAUGAUAAGGAAAAAGCAAAUAACAAUUAUAAAAAUGAGGACCAAAGUUAAUAUAAAAAUUAAAUUUUAAGAGAUGAAAUUGAAAAAUAAAUAAUCAAAACAAAAUAUAUAUAGCAAUCAAAAGUUUGAGGACCAAAUUUGAUAUAAUCAGCAAAUAAUAUGACAUUUCUAAAUUUUUCACAACUUCCGGAAAGUGUUUUCCGCCCAAAUUUUCAAGGAAAACACUUUCCUGGAAACCAAGCCAAAUUUUCUUUUGAUUGGAAAGUGUUUUCCGUUGACCAACUUUUCUAAUGGCAAACAAACACAUGAAAGUUUGGAAAAUGGUUUUCCGGAAAGUGAAUUCCGGGAAACAAACAUAGCCUAAGAGUGCAAGACCCCGAAAGGUACCUCCUACCUCGUGAAUGAUCUUAUGAGAAAUUGGUAAAUGUCUCCCUUUUUCACACUUGGGUCAUUGAGAAAAGUGUGUGGCCCAGCCACCGUGCAAUAUCCACUGACGCCACGUUUGAUUGUAGGUGGGUUUGCUUAAUGCGGCGGUGGACGAGGAGUGUUUCGAUUGAAAAAGAGGAGGGUUUUCCUUCUAUUUUUAAGAGAGAAAAAAAGAGCCAACUUUCUACACCUCUUAUCAAGGAAACUAAUGAAUUCAAAUCACUGCCAAUUCAAGCGUAGCUGUCACACGAGAAAUGCCAGAUUUUGUGCUUUCCAUAACUAUAGGAUCAGUCUGUUAUUCCUGCAAAUAUUACUAUUGAUUCUGAUUGUAAAUAUUCGUCCCUUACACACAUUCGAAUCUCUGAAAUUAAGCUCUCAGGGUUGUAUAAAGAUUACAAGAAAUGAAUGGAAAAUGUGUGAGUUGUAUUACAAUAAUAUUGCAGUGUAAGUUGCUUUAUGGUAUUAGAGCCUGAAAAUCUCUAAAGAGUAUUCAUCCUUCUUACUUCCUUCUUUCUGCUUCCUGCAAAAUGACCACCAUCUAUGCAUCUACCACCAACUCACCAAACUCACCCAUCAUCACAAUCAAUGCUGCCACAACCAUCAACGAAAAACUCAUCCCCUCUACUUUUCCUCAGUGGAGGGCUCAAUUUGAAGCCUUACUCAUUGGCUAUGACUUUAUUGAUUUUGUAACGGGUAUACACCAAUGCCCUGCCAUUGAUACACUGAAUUCCACUGCCUCUAAAGCUACGAAUUCCCACUGGAUUCGCCAAGACAAGCUCAUCUUACAUGCCAUCCUCACCUCCACCUCCACCACCAUUACCCCUCUUCUUGCUGCCUAUAAAACAUCCCAUGAGGCUUGGAUAGCACUUACCCGUUUAUAUACGGGGAAAUCAAAAACGCGUGUGAUGCAGCUCAAAGAAGAUUUGACCCUGAGCAAUCGUGGGUCUCGCACAGUUACUGAAUUCCUUCAAGGAAGCAAAGUGAUUGCUGAUGAACUAGCAAUCAUUGAUCAUCUAGUUUCAGAUGAUGAUUUAACUCUAUACAUACACAAUGGAUUGGGUAUUGAAUUCAGAGAAAUUGCAGCUCCCAUUCGUGCCCGCGAGACUUCUCUGAAAUUUGAAGAAAUUCAUGACCUUCUUGUCAAUCAUGAGAGUUAUCUUCGGCGGCUUGAGCACCAAUCUGCAACCCAGUUUGUACCCACUACUAAUUACUCUAGUCGAUGGAGCCCUCAGUUUUCUUCUUAUUCCAGAUAGCCUAAAUGGUGCCCCCCAGUUGCUUCUCAUAACUCUCGUGGACACAGUAGGCCUCACAGAAAUGGGUCAUUCAAUUCGGGUCACAGGAGGUUUAAACUGAAAUGUCAAUGGUGUGAUCAACUGGGUCAUACAGCAAAACAAUGUCCCAAAAUGUCUACUUCUGAUUUCACUGCAAAUUGUGCAGCUUGCUCUCAACAAAAAAAUCACAAGUGGUUAGUUGACUUAGCAGCAUCUCACAAUAUGACCACUGAUCUCUCUAAUCUGAUGAUUAAUUCUGAAUAUGAUGGUACUGAUGAGGUGGUAAUUGGUGAUGGAUCAGGUUUGCCCGUGUCUCAUAUUGGGUCCUUGUCUCUUAAAUCGUCCAAUCAUGUCUUUCAUUUACGUGACACUCUUUGUGUUCCAACCAUUCAUAAAAAUCUCAUUUAUGUUCACCAUUUUACCAAGCAUAACAAUGUUUAUAUUGAAUUUCAUCCUACUUAUUUUUUGGUAAAGGAUCGGAUCACGGGGGCGAUACUACUCAAAGUCGAUUGUGAAGAUGGAGUGUACCCAUUUCCGGAGCAUCUACCAUCCACCAAGAAAAAUAUUGUUGCCUAUGUUCAUGAACGUACUACACCUGAUGGAUGGCACAAACAUCUUGGUCAUCCAUCGUCCAAAUUGGUUCAUCAUCUCAUUCAUGCUUUUUCUUUACCUACCAAUAAAAUGGUCAUUCCUCUCUGUGCACUUCAUGCUCUCAAAAUAAAGCUCAUUGUCAAACAUUUAGUACUCAUGGACUUACCAGCACUACUCCAAUUAAAUUGAUUUACACGGAUGUUUAGGGCACAUCUCAUGAUCUUGCAAUUAAUGGCUUAAAAUAUUAUAUUAUUUUUGUUGAUCAUUAUACCAAAUAUAUUUAGCUUUAUCCCAUGACUCAUAAAUCAAAUGUUCAAACCAUUUUUCCAUAAUUUCGUAAUCUUGUGGAAAAUCGAUUCAACAUAAAAAUUAAAAGUCUUUAUUCUGAUAAUGGUGGGGAAUAUAUUGGCCUCAAAAUUUAUCUUUCUGUCCAUGACAUUAGUCACUACACUACUGCUCCCCACACUCCCCAACAAAAUGGUAUGUCUGAAAGGCGACAUUGCCACCUUGUUGAAACUGGUCUUACCUUACUCACCGAUGCUCAUAUGCCUCUCUCUUAUUGGCCCUAUGCAUUUCAAAUUGCUGCCUAUCUUAUCAAUCGCAUGCCCACCGUUACCUUGAAUAAUCAAUCUCUGUUUGAAAAAUUAUUCAACCAAAGGCCCAACUAUCUCAAGCUCAAACAGUUUGGUUGUCUCUGUUAUCCGUUAACUCGGCCAUAUAAUAAAUAUAAACUUAAGCUGAAAUCUAAACCAUGCACAUUCAUGGGUUACAGCCUAUCCCAAAAUGCAUAUUUAUGUUUUGAGCCAUUAACCAAAAAAAAUCAUCACCUCUUGACACGUAAGUUUUCAUGAAGGGUCCUUUCCUUUUCAUCAACCAGAUCAUAACAGUUCCCAUCCUUCUCCAUCUGUUGAGCAACAUUCAUCUGUGAUGAUCUUGUUACCAAAGCUUUCUUUUGCUAGUCCCAGCACUUCUCCGGAUGUGGGUACUGAAGUCUUGCCAUCAUCUGAGCAUGGGUCACCCUCUGCACCGUCUCCUCUCCAGAUAAGUACUCCCUCUUCUCCCUUGCUUUUAAAUCCAAAUACUUCAAUAUAAUUGUUUGCCCCUACUAUCUCUGAAAACACUGAGGUGCCAGUCCACCGCAUGACUACUAGGUCCAUGAAAGACAUCCAUAAACCAAAAAAAUCCUUCCUUGUUACCAAACAUCCUGUCCCAUCAUCCUUGGAACCCUCGAGUGUUACUGCAGCACUCACUGAUUCCAGAUGGCGUAAAGCCAUGUCCUCAGAAUUAACUGCUUUAAUGUGUCACAAUACCUGGCAAUUAGUACCCCCUCCAACUGAUUGUAAUAUUGUUGGCUGUAAAUGGGUGUUUCGGGUUAAAAGGCAUGCUAAUGGAUCUGUUGAUCAGUUCAAAGCCAGGCUAGUGGCCAAAGGGUUCAAUCAGCGACCAGGACUGAAUUACAAAGAGACAUUCAGUCUUGUUGUUAAAUUAGUCACCAUACAAACUGUCUUAGCUAUUGCUGUGAUGCAGGGUUGGUCUUUGAGGCAAUUGGAUGUUAAUAAUGCAUUCCUUCAUGGGCAUCUCACUGAAAAAGUGUAUAUGAAGCAACCUUCUGGUUUCAGGAAUCCGGAACAUCCUGAUUAUGUUUGUUGUCUUACCAAGGCCAUCUAUGGCCUAAAACAAGCACCUCGUGCUUGGUACUCUGCACUUAAACAUGCACUAACAGAGUUUGGUUUCAUUAAUUCUAAAUCUGACUCAUCUCUAUUUGUGUUUCAUACUAGUUCUACUAUUGCCUACUGCCUAGUGUAUGUUGAUGAUUUGAUUAUUACAGGCAAUAAUUCAGUUUUUGUUGCAAGCAUCAUUGAUCAUCUUGGCCAGAAAUUUUCCAUCAAAGACUUGGGGUCACUGCAUUUUUUUCUUGGUGUUGAGGUCAUUCCUACUACAGCCGGCUUGUUUCUCACUCAGCACAAGUAUAUCAGAGAUUUACUUGCCAAGACUAGUGUGGACGGUGCUAGGGAUGUCACCACACCUCUCUCAACAUCUGUUUCCUUACAACUGGAUGAUGGUUCCUUCUCUGUUGAUUCCACCGAAUAUUGUCAAGAUAUUGGCGCUUUGCAAUACAUGUCCCUCACACGACCUGAUAUCAACUUUGCUGUCAAUAAACUCUCCCAGUUUAUGCAUUUUUCAUGGUGUUACUAUCAGCAAAACAUCCAACACCAUAUUGACUUGUUUCUCGAAUGCUGAUUGGGCUGAUAGUCUGGACGACAGGAAAUCCACUUCAGCCUACCUACUAUUCCUUGGUAACACACCAAUUUCCUGGAGUUCUAAAAAGCAACGUGUAAUUGCACGAUCAUUAACUAUAGCCGAGUAUAGGGCUUUGGCAAUGGCUGCAACAGAGUCCGUGUGGCUACUAUCCUUGCUCCAAGAACUGAAGUUUAGUCUAUCACAGCCACCACUCCUCUUAUGUGAUAAUAUGGGUGCAACACAAGUGAGUUUUAAUCCUGUCCAACAUUCUCGGAUGAAAUAUAUACAGAUUGAUAUUCGCUUUGUGCGAGAUUUGGUUGCGAAAAAUAUUCUUGUUGUUCAACAUGUCCACACAACUGACCAGCUAGCUGAUCUGCUCACCAAGCCUCUCUUCAGGCAAUGAACAGAUUUCCUAUGUGACAAGAUCGGCCUAUCUGAUGGUAGCCCGUUCUUGCGAGGGCGUAUCAAAGAAACUGAUGAAUUCAAAUCAUUGCCAAUUCAAAUGUAGUUGUCCCCAUGAGAAAUGCCAGAUUUCAGGGCUGUAUAAAGAUUACAAGAAAUGAAUGGAAAAUGUGUGAGUUGUAUUACAAUAAUAUUGCAAUGUAAGUUGCUUUACCUCUCGCCUAUACUACAACAUGAUAUACAAUAUAAUUAGUACAAAAACACAAGGCAGUACUUGAUGCAAAUCAGGGAAAAGGACUCCCCAUAGUUUCGUGAUCAAAGCCUCCAUCAACAUGGGAGCUGCUGCAAUCUUGUUUCUUUUCUGUUAUUACUUUUUCUAGUUUAUUACUUUCCUAGUUGGAUUUGGAAAUCUAUUCUGUUAUUGUUUUCCUAGUGUAUUAUUUUCCUAGUUGGAACUGGAGACUGUAUUAGUAUUUAAGGGAGGAUGAAAAUAAUAUGAAGGACCAUUAUUUUUUGCCAUCCUAUGACUCUGAGUUGAGUUUUCCUUGGAGUGAUUCCAACACACAGAGAGAUUUUAUGCUAGUCCCUGUUCUUGGUAUUCAGCAUGAAGCUGCUCCAAGAAAACGUUGACACCAAUUUGGUAUAAGAGCUUCAGUGUGGUUACCCGGUUCCAUUCAUUGCGGUGUUUUACGUCCAUGCUUGUAACCCGCAGUGGUACUUCGUACGCCAUGGUAACCAACCAAAUCCCGAACAACCCAAAUCCAACCAACCAAAACCCAAACAACUCAAACCCAACCAACUAACACCCGAAUAACACAAACAACCCAAACUCAAGCCAUCAAAACCCAAACACCCGAGACACAGACCAGUCUCAACUGCAAUAUCAGGUUGAUCAGAUCGCCAUAGUGAUGGAGCAACUUAUUCAUCGACUAGAUGUCAUGGAGGAGCGUUGUGCUCGAGAGGAGUAUGGUCCCUUUAAUUGGUGAGGGCGCAGAGCAGUUCAUAGAGAGAGGUUGGGCGAUAGUGAUGGAGAUGUUUAUGAGGAAGAAGAAGGAAAUUAGGAGUUUGAGGGUCAUGAACCUCAAGUUCGAUGUCAUAGGUGAAACAUGCACAAAGGACAUGAGGAUCAUGGUGCAGGUUAUCAACCUCUUGAUGAAUUGACCAAAAGAAUGAAGGUUGAUGUUCCAGAUUUUUUUGGAAAACUAGAACCCAAUGCUUUUGAAGACUGGUUAACAGCUAUCGAGGAUUACUUCGAUUGGUUUGUUGUUUCAAAGGAUAGGAAGGUUCGUUACGUUCGGAUGAAAUUAAAGAGCCAUGCAUGAGCAUGGUAGGGGAGUGUGGAAGAAUAAUUGUGCCAAACAUGAAAACCAGGAAUUUCUAAUUAGGAAGAGAUGACAGAGAGACUAAAAGAAAAAUAUUUGCCCAUUGACUAUGAGCAAAUGAUGUUCAAGGAGAUGUUGCAACUCAGACAAGGUUCAUUAAGUGUUGAUCAAUUUACAGAUCGCUUCCACGAAUUGACUGUACGUAGUAAGGUUAUGGAAACUGAACAACAAACUUUAGCCCGAUACCGCACUGGAUUAUGCAGCGACCUGCAUAAAGAAAUGUGGACUGCAUGCUUAAUCAACGUGGAAGAGGCGUAUCAAUUGUCACUCCAUUUUGAGAAACAAAUAGGGCCUUCUAUUGGGAGAAAAAUGACGUCGUGGGAUUCAAAAUCAGAACUUGUCCCAGCUUCUUCAACCCAAAGGCUCCCAUCACUGAGGGAUCAAACUAGAAGUGGGGUCAUUAGAGAUUAUAAAGGAAAAGCCAAAGCCUCUAAUGAAGAACCACAAUGUUACAAGUGUAAAGGCUUCGAACACUAUGUUGUUGUAUGCCCUACAAGGGAUAAAAAGUUAGCAUUUAUUUGUCAAAAAGAAUUGUUAAUAAAGGACACUGUUGAAGACAUGGAGGAGGAAGAAAUUGAUGGGAGUAGACAUAGUGACGAAGAACACUUGAGUGCAUCAAAAUUACCUAGCUGUGUUAUCCAUCGAAUAUUGACAGGAACUAGAAAGGAGCUUCAGGCUAAUCCCAAAUGGUUACGCACCAAUAUUUUUCACACUCGUAUGGAGCAUAAUGGUCGGGCUUUGAAUGUCAUUAUUGAUAAUGGCAGCAGCAUGAACAUGAUCUCCGAAGCUGCCAUUGAAUGUUUGGGGCUGAAGACUGAGAAGCACCCCACCCCUUACCGGAUUAGCUGGGUUAAUGAGGCCAAUUCAGUCCUAAUGAAGCAGCGUUGCUUGGUUAAAUUUUCAUUGGGAAAAAAAUAUGUUGACGAAGCUUGAUGUGAUGUAAUUCCUAUGACUGUGUGCCAUAUGCUACUGGGACGUCUGUGGCUCUAUGACCGGAGAGUUCUCUAUGAUGGGUAUGCUAAUACUUACUCUUUUAAUUUCCAAGGUAAGAAAUUUGUAUUGGAUCCCCUACAGAUUUCAAAAUUUGAUACAAAAAAUGAGGUUGUCCCAGUUUUAACAAUGUGAAAAUUCUCUCGAAUUGUACAAGCGGAAGAUAUGGUGCUAUUAGUAGUGAGCCGUGAGGUGAAGCAGGAGGACGACAUUAUUCCAACAGAGUUCUCGACAAUGUUGGAAGAAUUUUAGGAUAUCAUGCCUGAUGAGAUUCCAAAUCAACUACCUCUAAUGAGGGAGGUACAACAUGCCAUUGAUCUGAUUUCGGGAUCAACCCUGCCUAAUUUACCACACUAUCGUAUGAGCCCAACGGAGAAUGAAGAGCUUAGUCGUCAAAUUCAACAAUUACUGGACAAGGGUUUCAUUCGAGAGAGUCUCAGGCCCUGCACUGUCCCGAUUUUACUUACACCAAAGAAGGACGAUAGUUAGAGGAUAUGCAUCGAUAGUCGAGCAAUUAAUAAGAUAAAUGUGAAGUACCAAUUUCCCAUUCCUUGUCUUGAUGAUAUGUUGGAUUCACUAUAUGGCUCCUUUAUUUUCACUAAGAUCGACCUUCGAAGUGGUUAUCACUAGAUUCGUAUCCAGGUGGGUGACCAGUGGAAGACAGCAUUCAAGACAAAAGAUGGUCUAUUUGAGUGGCUAGUCAUGCCAUUCAAACUAACCAACGCACCAAGCACCUUCAUGCGCGUAAUGACGCAAGUUCUCAAACUAUUUUUAGGCAAAUUUGCUGUUGUUUAUUUAGAUGACAUCUUAAUUUUUAGCCGAAGUGUGCAGGAGCAUUUAAGCCAUGUCGAACAGGUUCUGAAGGUCCUAAGAGCUGAACAGCUCUAUAUUAAUAAAGACAAGUGUUCGUUUAUGAGGAAAAGUGCCAAGUUUCUAGGUUUUAUAAUCUCUAAUCAAGGUGUCGAGGCUAACCCUGCAAAGGUGCAAGCUGUACAGCAAUGGCCAACUCCCCAGAAUAUAUCUGAAGUCCGGAGCUUUCACGGCUUGGCCACAUUUUAUCGGCGAUUUAUUCGCAAUUUCAGCGCAAUCAUGGCCCCAAUCACCAAGUGCCUGAAAGAAAAGAAAUUUGCAUGGAGUACGGCAGCUGCCAAAGCAUUCACAGAAAUUAAAAAAAAAAGAUAGGGCAAGCACCAAUGCUCAAGUUACCAGAUUUCUCCAAAAUUUUUGAAGUAGCUUGUGACGCGUCACAUGUGGGAAUCGGGGGGGCGCUGAGUCAGGAGGGCCAUCCCAUUGCUUUUUAUAGUGAGAAGCUUAAUGACACUCGCCAGUGAUACUCGGUAUAUGACAUGGAAUUCUAUGCUUUAAUUCAAACACUCAAGCAUUAGCGCCUUUAUUUGAUCCACAGAGAGUUUAUCCUCUUUACAGACCAUGACUCCCUGAAACACUUAAAUUCCCAAAAUAAAAUUAAUGCACGACAUGCUCGUUGGAUGGAUUAUCUACAGCAGUUUGAAUUCGUUAUUAGACAUAAGUCAGGGACGGAAAAUAAGGUGGCCGACGCCUUAAGCAGGAUACCACACUUAUUGCAUAUGUUUUCAGCUAAUGUUGCAGGUUUCGACAGUAUGAAAACAGAAUAUACCAACGACGAGGACUUUGGUAGUGUAUGGAAUAAUAUCUCUAAACAAGGGCAUAUAGCUGAGAAGGAGUAUGUGUCGCGAGAUGGAUUCCUAUUCUUCAAAUCACAGCUAUGCGUUCCGCGUGGCUCCUUUCGGGAAUUUCUGAUAACAAAGCUCCAUGGCGGGGGUUUAGCUGGCCACUUCGGUCAUGAUAAAACUUUUGCUAUUGUUGCUGACCGAUUCUACUAGCCUCGAAUGCGGAGGGACGUGCAUCCCGUGGUUGAUCGGUGUCGAGUUUGCCAAUUAAAUAAAGGCACUAAGCAACCCGCAGGGCUCUAUACGCCACUUCCCAUCCUAGACAGACCCUGGUAGCAUCUUAGCAUGGAUUUUGUCCUUGGGUUGCCAAGAACUUUGCAGCAACAUGAUUCGAUUAUAGUGGUAGUUGACCAUUUUUCCAAAAUGGCCCAUUUUCUCCCAUGCCACAAGACUUACGAUGCAUCAAAAGUUGCUGCCUUAUUUCUGUAAGAGGUCAUUCGUCUGCAUGGUAUCCCAGUUUCGAUCAUGUCUGACAGGGAUGUUAAGUUUGUAAGUUUUUUUUGAAAAACAUUGUGGGCAAAACUGGGAACAUAUUUGAUGUUCUCCAGUGCCUUCCAUCCCAAAACGGACGGCCAAACUGAGGUCACCAAUAGAAGUUUGGGAAAUUUAUUACGUUGCCUAGUCGCGGAUCAUGUGACUAGCUGGGAUAUAGUGCUUCCGCACGCCAAAUUUACCUUUAACAACUCUGUUAACCGUUCGACAGGCUGCACCCCAUUUGAAGUGGUUUAUGGCUUUCGACCCAACACUCCACUUGAUAUUAUUUCAUUACCAUCACCACCUCGGCCAAGCGAGGCUGCGCUGGAUUUCUCCAACUAUAUGCGAGAUUUUCACGAGGAAUGCAAACAGCGCCCGACCACCCAUACAAGUUCUUAUGCAGCUGUGGCAAAUGCAAAACGCAAGGAUCAACAAUUUAAGAUAGGUGAUAUGGUUCUAGUUCGUUUGCGUCCAGAGCGUUUUCCUCCGUAGAGUUUUACUAAGCUACAUGCACGUAGAGCAGGCCCUUUCCAAGUCACCAAGAAAUUGGAUUCUAAUGCCUACGUCAUUGAUUUACCCACUGAUUUUGGUAUUAGUCCUAUUUUUAACAUUGAAGAUCUUACGGAGUUCAAGGGCAAUGUCAAAAACAUUACUGCACUACCAGUUCCAGCCAUAACACUAGUACCACGAGUUCCAGAAAUUACAGCACCACGAGAUGAGAUUGUUGCCAUUCAUGACCAUCAAUUUGUUACCACUCUCGAGGAGGUUAUUAUAGGUUCUUAGUGCAAUGGAAAAAUCGUCCAGGUUCAGACUCUGUCUGGUUGCAAGCUUCAGAGAUCAAGUGUUUACACCCACACCUAUUUACAACAUACACCAGUCAAAACUUGCCAGAGUCAAGUUCUUCAGGGGGAGUGGUAGUUGAUGCAAAUCAGGGAAAAGGACUUCCCAUAGUUUUGUGAUCAAAGCCUCCAUCAACAUGGGAGCCGCUGCAAUCUUGUUUCUUUUCUGUUAUUACUUUUUCUAGUUUAUUACUUUCCUAGUUGGAUUUAGAAAUUUAUUCUGUUAUUGUUUUCCUAGUUUAUUAUUUUCCUAGUUGGAACUAGAGACUGUAUUAGUAUUCAAGGGAGGAUGAAAAUAAUAUGAAAGACUAUUACUUUUUGCCAUCCUACGACUCUGAGUUGAGUUUUUCUUGGAGUGAUUCCAACACACAGGGAGAUUAUGUGCUAGUCCCUGUUCUUGGUAUUCAGUGUGAAGCUACUCCAAGAAAACGUUGACACCAGUACUAUAUCAGAGGUUUUUUGUUUUUUUUUCUGUUUCUUUCAAAAGUGAACUAUAUGUCUUAUUCCCAAAAUAAUCUGCUUUUUUCUUUUCAUAAAAUCGUUUUUGAAAAGGCAACGUAGUUUUAUUUCUAUUUCCAUAGAGCAAAUAUUACUAAAAAAAGGUUAAAAUUCAAUCACUUGUGUUUGUGAAAAUCAAAUAUAUACCUAGAUACAUAACAUAAAUCAUUAAAACUAGGUGUGAUUAUUUUUAAUUUGUUCCUUUUGGGGUAAAAAAACAAUCAAACCAUAAAUUUUUAUUUUAGAUUUCAUAAUCAACCGAACUGAAAAUCAGUUUAAAUUAUAAACCUCUAGGAAUUUAAAAAUAAAAUAAAUAAAAAUUAAAAUAAUUUUAAAUAUGUUAUCAAUAGGUGAGGAAAAGAAAUAAUGGUAUGAAAAGUGUUCAUGUAAACCUGGUUGAAAUCAAUAAUAUUACCAUGAAAUGAUAUUAAAUAUGUAAAUGAACUAAAUGAUAAAAAGACAAAAUAAAUAUAUUUUAUAAUAAGAAAAUGAUCCUGAGAAUUUAUUGUGAUAACCGAUACGAUCCAUGUAAAGAUGACACAAGAAAAUUCGGAUUUUGGUGUAAAAUCACCUACCAACUAGUUUUAUACUAUCAAGUAUAAUUCUCAAUACAAUCAUCUGAUCAUGUUGAAAUCUUACAAGGAGUCUUCUAAUAUAGUUUUCUAUAUUAGGUUAAAAUUUUAGAGUAAUCGGAAUAUAAAAAGAUUAUACAAGAAUGUCGACAAUUGGAUAAAAAAUAAAAUAUGUGCUUAAUUGUUAAGAUCUAUUAUUAAAAAGAACUUGAAAAUUUUGGAAGAUUACCUGCUAUGUGCUACUGAAUUUUAUUUUUUAGAUUUCAUAAUCAGACCAAACUAAAAAUUAAUCUAAAUUGUAAAUUUAUAAAAAUUUAAAAAUAAAAUAAAUAGCAAAUAAAUAAAAAUAAAAAUGAGUUUAAAUAUAUGGUCAAUAGGUUAGAAAAAAAAAAGAAUGGUAUGAAAAAGUAUUGAUAUAAACCACCUUGCAUUACCUAAUUUACAGAAGUUAUGGGCGCACACCUUAUUAGUAUGACACUACACAACCAUUUACUAGUAUUACACUGCUCACACCUAAUUCCUUAUUGUAGAAUUUAUAGGCACAUUUUCUUUAUUAAUAUGACGCGAUAGACACCCACUUCUUUGUUGUAGAGCAUUUACAUGUCUCAUCAAUGACUUGUACGAUGCUAUAAUGUCUCACGAAUUAAUAGCACAGCAACCAACAACCAACAGCUCAUUUUUUCUAUAAUUACUCAUGUACAAUAUAUCUACAAUCUUACUCUUUAUGAGAUAAUUUUAUAUGUAAUUAAUAUUUUUUAUUUUAAAUUAAAUAAAAUUGAGGACUUGAUUAAAUCAAAUAAAUUAAUUUUUAUUUUAAUUAAAAAUUAAAAAAAUAAACAACAACAAUAGAUAGACUAAAUUAACAAAAACAAAAAAAACAUGAUCACAAUAACUUAAAAAAAUAUUUUUAAAAAAAUAAAGCAAAUAAUAAAAUUUAAUUAUCAACUUAUUAAAUAUAAAAAGAUAAAAUUUGAUAAAAAAAAAAAGACAAAAAAAUUCAUUUCAAUUCAACCCAAGUUAUCAUAGCAAACCUAUAACCAGGGUGAACUCGCUAAAUUCGCACCCUCGGUUAUGAAAUCAAAAUAACCUGAUAUAAAAAAUAAAAAAAUCACAAAUCUCAUUUUUGUUUUGAAAAAAAUUCAAUGUUGAAUGAUAAAAGUUACAAAGAAAAUACAUAAUAAAAAAAACUAUGUGAACCUGAGUUAACUUUUCAAAGCCGUGAACUGGAUCAUUAAACUGAAAGCAACCUAUAUAAUUUAUCUUUAUGAUAUUUUUAGUUGUAUUGUGAGCUACAUUCCAAUAGUCUAGAUCUCAGAUUGACCAAGUCUUGUCUAAUCUAGCAAACACAAAAUAAAACAAAUUAUCUAGUAUAAUCCAAAACACAUCAAAUAUAAAACAAGAUAAUUAUUUAUGCCACGCGUGCUCCUUCAUUUGACCACACAACACCAUCCCCGCUGCCACAUGCCAAUUCACCUCGGUCUGCUACGAACAUGAUGAACACAACUUCUCCUCAGCAACAAGUUCAACAGCAGCAACAGCAAAGGGAAAAGAUGAUGCAGUUACCUCAGCAUCAGAUACUUGCUCAGCAACAGCAAAGGCAAAAGAUGAUGCAAUUCUAUUUCUUUUUGUUUUGUGUGUAUGAAACCAUAACAUUUAUGGCGUUUUUCAAAUGCAGACACAACCGUUGAAUUUUUAAAUUUUAAUGAGGAAAUCAUGUCCCAAAGUUUAGAAGAUUCAUGUUCUUAUACCCUUUGAAAUCUGCCCCUGCAUGUGUCUCUAUGUACGUAUGUCUAAGAAUCAUUAUUGGGUAAAAGAUCAUCUUUAGUUUUGGGUUGAAUCAAAAUGAAUCCUUGCAUUUUUGUAGCUUUUCUGAAACUUUGAGGAGGCAACAAAAUACUUUAAAUUGAACUGAACUUUCUGUUUCACUGCCUAGAACUACUAUAUAUACUUUAAUUUUAACUGUGAAAAGAAUAAGUUAUCCAUGAAAGACGACAAAUGAACCUAGAGAAAAGAUUAUUUUAUCCAUGAAAGACAACUUUUUGUAUUUUUUUUUUUGAAGGGCAAAGACUUUAAUGUGCUAUUAUAAUCCAAGGUAAUUAAAGUUCUGUUAAUAAUAGCACCUGAAUGGAAGAUCCAUCUUGUUUAAAAUCUAAGUUAUUGAUAAAUAGGUUAACUCGAAUUAAUUUAAAUUCACUAGAUCAAAAAUCCAGGUUAUUGGUCGAGUAAGUUAACCUUAUUUAAUCUUAAUAUAUUUUUUAAAAUUAAAAUAUCUUCAUAUUAGACUUUUUUAAAUGAAAAGUAAACUUGAAAUGACAUGAUUUUAAAGAAAAAAACUAAUUUUUUCACUUAAACUAUCUCAAAUUAGAUUUUAGAUCAAUGAAUCACCAAGUUAACUCGAGAUUUAAUAUAAUUAAGCCUAGGUGGACAAAGAUCACUAGGCCCUAUUAAUAAAGAAAAAAUAAAAAACAAAAGUUGUGGGAUGAAAAAGAAAAGGAAAGGAAAAUAUAUCAUAGCAUAUCUUCUCCAUUAAAUUUAUAAUCAUCAUUUUUUUACUCAUGUUUUUAAAUAAAAUAUUUUUUAUUAGUAAGAUAUUUUUUAAUUAAAAAUAAAGGUAAUUAAAAUAAGUUCUUGUAAGAGUUUGAAUGAUUUAAAAUAAGCAGGAAAAACUAUAUUUAUUAAAUCUAAACUAUAUUGAUUUAUUAUUGAAUUUUAUUUAAGAAAAAUAAAUUAUUUUGUUAUAAGUAUUGUUUCUUAAAUUAAAACAAAACUAAUCACAAUCUUAAAAGAAAGUUUUUAAAAAAUAAAAUUUGAAAAUUAUAUCUUAAAAAAUAAGAAAAAGAUUAAUCUAAUUUUUUUUUAAUUUAUAAUAAAGAAUUGCAAAGUAGAAAUCUUAUAUUUAUUGAAUAUUUAUAAUCACAAAUUUAAAAAUAAUUGAUCCAGAGAUGAACGUGGGGGGGGGGGGGGGGGGGCUUUUCUACUUGAAAAUGUUCAUGCUUUUUCUUGUUUUUUUCUCAUUGGCGAGCUUCAUUAUUUUCUCUUCUAUCAUAGGUUCAAUUAUUGGACCGUAUCCCACUGUUUUCUUUAAAGACAUUAGUAGACAUACCAUCAAUGUUUGUUUGUUUUUUUUACAUGCUUUCUCUAUUCAAUAAAAUAAUAAUUAAAAGUACCUCUCCUUUUAAUCUUAUCCGACGAAGGAAAGGAAGAGGACAAAAGAUGUGGGGUGCAAAAGAAAAGGAGAACAGAGAAGAAUAUCAUAUAUAUAUAUAUAUAGGAGUCAAAAAGAAUAGUAAAAGGAAAACAAAGAGAGGAAGUAUUAACCUUUCCAAAUGCUAAUAUUGACACUAAGGAAAUAUAUAUAUAUAGAACAAAAAUAAAACGUUGCACAUCAAAUGUUUUUAAGAAAUUAAUGGAUUCAAAUAUACAAUAUGAUGUUAUUAAUUUAUACUUUGCCUUUGAACAUAGAUAAUACAUUACAUCUCAUUGAUCCGUUACUUUAAUUAAAAACCAGCAACGCCAUAAAAGAAAAAAUAAUAAUAAAUAAAAGCAAGAAAGAGAUAAAAAAGAAUGCAAGAUUUUAUUAUUAUUCGGUGGGGCAACACAAGCAUGAUUGAGAAAAGGAAAGGUAAUUUUUUUGUGGAAUAACUUAAUUAAUUAAUUUUUGAGCUUAUUAUUUAAAAAUACUAGUUCGAGUAUUAUAGAUAUCGAGAUUACCAGAAAUCUAUAUAAUUAUUAAUUUUAAAAUCUUGAAGAAUUAAUCAACAUACAUUUCAACUGUCUCGAACAUUAUAAAAGAAAAUUAGAAAGUUCCUUUUUUUUUUUUUUUACAGUUCGAUCAUUGAAAAUAUAAAAGAUAAAAAACCAAUGCAGACUCAAGAUCCCAAUUAAACCAUACCCAUUUACUUCAACACUCACUAAACAGAAAAAAAUUCAAAAUCCAAUCUUUACUUGUCCAUUAUGACCCUCAGGUAAAUAAAACACUCUUUCUCCAUGCUUGGGAACAUCACAAGUGGAACUACACAUGCCUUCCAUAACUCUAUGUUAUCCUAGAACCAAAAAGUCAAUUUUCCUAGAAAACAAACAAAAUAAAUAAUGUCAUUUCACACUUCACCUUCAUUGUUCCCCAGUGGAAUUUACCAUCCUCCUCUUCCUAUUCCUCGAUUCGUAGCCAUCACUUUUUAAAACCCACCAAGCAACAAAAGCAGCAGCCAAAGUCGACAAUAACUUGAAGAAUCGUGCUUUCAAAAUAGAGACGUGCGAGAGAAGAAAAAUGCGAGACAACCAGAGAGGCAGAAGCGGGGUUGGCUAUGAAAGGGCUUUGGUGGACAUCGAGAGAGAAAAGGUUGAGAUGAGGAAAGGAGUGCAGGUUGUGAGAGUGAAUUUUUGGAUUUGAGUUAUUUUAAGACACUUUUCUAUUUAUAAUUCUGUUAAGUUAAUAAUAUUUUUAAUUUUUUGGUUUAACAAUUCUGGUCCGGUCUCCUUCUAUCGGUUUCAGAAUUUUAAAACUGAAACUAAACAGAAUUUAUUUAUUUUUGUUUUUUAAUAGGUUAUUUUUUGUUAGGGUUUUUUGGUUUUUUUUUUUUUAGUUUAAUAAGUUUUUUGGUUUUUUUUUUCUCAUCCCUAAUUAAAAUAUUACUAUCCAUUCAUUAUGCAUUUUUUUUAAAGUUUUCUAUGUAGCUCUAGUUAAUAUUUGCAAUUGAGUUCCUAGUUUUAAUAAUCUUUGCAUUUAAGUAACAAUAUUUCAUUAUAUUCUUGUUUUUAUCUCUAAAUAGCUGUAAGAGAAACGAAAGGAGAGGAAAAAUACUCCAAUUAAGGUAUUUUCCGGUCAUGAAAUUGUUAAACUUGGUUUUUAUGUGUUCAAUUGACUUCAAUAAUAUAUUGAGUUUUUUUAUUUGGUUGGGUUUUGAAGGUUUCUUUGCCAAUUAAGAUGUAUUUUGAUGUAUUUUAAGACUGAAAAUGAGUUUAUAAAGGUUGUUAGCAUAAUAUUUUGGUGUGUAGAGUGGAAAAUGAAAGAUUUGGAGUUGUAUGACUAAAACUAUAUUUUUGUAAUUUUCUAGCAACCAAACGGUUAUCAAAAAUAUUAAGUGGUCAAAAUUUUUUUUGGGAAAAGUAAUGGCUAUUUUUUUUCUUUACCUCUAUUUUUAAAAAAAAUUACAAUUUACAUUUUUUAAAUUUAUGAGUUCAUAACACUUUAUAACACGUUAUCAACAAAUAUUAUAAAGUAUUUCAUAUUCUUUUAUUAUGCAAAACAUAGUUGAUUUUUUAUUGUCACCAUAAGAUAAACCACUCACACACUUGAAGACUCCAUUAUCAAUUUAUCAAGGAUUGUAAGAGAUAAUGGAGAAUUUAGCUCUUCUUAUUAAGAAUAAAAAAGUAUUUUCUUCAGACAUCCAUCGAAAUAUAAAAAAAGCACAUCAAAUUUAUCUCCUUUCGAAAUUUUCCAUCAGAGACCACCAAAGGAAUGCAUAAUGGACACAGAGUUGAAGAUAAAGGGGAGAAACAUUAGAAGGGUUAGGGGUGGAGACAAACAUUUUGCAUUUAUCAAUGGAAUAAUUUUUUUUGAAAAAAAAAAUAAAGAUUUUUUUAAAUUAUUUUUUAUAUAAUUACCAAGGGAAAUUAAUUUUGUCGGCAAAUGGUAAGAAAUAGUUGAAAAAAUUAACAAAUUAAUUAAUUUUUCAUCAUUAUUUAACGGUGCAAACUAAUCUCUUAAUAAUGGUAUUGGUAAUAGUUUUUUUUUAAGCUAAUUCUGUUAGUAAGAAGUAGCAAUUUAAAUUUUUUUCUUUAAAUAAAAGUUUUUUUUAAGUUGUGAGUUUUUUUUAAACUACUUAAGUGUGAUUAAUUCUUAAUUUUUUAAACUUUUUAUGUUCAUGUAUUUAUUUCAAUUUAUCAACUUAUAUUUUGAGGUUUUUAAUUGGAGAAGUUCAGGAUCUGUAUUGUCUUUCUAAUUUUAAUGACUCUAUUAUCAUAUUAAUUUUAAUAUGUGAAUUUGAGUUUCAUAUAAAGGACUUGAAUCUUAUUAUGGAUGAUAUAUUUAAAUUAAUUUUUUGUAUUACUCUUCAAUUUAAAAUAAAAUAAGAUGUAUCUUUACUCAAUAUUAGUUGCGCUUUGCAAGAAUAAUAGUUCACUAUUUAAUGGGUGAUCCAAUGCGUCUUAAGCUAAAUAAUAGAGAUAGUUUGUUCCUCUUACGUAAUUAUAACUGAGAAAUUAUAGUCAUUGAAAGUCAAACCUUGAGAAAGUUGUCGGAUAUAUAAUAAAAUAAUAUUUUUUUUUAUUUUAAAAAAAUUAUUUUUAACAUUAAUACAUUAAAACAAUAUAAAAAUACCAAACAAAUUAAUUUAAAAUAAAACUAAUUUUUUUAAAAUAUAUUUUUAAAAUACAAAAACAACAUCAUUAAAAUGAAAUAAAGAUGGUAUAACUUUUGAUAAACAAGGUUUGUCUGAUACUCGUGUCCACAUGCUCAGAAGGCUAUAGCUGUGGAAAAGGCAUCGAAGAUUAAAUGAAUUUUUGAAUCACAUUGUCCACAUGCUCACAAGGUUCAAUGGAUUUUUGAAUCUGACCACAUAAAUGCAAUAAUCAAUUCAAUUUAUGACAACGAGAACAGAACAUGUUGGAUGCAUAACUUCAUGUCUGUUGAAUAUUGAAUUUUUUUAUAUAAAUAUAUUUUAAAAAAAUGAAAACUAUGGUACUCCCAAAAUUGUAUUGACUGGUUGCCUCUUUUAGCUUCUUUCAAUUCAAAUAGAAUAUUUUUUUAAUAAAAAGAUUUACAGAUCACUUUCACUCGGAUUGAGACUAUUUUAAUGGAAGCCACAGUAGUCGCUUUACCAUAGACAUUUCUUAUAAGAGGUAUCCAAGAAUCCUUCACCCCCACACCAAACCAAACUAUGGCUUCCUUUAUCUCUCUUUCCAGUAGCAUCCCUUUAGCUGCCUCCUCUUUCUUGCCUUCCUUCCCGAAAACACACCGAGUUUCCAGAAUUAAAAAGCCAAACCGUCACAAUAUCCCGAUUGUUUCUUGCAAAUCAGGCAAGAAUGAUCAUGAACAAAACCCUGCCACCAGAAGAGAUCUGCUCAUUGGUCUCGGUGGACUCUAUGGAGCAACUAGUCUUAGUGAUCCGUUUGCCUAUGCUAACCCCAUUGCACCCCCAGACAUAACCCAAUGUGAGCUAGUUACCCUGCCAACCGAAAGUGACCCCUCGAACUGUUGCCCUCCAACAUCCACAAAGAUCAAAAACUUCGAAUUCCCUUCUGCGUCCUCCCCAAUGCGCAUUAGGCCUGCUGCUCAUUUAGUUGAUAAAGCCUACGUAGCUAAAUACGCCAAAGCCAUUGCACUGAUGAAAAGUCUUCCUGACGAUGAUCCACGUAGCUUCAAGAGCCAAGCCGACGUUCAUUGUGCUUAUUGUGAUGGUGCUUAUCACCAAGCAGGCUUUCCUGAUUUAGACCUUCAAAUUCACUUCUCGUGGCUCUUCUUCCCCUGGCAUAGACUCUAUUUAUACUACUUCGAAAGAAUCUUGGGUAAACUGAUUGAUGAUCCAACUUUCGCUUUGCCUUUCUGGAAUUGGGAUGCCCCUGCCGGCAUGCAAAUGCCAGCCAUUUUCACUGACCCCGAAUCACCACUUUAUGACCCCCUUCGCGAUGCGAAUCACCAACCUCCGACAUUGCUUGAUCUUAAUUACGCGAAAGGAGAUGCGAAUCCAGACCCUGCAAAAGCAGGGGAAUUGUAUGCAAGCAAUCUUAACGUAAUGUACAGGCAAAUGGUGUCCGGUGCCACGAAGCCUACUCUCUUUUUUGGAAAACCAUAUCGUGCUGGUGAUGAUCCAAGCCCUGGAAUGGGUACAAUUGAGACCACCCCACACACUCAGAUUCACUACUGGACCGGCGACCCCAAUCAAACUAACGGGGAAAAUAUGGGCAAUUUCUACUCAGCAGGGAGAGAUCCCAUAUUUUAUUGUCAUCACUCGAACGUCGACCGAAUGUGGGACUUGUGGAAGAAAAUACCUGGAGGCAAACGAAAGGAUAUCGAGGAUCCUGAUUGGCUUAAUUCAGAGUUUCUUUUCUGGGAUGAGAAUAAAGAGCUGGUUCGAGUAAAGGUUAAAGAUACUCUUGACACCAAGAAGCUAAGAUAUGGCUUUCAAGAUGUUCCUAUUCCUUGGCUGAAAACUAGAGCAACACCAAAAUUAACAAGGCAGGAAAAAUCACGUCGUGCAGCUAAAAAAAGCGUUGUAUUAACACCAAUUAGUGCAUUCCCUGUUGUCUUGGAUAAAGUCAUAAGUGUGGAGGUUUCCAGGCCAAAGAAAUCAAGAAGCGCGACGGAGAAAGAAGAUGAAGAUGAAGUUUUGGUUAUUGAAGGGAUUGAGUAUGAAGAAAAUCAAUUAAUUAAGUUCGAUGUCCUCGUCAACGAUGAACCUGAUUCACCUGGUGGACCAGACAAGUCCGAGUUUGCAGGAAGUUUCGUCAAUGUGCCUCACAAGCAUGCAAAAAAAUCAAAGACAACUAUGGUAUUGGGGAUUACAGGAUUGUUGGAAGAUCUGGAAGCUGAAGGGGAUGAUACCCUUGUGGUGACUUUCGUGCCUCGGUCUGGUGGUGAUUUUGUUACCGUUGCUAAUGUCAAGAUUGAGUUUGUCGCUGACUGAUCAUGGUGAUGAGAGGACAUAUGCUACCAUUUUCUUUUCUUUUCUUUUUUUCCUUUUGCCUUCUCUUGUUUUUUCUCUUUCUAUGGUAGUAUUCUGUGAGUUCUCUCUUUUUUCUUUCAAGAUGCUCAACUAAUGGACCGUAUUUCAAUUUGAAUACUACAAUGGUUUCUUAGAUUUGUUGCCAGAAGUAGAUGAACAAAAACAACUAGACCCAUAUGGUAAAAAAUCGUUGUCAUUUUAGACUUUUUUUAAAUGAUACAUAAACCUAAAAUAAUAUGGUUUUGAAAGAAAAAAACUAAAAUUUAUCAUAAACAAACCCAUAUCAGAUCUCAAAUUAAUGAAUUACCAAGUUGACCCUAGAUCUUAUAUAACUAGGUCUAGAGUGACAAAAAUCAAGGUUGUCAAUUUCGUUCCGUUUCGCCCGAAAUGACCGAAACAUUCCAUACCAAUUCAAAAAACGGAACAAAACGGAACAAUUUUCAUCUCAUUUUAAAUCUCGGUCCGUUCCGGAUUUUUCGGUGAAAUUUCAGCCGGAAUGUUCUGGUUUCAUUCCACAUGUUCCGUUCCGCUCUUGAAAAGCCGUUAAAUCAAAUUGAACCUUGUUUAAUUUAAUUAAUUAAUUAAACCACUCAAGUAUAAAAUGCUUUUUUUCAUUACUAUUUUCAAUAAAAAUGAUAUUAAUAAUAAUAUUGAAAAUUAUUAUUACUAUUUUCAUUAACAAUGAUAUUAAUUUUUUAAAAUUAGAUUUAUCACUAAUAUAUAUGGUUUAUAUUUAUGUUGUUUUUUUUCAUGUUUAUACUUUGUAGGAAUUUGAGCAAAACAAGAGAUGCUUUAGAUUACAUUAGCCUUGAUAAUAUUGACCUAACUUUAUAUUUAAAAUAUUUGUGUUAAAACAUUUUACUUUCAUAAUAUUUUGAUAUUUUGUUUAAGUUGAAUUACUUUAAGUUAAAAAUCUUUUUAAUCUUGACUAUUUAUAAAUAUUUUAAAAUUUAAAAUUAUAUUUGUUUUGCAUUGUGUUUGUAUUGCAUAAUUUAUAAUUAAUUUAUUUUAAAUUUGAAUUAUAUUUGUUGAAUAUAUAUAUAUGAACAGUACAACCCUGAAACGGCACGUCGAAACGCUCCGAAACUAAAACAUUCCAUUUCAAUUGAAAAAACAAAACACUUACCGAAACGGAAUGGACAACUUUGACAAAAAUAACUAGACUCAUUCGGUAAAACAAAAAAAAAAAAAUACAAAAGACGUGAUGGAGGACUGGCAAAGCUACUUUCUUCCCCUCUGCCUCUGUUCUUUGUGCGCUUCUCCUCUGGUCUUGCUUUUCUUUGCUUGGUCUCUUUUUUCUUAUCUUGUUCUCCAUGUCUCCCUUAGUGUCUGCCUGGUAUUCUUGUGUUGCUCAUCCUGUUCUCUGGUUUUCUUCCUUUCUCUUCAGUGUAUGUGUCGUCUGUUCGUCUGUGUUUUUUUGUUCCUGUGUUGUUCUAUGUUGGCUUGAGCUUGCUCCCGCUUGCUGGAGUUUUGAAGGAGAUUCUACAGUCCCUUUCCUCUGUUUCACUCUGCCUCUGUUUUUAUUUCUCUGGAUCGUCCUUCCUGUAUUUUCUCGUUCGUCACCUUCUCUCUCUACUGGUUUUUUCCUGUCCUCUCCUCCCUUGGUUUUUCUGUUCUUUCGUUCGUUUCCUUCCUGUAUUUGCUCGUUCAUCCCCUUCUCUCUCUACUGGUUUUUUUUUCCUAUCCUCCCCCCUUCCCCCUCAUUCGUGGCCUUUCUCUGGCUUUUAUAAAGCCAGAGAAUGCCAAGCGUUCGUACAUCGUGGGGGCGAGGGAUAGCAGCUGGGAGACGUGGUCCAUAAUUGAAAUGGUGCAUUUACUGCUGAAACGGUUCCUGAGGAAGAGGGCGAUCAAUAGUUUUUGAAACGGAGUCGUUUUCUUGAUUAAAAUGGCUAUUUUCAAUUUUGCCCCUGGAGCAAUUGGAAUUGGACCCUUAGAUUUCAGCACCAUUUACAAAAAAGUCCUUGGUUUCUAAAUUAUUCAAUUCAGCCUUUAAUUAACUCUUCAACUUUCAUUUCUUUUAAAAUUACUUCUGGAAAAAUCAAUUAACCCUCUUAUAGUAUCACAACCUAUUUAUUUUAAUCCUUAAAUUUUAAUUUCUUGCAAUUUUGACUCAAAUCAACCCCAAACAUUGAUAUUGCUUCAAUUAAGCCUUUAAUUGCAUUAAUUAAUUAAAUCAAAGUUUAAUUAAGUCUCCAUACUUAUCAAUUCUUUUAAUUUUGUACCAAAUUGACUUCAAAAUUUAUAAUUUCAUCAUUAUUAGUCCUCAAACUUUCAAUACGUUUUGUCUUAACCCAAUUCUCAAAUUAUUUUUUUCAUUCAUUUUUUUGUUAUUUAUUUUUUAAUUUAUUAUUAUUAUUUUAUUAUUUUUUUUUAAAUUUCAAAAAUUAGGUUAUGACACUCAUGUUAUGUUAAUAGUAUUUUUAAUUUUUCUAAUCAUUUUUUUAGGGUUGUUCUUGGUUUUGUUUUUUUUGUUUCCUUAGUUUUUUGGUUUUUUUUUCUCAUCCCUAAUUAAAACAUUAUCCAUUCACUAUGCAUUGAUAUUCUUUAAGUUUUCUAUGUAGCUCUAGUUUAUAUUUGCAAUUAAGUUCUGAAUUUUAAUAAUAUUUCAUUCUAAUUCUGUUUUUAACUCUAAAGAGUUUCAAGAGAAAAGGAAGGAGAGGAAAAUACUCCAAUUAAGGUAUUUUCCAACCUCAAAAUUGUUAAACUUGGUUUUUAUGUGUUCGAUUGACAAGUAGAUUUAUUUGAUGGUGAUAAAAAGCCUUAACAUAGCAGAAGAAAGAAGAUCAAGAAUACAAUAAUAUACAGAUUUUUUUAUUUGGUUGGGUUUUGAAGGUUUUUUUGUGUGGCUAAUUUAGAUGCAUUUUGAGUUAGCAUGAUGUUUUGGUGUUUAGAGGGGAAAAUGAAAGAUUUAGAUUUGCACAACCAAAACUAUCAAACUAUCAAUCUUGUAAUUUUCUAGCAACCAAAUGAUUGUUGAAAAUAUUAAUUGGUCAAAACAUUUUGGAAAAAUUAACCUAACCCUUUUGUAGUUUAGUCAUCUUUUCUCUUUGUCUCUAUUCUUAAAAAAAUUAUGAUUUACAUUUUAAAGUUCAUGAGUUCAUAACACUUCACCGCACGCCAAAACAAACCAACAAAAAACAUUGAAUUGUUUACAAGAUUGUCAUUAUAUUUUAUUUAAUGAUUAAAAACAUCUUAGAAUGUUAAAAUUAAUAAAUUAAAAAAUUGCCAUAAUUUGUUUUAUAAAAAAACUAGCUGCUGAAAAUCUUACCCUAGCUCCAUCUCUUCUCUUGUUUUCUUCUAGCCACCACAAUCACCUUAUAUCUAUCAUCUCUAUUAUCUACACUUUCAUAGAUUUCAAUGUAGCCCAAUAUAGAAGCCACCUUACAUCCUUAUGUAAUAACACGCAUAACUACACCGACCACCUCACAUCCUUCUACUAUGCAGAGCAAGUUGCAUUGAACUUGUGUUGUCAUCCUCACUAGAAGAUAAACCACUUCCACAUUUGAACACUCUCAUUUCAAUAUCUGUUGUAAAAGAUAGUAGAGCUUUUGGCUCUUCUUAUUAAGAAGGGAAAAAUAUUUUUUUCAAAUAUUCAAUCUAUCAAAAAAGCACAUCACCAAUUCACAUCAAAACACUACAAAUUUACAAGUCUCGGACAAGUGAUAAAAGGGAAAAAUUCAUUCCCUUAGUUUACAAUCUUAAGAAAGGAAAUAAAAACACCCAUUCUUCAAGACUCCAAAUCAAUUCUCAUAGAUACUAAAUUCAAAGAAUAAACAAUUAAUUAAGAAUAUAAGAUGAAAAAACACAAUCCCUUACCAACAAAACCCAAGAAUUACAACCUUAUGUGUAAAAAUAAUUAUAACUAUCACAUCAGGACAUCACGACGACCAAUUAAAAAUAUUUGAAAAAAAAACAGAUAUCUAACAUCUUGUUUUUGGGGGGAAAAUGUCUACUUCAAGGAGUCGUCAUCUAGUAUUAUGAUCACUAGGAACUCUAACUGGUCAACAGAAAUUCUAUGGUACGGGACUAGUUACACGAAAGGGAAGGUGUUAUCACCUCUUAAGCAUUAUACAUGAGGCAGACUCAAUUGCUUGUUUUGUCUAAAAUUGCUAAGAAUUUGUUUUUCUUUUUUUUUUUGGUCUUUCUACAAUGUUCCUGACUCUAGCUUCAGUGAACAAUUAUUUACGAAUAUUUUUAAUUUUAGUGUUGGUAAAUAUUGCACAGCCCAAAAAAUAUGGAACUUCUGACUUUGGCGCCCGUGAAUAAACCUGGAAAAUUUGAGUUUUUUUUUUAAAAGCUAUUUUUAUUUGUUUUUUUAGGCUGGAUCUAACCCAGCUGUAUAGAUUGGGCUGGACCCAGUGACCCGACUGGCCACUGUUGCAUGCAUGCGUGAAUGGUUCACGCAUGCAUGCAACAGUAACUGAUUAAUUAUUUUAGCAAGCAAGGAAGGAAACUUACCUGGACGUGCUUCUGCUGGAGGCGAAGUCGAGGGAGACAGCCGGAUGACACUGGAGACCGGUUGCUGGGCAAACAUCUCGACUUUCCCUUCAUUCUUCUGUGUUUCUCGUUUCUCCCAGGUCUUCUUUUUUUAUUUCUCUCCCUUUUCCUUUCUGUUUUCUGUUGCUCCUCGCUAUUAUGGAAAGGGAAUGGAGCUGUUGGUCGGAGCAGCAUGGUAGGGAGAGAGGAGCGCCUGUUGGAGCUUGUAGCGUGCUGCUAUUUCACAGCUGGUGCAGAGGAGAGGAGAUCGCGGCAGCAAUCUAGAGGACGAGAGUCGGUGUUGUGAAGAGUUACUGGAUGUUGCUUGGGGUUGGACUGAAACUUACCUUCAGCUGGCAAUGAACCUCUGAUGGAUUCUGCUCUUAGUCGAAGAUAGGACGGUUGAUGCUGCUGUUGCACUACUUAAAGAAGAGACUUCUAUUGUUUUUUCAUUGUAAAACCAAAGAUUGCAUGUCUGAGAGGAAACCUUCUGCUGCUUACGAUGGCAUCUUGCUGAGAAGAGGACUCUCCUGCUCACAGUGGCAGCUUGUUUUGAGGAGCGGCUGGCGUUUGUUGCUGAUGGUGUGACUGGAAAUCAAGUUGCUGAAACCAGUGUUGCUGCUAUAUCAGAGGAGUGGAAAUCAUGGCAGAAAUCUAGAUGAGGAGAGCCGGUGUUUUCAGUGAGGAGGAAAGGAGGAGCGACCCCACUGCUGUCUUGGCGACUUGCUGUUAUUGCUGCUGGUAAGAAGAGGUGUCCAUGAUGCAACCUUUCUGGCCUGGUGGUUUAGUGAUAUCCUACCUUGAUGAGGACCAGGCAUGAUAACUUAACAGCAUGCAGAAGAGUUCAACCGAAGAAGGGGUUACCGGGACAAAAAGAUGGAGCUGAUUUCUCUUUUCUUGGUGUUGGUGGCGGAGAUAUCGACAGAGAGAGGGUGCUGGCUGGUAUUGGUAUUGGUUGAUUCUCGGAGAGAAAAUAAAAAAAAAGCGGGGGCGGUGGUUUGUCUUAAAGAAGGUGAUUCUUUAGGGUUCGCCGCCCCUUUUUUUAUGUUUCUUUUUUUUUAUGUGUUUCUUUUUUCUUGUAAUGUCUCGUGUGCAUUCACUAGGAUUUGUAUUUAUAAUGUAAAAGUUUCAUCACGUAUAAGAAAUAAAAUCUCAAAUAAACUUUUUUUUAAAAUUUAAAUUUGAUUAAGAAUCAAAUUCGAAUGUGAAUAACUAUCAUUAUCUUGAUGAUAAUGAUAGAAUGACAAAAGCACAUUGUAGGCCCUAGUUUUCGCGCAAAUUAACAAAUCACACUUUUCAUCAAAAUAAAUCUUUUAUCUUUUAAUUUUACAUUUUAACCCCCGUAAAACUAAAUUAAAAGCUCACGGGCCAAAAUUGAGUCAUAAUAAUUGCUCCAUUUUUACAACGCUUACAGUGCAAAGGCAUUAAAAAAUUCAUUUUCUUUUGACUUUAUAUAGUAUGUUUUGUAAAGAAAACUAAGCGUGAAAACCCUUCCUCUUCUUUUCUUUUGAUUAUUUCUUUUAUUUUUUUUGAAAUGGUCUAAUUAUUAUAGGCGACCUACUCGAUAAUAAAAUGUGAGGGAUCUCAUAAGUGGUCUAAUUGUUCCAAGCGACCUGCCCAAUGAUGAAGAAUGCGAAGAAUUUCAUGAGUGGUCUACUUGUUCCAAGCGACCUUCCCGAUGGUGAAGAAGAAACGCGAAGAAUUUCACGAGUGGUCUAAUUGUUCCUAGCGACCUGCCCGAUGAUAAAAUACGAGGGAUCUCGUGAGUGGUCUAAUUGUUCCAGGAGACCUGCUCGAUGGUGAAGAAGAAAUGCGAAGAAUUUUACGAGUUGUCUAAUUGUUCCAGGAGACCUGCCAGAUGAUAAAAUACGAGGGAUCUCGCAAGUGGUCUAAUUGUUCUAGGCGACCUGCCCGAUGGUGAAGAAGAAAUGCGAAGAAUUUUACGAGAGGCCUAAUUGUUCCAUGUGACCUUCCAGAUGAUAAAAUGCGAGGGAUCUCGCAGGUGGUCUAAUUGUUCCAGGCGACCUGCUUGAUGGUGAAGAAUGCGAAGAAUUUCACGUGUAGUCUAAUUAUUCCAGGUGACCUGCGCGAUGAUUAAAUGCGAUGAAUCUCGCAAGUGGUCUAAUUGUUCCAACCGACCUGCCCAAUGGUGAAGAAUGUACAGAGAGAUUUUUUUUUGUGAAAAAUACAAAGAUUUUUCAGAAACGGUCUCAUUCUUAUGGGUAACCUACUCAAAUGGAAAAAUACGAGGAUUUUUCAGAAGGGGUCUCAUUUUAGUGGGUGACCUACCCGGGUGAAAAAAUAUGAAGAUUUUUUGGGUGGCCUAAUUCUCGUGAGCGGCCUUUCCAGAUCAAAACUUAAAAAGUCUCAUUGUGAUGGGUGACUUUCCUAAAAAAUACGAAGAUUUUUCGGGUAGCCUCAUUCUCGUGGCUGGCCUGCCCAGGUCAAAAAACAAUUCUCAAAAGUGAGCAAUUUUCACAAGCAUUUUUAGUUUUUGGUCAUUUUAAGGUGGCCUUCCUUUUGAGGGAUCCCAUCGCGGAUUUCUCUUAUGAAUCUUUGCAAAACACAUUGUUCAAUGUCUCAAAGUUUAGAUGACAUGCAUGCAUCCUUACCUGAUUUGAAAUAUAGAUCCACAUUUCUUCUCAAUCUUCUUGUUGCUUGAUUAGUGAGGACUUGAUAUCUCUGAUUUGGAUCAUAUUUGUCAUUUGGUUUCUAGCCCACUCGAGUUGGCCAAUAUAAGUCUUUUUCUAGAUUUGUUUACACAACUCAACCUUCAUGGUGCCCAUCAUGACCCACUUGCAUGCUAGAGAUUUUUUAUCUCGUUGAAUAAUUUGAGAGGAUCAUUCAUUACUCCCCGUCUAGCUGCUAAAAACAUUCGGUGUCACUUGUUGAAAGAAUCAAGCAGCCUUUUGUAAACCAAAAUGUCCUUUGGUCUUGUUGUAGGAAAUGUUCCUCUCAUUUUUUUUCUAGAAGGGAUCGAUUUUCCUUCUAAACACAAUGUUUCCCCCUUGUACUAGUCAUUGCCUCUAAGUGUGCUAUGUCAACGACUUAAAUAAAUAAUGAUUUCUCUCAUAUUCAGUUUGGUGAGGGAAUAUUUGUCUAAAAUGAAUCUUGAAAUCUUGAUCCUGCAUUUUGAAAACCAAAAUUGUUUCGAUGUGAGUUAAAGCAAUUUUCCUUUUGAAAUCUUGCAACUCCCUGGUUAUAUUUCUUGGAAAAGAGAUGAGUUGCUCUUGUGUUGGCGAUAUUGUCAUUGGUGAAAGUACGUGAUGAGGUGACCUUUUUUUAUGGGUUUUCAAAGUGAAGGGCUCGAGAAAAAGCUCGAGGUUUUGUUUGAGAAAAAUUUAUCUUUUUUUGAACAAUUAUUUUAUCAUCAUGAAUAAUAAUGAGUAGCUUAUUCUCAAUGUUAUGACUCUUAUGAAAAAGUACUCUUUGCAUUUUGAGAGCAUUGUUUACUGUUCCAAGUUGCUUGCUUGCUUGAUUAGAAAAGACUUCUACAGGUAUGUAACGUAGGCUGUGAUUUUUUGCUAUGAAAGAAAAGAAUUCACAAGGCUAAGGAUCAAUAUCAACAGUUCGACUCUUUGAGUAUUUUAUCUCUCUUUUUUUUCUGCUUUGAUUUGUCCCCUUUCAUUGUUUUAGCCAGGGCAUGCUCACUUUGUUUAGGCUAUUAGUUUUUCUUGUGAUUUGGGAAUGCCCCCUAUCAUUUGAGUUUCUUGGGCUCUUUUGUCUUUUUGGCUUUCUCACGGCUUUUUCCUCUUUUUUGAUAAUUGAAAUUUUCACUUACCCCCAGUAUGGGGUGUAAUCAUAGUCAGGAUUUUCAUGAAAGAAAAAUUUAUUCAGGCUAAAAAAGGAACCACAAGGGAUAUAUUUAUUUAAGAACAUGAAAGGAAUAACAAAGAUGAUUUGUUCUCAUUUUAAACGCAAGCAGUUAAGAUCAAUAAAUAUCCAGGCCAAUUUAUCCAGGCCAUCUUCUCUCACCAUCUUGUCCUUUUGAGAUUCCUUCAUUGUAAAAUCAAUGGUAGACGACCUUUUUAUGGGAUAUGCUGGUUGAGCAAUUUGAGAAUACGUAGUCUGUUAAGAUUCAAAUGACACCUAUUUUUCCCCUAGAUUCUGUGAAUUUGCGAGCAAAAGUUCAGGUUGAGCCGUAAACUUUGCUUCUCUGAAUUUAGAUCUAAAGGCCUAUUCGAGUAGACUAGUAAGCCUUGCGACUUCUUCUCUAAGACUUCCCAUCUCUUUUCGGUGUUGAACUUCCAACUGAGUUCUUUCUUCAUUAUCCAUUUGUCUUUUUCACAGUCAAGUGUUAUAGGUGUGUUUCAAUAGCGAACCUAUAUUUCAACCCACUAAAUGAAAGUUAUGCAAUCAUGCGCAAGUGAGGACGCUAUCAACAAGGAAAAUCCAGAUUCAAUGUGGUCUCGCCCUUCAUGGGGUGGCAAUGGUCGCUAUUCAUGGAUUUUAGGAACCUGAUGUCGUUCUGAUGCCAACGAGGGGAUCCUUGUCCAGUCUUGCUUAAGUUUGAGCUUUCAGCUUUCAAUUUAAGUUUAUCCUCUUUUGUCAACUGUAACAACUCAAACUCUUGUAUCCUACAUGAUGGUCAUUUAUCAUCCACCAAUGGUCUUGGAAUUCAAGAUGUCGUAUGUCGGGCUAGCCACAGUGAGACUAUACAGGGUACAACCUAGUAGGAGAGUUCUAGUCGUUUAAGUGAAUCAAAGGAUAGGUCACUAUCUAGUCUUAAAGGGUCUCUCACAUGCUUAGUAAUCGUCCUUGAAAGGUCGAUAUGAGGCUUACCAGUGGUGUGAAGAUAGAGGUCCUGAAUAAUAUUAGAUCGGCAUAUCAAUUAAUAUCAAGUAAACAAUCAAGCGAAAGUUGGAUGGUUUCACGAGUCUUGCCCAGGUUAAAGCCAUUGGGGUACCGUUACUUCCCCACCUAUCAUAAAUUUCAACGUGUGUGCUCUUGAAGUGAUGCAUGACAAUAUGGAUGCGUGCUAAAGCGGUAAAAAACAAUAACCAUAUAAACACAACACAACAAACAUUAUAGCAAUUGACAAAUAAAAAGCAAAGCUUAGUCCUAUAAUUCCCUAGUGGAGUUGUCAUUUUGUCACACUUGGACAUCGCAGCGACCAAUAAAAAAUAUUUGGAAAAAGAACAGAUAUCUGGCAUCUUGUUUUUUGGGGGAAAAUGUCUAGUUCAAGGAGUCGUCACCUAAUAUUAUGGUCUCUAGGAACCCUAACUGGUAAACAGAGAUUCUAUGGUAUGAGACUAGUUACGUGAAAGGGAAGAUGUUAUCACCCCUUAAGCAUCCUACAUGAGACAGACUGCAUUGCUUGUUUUGUCUAAAAUUGCUAAGAAUUUUUUUUCCUCUUUUUGUAGUCUUCCUAUAAUGUUCCUGACUCUGACGUCAAUGAACAUUUAUUUACAAAUAUUUCCAACUCUCGCAUUGGUAAAUAUUGCACAACCCAAAAUGUGUGAUACUCCUGACUCUUACACUAGUGAAUAAACCCGCAAAAUUUGAGUUUUAAGAAAAGGAAGCUAUUUUUAUUUUUUUUUAUUUUUUUUUGCUCGAUCUAGCCCAGCCAUACGGGUUGGGCUAGGCCUAGUGGCCCAACCUGGUGAAUGGCCUAAGCCAGUGACCUGGCUGGCCACUGUUGCACGCAUGCUUGAAUGGUUCACGCAUGCUUGAAUGGUUCACGCAUGCAUGCAACAGUAACCGGUUAAUUAUUUUAGCAAGCAAGGAAGGAAACUUACCUGGACGUGUCGAUGCUGGAGGCAAAGUCGAGAGAGAUGAUCGGAUGACGCUGGAGACCGAUGGUAAGGCAAACAUCUCGACUUUCCCUUCAUUCUUCUGUGUUUCUCCUUUCUCCCAAGUCUUUUUUUUCCUCUCCCUUUUCCUUUCUGGUUUCUAUUACUCCUCGCUAUUAUGAAAGGGGAAUGGAGUUGUUGGCCGGAGAAUCACGGUGGGGAGAGAAGAGCGCCUGUUGACACGACCAAAGAGUUGAUGUCUUAUCCCAAGUGUAGGAGUGUCGAAGUAAUAAAUAACCCGGCAAGACCGGGGUCGAACCACAGGGAGGUUAACUGUAUAAACUACAAAUAAAGAAAUACAUAAUAACAGAAAAGGAGUUGAAGAGAGCUUUGAGAUGUGAUAUUGAUAUAAGGAUUAAACAAGGAUAAAAUAAUUGUCAAGGUUAGAGGAUCCACUAAUGGUAUUGAUAUAAGGAAAUACAUAAUAACAGAAAAGGAGUUGAAGAGAGCUUUGAGAUGUGAUAUUGAUAUAAGGAUUAAACAAGGAUAAAAUAAUUGUCAAGGUUAGAGGAUCCACUAAUGGUAUUUCAAACAAGUAUAGUAUAAACUCUUUUUAUUACUCAACUAGAAACCACACGCAAAGAAGGUUCCAAUCGGAUUAUAAAUUGUUAACAUGAUUACAUUAGUUAUCUUAUUCGAAUAAUGUUAAUACUUGUAAAUGUUGUCAGGUAUUCAUGAUUAUAACUUAUGUUAACAACAAAUCAAGUUCCUUUCAUAGCACAGGUGUCAGUUAUACCAUACGGUUGGGCUAUGAAAGUGCCAAGUAUUUGUUGUACCAAGGGUUAUACAACAUAAAUCUAGAUUAACCAUUUAACAAGCAAAGUAUUAAAAGUGAACAAGAUAACAAAUACAAAACAUGUUAGUAUCAAACAUUAAAGUCCAUGUUGAGUUUAUACUAUGCUUAUUCUUACACCAUUAGUGUAACCUUUCCACCUUGACAUAAUAAACUUAGCUAAACAUAAUGAAAGAGAGAAACAUAAAUAAACAAGAUAAGAACAUAAAUAAGAUAUAAGUUAACUAAGUAAAGGAAAUGAAAUGAAAAGCACAAACAAGAUAUUAAUAUAAACAAAACUUAAGCAUUAAAAAAAUAUAAAGAGAGAGAGCAAGAACAUGAUCUUGAUAUGAAAACCAAGAUGCCUAAAUGCAUGGCAAAUGCCUCCUUUUAUAGGCCAAAAUUUGGAUUUAUUUGUUGUUAUUCAUUUUUGGACCCCACGUGCUGAAGAUGGUGUGUACCCCUUUUGAACCAAGUGCAAGAGUGUAGCUCAUGUUUGAUGGAAAAUUGACAAAAACAAAGGAGAAAGAAAUAUUUUUUCGAACCCUGUUUGAGUUAUUUUCUACUCUUUUUAUCCCUCCCUUUGCUGCCAAAAGCGUCAGGUUUUUUUAGGCUAAUAAGGAGUCAUCAUAUAAAUCCCUCAGAAUUUGCAUUUUAAAAAAAAACUGAUUCUGCUGCUGUCGCAAUUUUUUGUUCCAACUUAGGCUCUAAUUUUGACUUGGUUUCGUAUGAUAUCUGACCAUCCUAGCUAUAUUUUGUCACUCAUGACAUGUUGAAGAAUUGACCUACACCUUUAUUGGGUCCUAGGGAUCACUGUUCUUAGGGCAGACUCUCAGUCAGAUUUGGAUGCUCGACAUUGUUAGAUCAAGAACCUUUUUGACCAACCAGAUUCAUGCCAGAUUCUGUUAUCUAAAAAUAUUUUAUUUGACUUUGAAUCCUUCAUCAAAGUUGUAGUCUAGGACACGUAGAUGAAUUUGGGCUUUUGAAUUGCUUGAUUUCGAUAUCAAAAGCUCAAGAUAUUCCUCUUUGAAAUCUAGCGUAAAAACAUAGAAUCCUGUCGCGAGAAGAUUUCCAGCCGAGUUUGGUUUCAAUUCUGUUUUUCAAAACGAAUUUAUCCUUCAUGAAAGUUGUAGCUCUACAAGUGUAGAUGAAUUUGGGACUUUUGAAUCGCUUGAUUUCGAUAUCAAAAGCUCAUAAUAUUCUUGUUUGAAUAUCUAACGUGAAAGCAGAGAAUUCUGCCGCGAGAAGGAUCCUGACCCGAGUUUUGCACUAAAGACUCUAUUUCCAUCACAAAUUUUGUUGAUUUGUUCUUAGGUCAUACUCUCAGUCAUAUCGGGAUGCUCGGCAUUAUCAGUUUCUGAAUUAGAUCAGGAGACCCUUUUUGACCAACCAGAUUACUACCAGAUUCUAUUCUCUAAAACGAUUUUAUCUCACUUCGAAUCCUUCAUCAAAGUUGUAGUCCUGGACGUGUAGAUAAAUUUGGGCUUUUUAAUCACUUGAUUUCGAUAUCAAAAGCUCAAGAUAUUCCCGUUUGAAUAUCUAGUGUGAAAGUAGGGAUUCCUGCCGUGAGAAGGAUUUUUGCCCGAGUUUGCAGGGAUACAAUUCUAAGAUGCUUAAAGUUUGAAGACCAAUUGCAGGCCAAUUUGAAGCUCUUUUUUGGAUCGAGGACCAAAUGGAAAAGGCGCUAAAAUAAGGAAAUUGAUUGAAGAUAAAAUUAGAAGGAAGAAAUUGAAGAACCACGUUUUUUUUUCUGCACAACUAUCCCAGUUUUUCUUUCUUUUUAUCUGCAAUUUCCUGUUUGGUUUCCAUGUUUCUCUUGCUGGAUUGGAGAGCUGCAGACCAUGUUUUUAUUGCCUCAUUUCAAAGGAAACAACUGGUGCCUCAUGGUCCCAGCUAUGGAAUAAAAGAAAGGAGUUGUACCACCCUUUGAUCAAUGGAAACUAAAUGCUGAAAAUCAGAAUAUGAAUCAUAAUAUUUUAGUUUCCUUUUUAUGUUUUUUUACUGCAAAUCAGUAGGGAUUUGCAUCCUAGAAUUAAUGCAUUGAAUCUUUCCUAAAUAGAGAUAUAUUAGACUAUAUAUAAGCCCCUCUAAUGACCUAUCGAAAGGGGGAGAAAAAGAAAGAAAGAGCAGAGAAAAAGAGAAAAAGAAAGACAAGAAAAAACGCAAGAGAGGCUGGCAGUAGGAGAAAAAAAACUCAGAAAACAGAGGGACAUUUCUUUCUUGCAUUCUUGCGUUACUGUGAGAAGGAGAAGGAAAAAAAGAGAGACGGAGGCAAAACAAGGAGAAAGAAAGGAGGCUUUUCGUUGAUACUAAAAAACCUUCACUGGAACGUGAAAGAAAGAAAAAAAAAGGAUACAGAGCAGAGAAGAAGAAAAGAGGGGGAAGAAAAAAAAAGGAGAAAAAGAGAGGCAAGCGGCAGGAAAAACAAGAAAGAGCAAUAGAACACAAACUCCACUAUCAUAUCAUAGCUUCAACGUCAUUGUUUUUGUCCGUCAGGAGGCACGCGUGAGCUGUUUCUUGGUCUUUUGUUUCAUUUCCUGCAAAACAGGAUCUGCAGGUUUCUUCCAUAGUGUUCCAGCUGCGAGAACUUUAGGGACCCUCACGUUCUUUUCUUUUCUUACGCCUGCUGGAGGAAAGGAUCUGCAGGUGUUUCUUCCCUAGUGCUCCAGCUACAAGAACUUUAGGGACCCUCACAUUCUUUUCUCUUCUUACGCCUACUGGAGGAAAGGUUAGCCGGCCAUGACUUUGUCUUUUUGUUUAUAAUAAAGCUUGCUUUCCCAGUUUCUUUUUUUUCUCUCUGUUGGCGUGGUGAAACGAAUAAGGCAGUUUGUUUUUAAGAUGAGGAAUUAGUGGGGCUGUGAGGCACGGACAUAUGGUUUUGAGUUCAAAAUUUCAGUUUUAGAACUUUGGCUCCCUCAUGCAUAUGGGUUUUUCCUUUUCCAGUUACAGAAUUUUAAGUUGAUUUGGCUUUGAACGGUUUUUUACGAGUUGUUUCAAGCUUCUUGUAAAUCUUAUAAUAUGUAUGAUGGCUUGCUACUUUCCAUUUUGAUGUUUACGUUUAAUUGUGUUGUUUGCGUUUUGCCAAAAAAAUAUGUUUACUUGUGUGUUGCAUACGACCAAUAUCCUAAUAUAUUGUGAACGUUUUUUUUUAUAUAAAAAAUAUUGAAAGUUUUGAAAAUGUGUUUUCGCGUGGAUUUCUUAAACACAACAAAAAUUAUUUUCUUGCAUUUCUGGAUUUUACAACAUAUUUGUAAAAUUCCAAGGGGUAUUCGCCAAUAUUCCAAAAAAUACAAAAAUCUUAUUUUUUAGGGGAAUUCAUCUAUUAUUCACCGUUAAUGUUUGGAUAAAGAAAUUCCAAAGGGAUGAAUAUCCAAAAUAUUAUUGGGAAUAACUUGUUAUUAUUCACUGUUAAUAUUUGGAUAAAGAAACCCUCAGUGGUAAAUAUCCAAAACAAUUUUCUAGGAAUAAUAAGUCAUCACGCAGCCUUGAUUAUAAUCGAGGACAUUUCAAUUUUUGACUCCAUGGUUUACGAGCCGUGAGAGUAUGAAAUACUAAGACAAAAAUAGGCUUUUAAAGGGCCCUGAAUUUCCUUAGAUUUCUAAAUUUUUGUCCUUCCUCGUGAUUUACGAGUCGCAAACUCUUGAAAUAUUAAGGGAAAAAUGAGUUUUUAAAGCAUAUGGAAUCUCCUUGGAUUUCUAUCUUAAUAAAUUUAGUUUGAAUCAAACAUAGAUUUCAAGAAAACUGCAUUGGUUCUCCUUGGCACUUUGUAGACAUAUCUAAAGGUAUGAUCCAUGUUGGCCAAGGGUUCUUGCUUUUAGACUUUGAACCCAAAUCCAUUUAUCAUAGCAAACCUAUCCUAGGAAAACUAAUUAAGAGACACCAACACCAUAGCAAUUAUAAGGCAAACCAAACACCAAGCAGCUUACCUUAGGUAGGGCGUACUAGGGGUGCUAAUACCUUCCCUUUACCCAACCAGUCCCUUGCCUUGAAAUCUCUGAAAGACCAGUUAGGGUUCCUAGUGACCAUAAUACUAGGUGGCGACUCCUUUACUCACAAAAACAAAAACAACCUGAAAUCAAUUGAGGGUCGCUGCGACACCGCGCUCCGCCGCGAUGGUGCGACACUAUUGAUUUGAUGACUAAUUGUUGAGUAGGUGGCCACAUCUUGACUUGGUGACAAUCCUUAUAUUCUUGUCUAAACAAAACAUCAUUGCUAACGUUAGAAUUUGAAAAGAUAGUCUUCAUGAAAGUUCUAGGAAAUUGUCUAAGCUUUCCAACAUAAAUAGAAUCGGUGCAUUUGGACUUCUAGAACUCAAGAUAUGGGCUGAACACUGAACAGUGUCUGGACUGCAGGACAUAUUUCGACUUCUCAGUUGUUGCUACAAUUUGAACUUGAAAACGACCUUUUUGAAUCUUGGACUCUUCAUGAAAGUUUUAGGCCUAUGUCUUAGCUUUGCAUCCAUAUAGACCAGACCUAAAUCCAAGUUCUACAGCUCCAGGUAUGAUCUAAUAACCGAAUAGUGUUCUAGUAUGGACUAAAGCAGCAUCUCUUUUCUAAGCUUGCCCCUCUCUUUGUCUUCUCAAUUUCAGUAGUUAAACUCAUCAAUCAAUCCUUUGAUUUUUGUGAUAGGCCUGCAUUUAAGAUGAACAUUUACCAUAAAUUAAAGGUAUCUUAUAGUAUCAGACUUGUCAUUAUAAAACAUGCUUUAGUUAAGGAGUUAUUGAUACUUUAAGUAAAAAAUGAUGAUAUAAAACCUUGAUAAAAAUGCACUUUUAAAUACUAAUCACACCCCUCCAACCUGCUUAUUACUAGUCCCUAGUAAUCAAAGCGUUAAAAUAGAAAAACAAUUUGCAAGUUCCACAAAGCAAGGCAUUCAUCAUUCAACUUCCAUUAAUUUAUCCAAAUAAACAAACUCAUUAAAUUUAUAUAUCUACUUCAUACUUCUUAAACAAGAUAUUAAUAAACCUUCUUUUUUAUGUGUGUCGCACGUCACCCGUGCGGCAUCGUUUGACGAUUUUCGUUUGCUUGCUUUGAUUCGUUGGGAGUCACCACCUAGUAUUUAAUUGAGGGUUAGUAGGAAACCCGAAUGUACUGGUCUUGUCAGUGAUUCACGAGUAAGGGACUGGUUGUGAUUAGGGAAGGUAUUAGCACCCCUAACGCACCCUACAUGAGGUAAGCUGCUUCGUGGCUUUGAUAUGAUAAAGAAGUUUUAAAAAUUUUAUCUUUUCAUCGGAUAUUAAAAAUACUACUUGCAUGUAAGUUCAUAAUUCUUGAUCGUGAGCAAAUCAAAAUAUUAAAUUCUUCUUUAUUCUUUGCAAUUUUAUCAUAAAAAAACAUCCAUAACAAAAACAAAUGACACAUUUACUUUCACUAUAUUUUUUUUUCUUUUUUUUUAAUUCAAUAACAUACAUAAAAAAAAUAUGAACACACACACAUCCCUUUUUUUACUAUGUUUUUCUCAUUCACCCACAUUUGCAUGUUACAAAAUAUUAAAAUUUCAAAAUAAAAUCAAACAGUAAUCUAAAUACACACAGUAAUGUCUGAAAAUUACAAAAAACAUAAAUAAAUCCUUAGGAAUAGUGUUGGAAUAGUGGCGGUGCAUUGUUCCACGAACCAAAAACAACCAAAAACAACCAAAAACAACUAAAUACACCGAUGAAGGUGACAAAACUGGUGGAUCGAGAACGUCUUCCUCUUCUCUGUCUCCCUAUGCCGGCGGUGACCUGCAAAACAACCAAAAACAUAACAGGCAGUUGAUUUUAAUUUUUCUUUCUUUUUUGGUCCAGAUCGGUUCACAAUCUUCUUUCCCUUCUCCUUCUUCGGAUCUACUUCACUGUCGGUCAGUUUGACAUGGGUUUCGUCUUCUUCUACUCUACUUCGGGUGGUAGGUUUGGUGGUUGUAGAAGGGGCGGCGGCGUUGAUGAUCUCCGCUCCUGUUGGUUGCCGUGGCGGUUGGGCUUGCUGCUGGAGGAAGAAGGCGUUGCUGCACGGGGAGUGGGCCGUCACUGUGGGAUGAAAAAGGCGGGUAGAUGUGGCGGUGUCGAGUCACGAUGGAAGUGGAAGGGGCUGGCUUCAGGCUGUUGUUCUGGCCGUUACUAUUGAGGGAGAGGGUGGUCUGUGUGCAGCUGAGAGAGGAAAGUGGCUGGUUGCUGUGGUGAAGGUGGGGAUGGCUAUGGAAGAAGGAAUCAGGAGCAAAGGUUGGAGGUGGGACAGCGGCUUGAAGAGGGAGAACGGCCUGUGGAUGGGUGCUGCGGUGAGGGUUUUCUUUUCCAAAGGAGGGAGCGACAGCUUGGAGAAGAUGAGAGGAAAAGAGGGGGGGCGCUCCUUUGAAAGAGAUGGGUUUAGGGUUAGGGUUUUUAUGUGUUUUUUUCUAAUGUUUCAUAAUUGCCCCCACCCUUUUGUAUGUGUUGAAAACUCCUAUUUAUAGGCAAAAAUGUUGCUAGGUCCCCAAACUUGGUCCCUCAACUUCUUUCUUUUUUUAUAAAUUUGAUUUUUCUUACUUUUUUAGGAUUUUUUCUUAUCAACAUCGACUCGAAAGAGGAAAAUCGGUGAUUUUAAAAAUAACACGUUAAAAGUUGAACGCGUUCUAAAAACCUUUGAAAAUUUAAAUUCUUUUGAGACGAUGCUAAAAAUGCUAAAAAUGAUGCAAAUAUAUUAAAAAACAUAUUUUUUGGAUUUUUGUUGUUUUUCGCUAUUUUUGGAUUUUUUUUAUGAAAAUUUAUCAAAACAUAGGUCAAAAAUUGGGUAGCAACAAUGUGCUCUGUCGCACCCUCCCGAGAGCUCGACGUCGCGGCGACACUUCCUUCGUAGCGGGGAUUGAUAUUUGGGGUCUUUCUGUUGUGAAAAAGGGAGUCGCCACCUAGUAUUAUGGUCACUAGGAAACCUAACUGGUCUUUCAGAGAUUCUAAGGCAAGGGACUGGUUGCGUAAAGGGAAGGUUUUAACACCCCUAGUACGCCCUACCUAAGGUAAGCUGCUUGGUGUUUGAUUUGCCUUAUAAUUGUUAUGGUGUUGAUGUUCCUUGGUGUUAAUAUUUGUCUCGUAAACCAUGGAGUAAAGAAAAUUGAAAUGUCCUCGAUUAUAAUCAAGGCUUCUUUCAAGGAUUUGUGCGGAUUUAUUAUUCCUAGAAAAUUAUUUUGGAUAUUUACCACUCCGGGUUUCUUUAUCCAAAUAUUAACAAUGAAUAAUAACAAAUUAUUCCCAAUAAUAUUUUGGAUAUUCGUCCUUUAAGGAUUUUUUUUAUCCAAACAUUAGCGGUGAAUAAUAGACGAAUUCCCCCAAAAUAAGAUUUUUAUAUUUUUUGGAAUAUUGGCCAAUACCCUUUGGAGUUUUACUAACAUGUUGUAAAAUCCAGAAAUGCAAGAAAAAUGAUUUUUGUUGUGUUUAAGAAAUCCAUGCGAAAACACAUUUUCAAAACUUCAAAUAUUUGUUUUUUAUAUAAAAAAACGUAAAACAAUGUUAGGGUAUUGGCCGUAUUUAAGAAAACAAAACAUUUUUCAUUUUAUAUUUUUUUGAUGUCUCGACGAAAACCGGGUAUUUUCAUACCGGACUUGUAUCUUUACCAUAUAAAAAAUACAAGCAGAUAUUGAUAAACAAUGCAUCAACAAACUUUCAGAAAAUCACAUAUUUAAAUAAUUCUUUUAAAGAAAAUUUUCCGAAUGGGCCAGACCCGGCCCAAAAGGAAAAUGGGCCGAAAUCAGCCCAAAAAUAAAAUGGGCCAACUUUCUACAGGGCUGGACUCAGCCCAGCCCAAAACCACAUGACGGGUUACUAUUCACUAUACAGUAACCGGGUUACUGUUCCUCUGCACAGUGACAUGUUAAUUAAUUUUACAGUUACUGUGCACAUGCACAGUAACCGGGUAAUUAUUGUUUUCUCACAUUAAUAAAGCAAACUGCAUGCAAAAGACCACGUUACUGUUCAAGUGAAUUAAAUUUCACUUGAACAGUGCAAACACAAAGCAAAUAAUGCUCACGGUGCGGGAGGUUACAGUUUAAUCAAAGUUGGCGCAUUAACUGUUCAAGUGAAUUAAUUCACUUGAACAGUGCGGUGAAAUGCAGGCAAAGAGAACCUGUUACUGUUCAAGUGAAUUAAAACUCACUUGAACAGUGUAAAUGCAAAGAAAACCACUGCGCACACAAGGUGAAAAGAACAAACCUGGAGAUGAAGAAGCUGUCUGCGUUCUUCCGUUCCCAGUCUUUCCCUCCUGUCCUAUGUUGGCGUCGGUUUCCCUGGUUUUUCCUUUCCUCUACGUCUUUGUCACUCUCUCUCUCCUCGGUUUUCUGCUCUUUCUUCUCCUCUGUUCUGCAAGUGUUAUAUGUAAAAAAAAUGAAAGCAAAGCCCGAAAGAGAUGAUGAGCUGGUGCGGUUGGUGGUGGUUGCUGCCACUGCUCUUCCUCCUCUCUGGUGUUGCUGCGGCUGCCUUUCCUCCUGGUGCUGCUACUGCUGCUGGGAUGGAGGAGAUGAUGAGGUCGUUGGCAGCGCUGGUGCGGCUCCUGGUGUUGCUGCUGCUGCUCUUCUCCUGGUACUGCUGGACCGAAGGAAAUGGUGAGCUGACGAUGGCGCUGCGGAAUGGAUGUUCUUCUCUCUGUAUUCUCUUGCUCUUUCUCCGUUUUCCUGUUGGCUGCUGCUUUGCCUAGUGCCUGCUCCUGGUCUGCUGGCGAAACCGGUUUUCUUCAGUCUUCACUGUCUGCGCUCGCCUUCUGCUCUCUUGCGUCUUUGUUUUGCUUCCGUUUCUCUUCUCUCCCUCUCCUCCGUUCUGUUUUCCUUUCUCACAGUAACGAAAGGAUGAAGGAGAAAAACUCACUCUGUUCUCGUGUUGCGGGAAGGGAAGGAGGGCUCCUGCUGAUUCUGCUACUGCGGCUGAGGCAAGGUGCAGCUUCGGCUGGUUCUGCUACUGCAGCUGAGGAAGGAUAUGGCUGCGGAGGAGGUUACAGCUGGGCGAGUGGCUUGGCUCGUUCCUGGUUGCUGUUGGUGCUGGCCAUGGUUCAGCACAGGUGGUGCUGCUAGCUGCUCUUCCUCCUAGCGUUGCUGCGGCUGCUCUUCCUCCUGGUGUGGCUGCUGGGCUGAAGGAGAUGAUGAGCUGACGAUGGCGCUGCGGCUGCUGGCUGGUCCUUCUGUGAUUUCUUCUGUUUAUCUUCUCUCCUUCUGCUCGUCCCUGUUGUAUUCUUCCUCAUCCAUUUGGUCUCUGGUCUUCUUCCCCGUGCUUCCCGUCUUGGCUCUGCUGAGAAGAAAAUGGUUGCUGCUGCUGUGUAGUUCGGGAAGGUGGUCAGGAAGGUGGCGGUGUGCUUCCAAACGGUGGAGGGAGAGAGCAGAGAGAGAGGUUACCGUUCUUCUCUUCCCCUCUGUUUUCCUCCUUUAAUUGCCAUUUUCUUUCGUUCAAAACUUUCCCCCUCCUUUAGUUUUCCAGCCCUCUCCCCUUUUCAAAAAAACUCUCCCCUGGUAAAUUAAUUGUGAGCGGUAUUCAUAGGCACAAGUGGAGCGGGGCAGCAGCGUGCGCAUGGGGAGCAGGGGACACCAAGCCAGGGCAGCCUGCGCUGCUCCCACGCCUGCGCUGCUCCCCACUCCUGAGGGUCUCAGGCAGCGGCAUGCACAUGGGAGGAACGUUGUCUACACUAUUUUGGUUUUUUUCUUUUUAUUUUUUUUUUAUUUUUGUGGGGAUCCAAAAAUGGGUUACAACAUGCUCAAUGUAUGAAAAACAUAAAUGAUGUGGCUUUUAUUGGAAGAAAACAAUAUUCUAUUCUAAUGUUUUUCUAAGGUUAACUGUCUUGGGUUGGGUUAUUAUCUUUUUUUUUCUUUUUUUUAAUAUAUAUACAUAUAACUUAAAACAUAAUGCAUCUUUAACCCAUGUAACGAGCUUUUGGCUAAUGACUCUCAGACCAGUUGGUUUUAGAGCAUUAGGUGUUGAGACACCCCUACGAGCUUAGUUAUUCGAGUUGCAGAUACUGAUACGUAGAUAGUGCAAUGUUUGAUUCCCUUAAGCUUUUCUCCUUAACCCAUGUAACAAGCUUUGGGCCAAUAGCUCCCAAGUCAAUUGACUUUAGGGUAUUAGGUGUUAAAACAACCCCUUCGGGCUUAAUUGCUUGGGUUAGGGAGGCUACGAAACCAAACUUAUCUACAUUUUUAUUAUCAUCAAUAUUAUCAAUUUUUUUUUUUUGCAAAUUAUAUACUAUCAAUUUCCCUUAGUUGUUACAUUUAACAAAAGAACAUAAAUAAUGUAAUAAUCCAAUGUGCAACCCACAAUCAUAUGUUAAAGUGUGUAUGUGAAAAUGAAGGUUUAAGAAUACUUGUUAAAUGAGUAUAUAAACAGAAUCAAGUGAUAACAAUGCGAGAGUUUGUAAGUCUGAAUAUUUCAAGAAGUAUUCUGAUAGACCUUGAUAAGAAUAUUUACUAAGAUGCGUCUCAAGUGUCAAUAAAAUUCCUCCUUACUCUGCCAUCCUAAUAACAGUUUUGUCAAAUGGUUUUAAUAAUAGCAAAAAUAGUUAGUACGUUAGUUUUUUUUAUGUCAACUACUACCCUCUCCUCCCAACCAAAACGAGACAUUGUCAUCAAUGUCCUAAGGUAGAAAGAUAAAGUAUCACUACAAGAUUCCACAGUUUUACUGACGGAACAAUUCCGUCGGUGUGUGAUUAGAAGUUCGUCGGUGAUUUUUUUACCGACGUCAUCACCGACGGAUUACGUCCGUCGGCUUUCCCUUCGUCGGUGAUUCCCACUUCCAUCGCCAUAUCGGUCGGAAAAACAAAAAAACCAUUUGCCGAUGGUUUUACAGACGGAAUUUGCGCGCUGAAAAAAAAAAGAUUCCCGCUUGAAAUAUACCGACGGAUUUUUCGUCUGUAGGUGAUAUUCCCGCUUGAAAUAUACCGACGGAGUUUUAGUCCGUCGGUGGUAUUCCCGCUUGAAAUAUACCGACGGAUUUUUAGUCCGUCGGUGAUAUUGUGAUUGACCGACGGAAAAGAACCGUCGGUAAAUCUGUCGGUGAGUGUAUGAAAUACCGACCGAAUAUGUCCGUCUGUAAAUUCAUCGGUACGUGUUGAAGCUACUGUUAAAUACCGACGGAUUACUUCCGUCGGUAAUUCUAUCGGUGAUGUUUUAAAAUCCCGACCGAAUUCAGCCGUCGGUAAAAUCCUUGGUAAUAUUUUUUUUCUUAAUUUGUUUUUAAAAACUUAUUUAGAAUAUAUAAUAUAAAACUAUAUAAAUUAAUUGUAAUACAAACCAAUUAUGAAAAUAAAAUUUAUAUUAAACAUAAAAAAAAAAACAAAGUUAAAUAAUAUUCAUUACAAACUGAAUAUGUUUCAAGAAAAAUAUUAAAUGAAGUUUUAAAGGUAAAUAAUGUUGAUUACAAAUUAAUAUAAAGGUGGACCUGGUGGAGGAGGAGGAGAUCCUGGCAGAGGCUGGUGGUUAUACGGCCAAAAAGGAUUAGGCGCACAUGUUCCACUAUUUGACAAGUUCAUAAUCAUUUCGUGAAGCUGUUCAUAAGCCGCUUUUUGUUGUUCAUGAGCCGCUUCAUACUCCGCUUUUUGUUGUGCUUGAGACGUUUUGAGUUGCUCAGACUCCGCUCUUUGUUGUGCAUGAGACGCUUUGAGUUGUGCGUACUCCGCUUUUAGGUUAUCGUAUUUCUUGGUGAGCUGAGCCGUGUGUUGCUGCAAGGCCACGAACUCCUUAGAUUGAGAGCUCGAUAUUGAUUGGGAGCUCCCAACGGUUGAAACACUACGGGUCGACCGCAAGUUGUCGGCCGUAGUGUUGGAGAGCCCGUAAACCCGAUUUUUAUCGGGUCCACCUGACGAGCCAACCUCCAUCCACAAAUCCGGAUCGAAUUCCGGAUGGGUCAAAAUAUCGUCCCCGUAUCUCUCCCUUAACCGAUUAUUAUAGGUCUCCUGAAAAUAAAAAUAAAAAGUAAUCAUCAUAUUCAAUACAAUGAACAUAAUAACUUACAAAAUAAAAUGGUUGAAAACAAACAUACCACGAAAUGCUGAGCACGGUUAUCAACGAACUGUUGCGGCCCCUUCUAGCGGUCUUGACUCUGCACGUGAGUCUCCACAAACAGCUCCAUCGGGCUCGAUUCACGUCCAAGAGACGCAGCCUAUAAUGAAAAAGGAUAUAUUAACAACAACUGAAUUUAACGAUAUAUUUCAUUUAAAUUAAUCUUACCAUCCGUUUCGCAUGUGCAGCAAACGGAACGGAGCCGCCAGUGUGCGUUGUCACCCAGCCAUGAAUUGGCCGAUUCCGGUUGCCAGCACCGGACUGUGAGCGUCGUGUGAACCGCUCAGACAUCACGUGCUCAAGAUAGUGCAGCCAUAUAUCUUCCGGGAUGUAUAUCGGUUUGAAAUCCCUCCAAACCGCAACAUCGUUCCAGCCUUGGAAACCCCUAUCCCUCGCGGUUUUUUUUGCCUUUUUCUGUGCUUCAUACCAAAAAUCACGCAACCUACUUCACGCAACCAAAAAUUACAUUUCGAAACAUAAAUUUUUGUCUAAAAAAAAUCCUGUAUUGUUUUCGAUCUUACCUAGUUGCCGCGUGAUUUUCCCACACCCUCCUCACAACAGUGUUAUGCUCACUAUCCCAGCAGAAUUUGUGCUGUGUAUAAAUAAACAAGUUUAAAUAAAAACAAUAAUUUAUUUACAAUUAUAUUAAUAAUUUAUUAGAAAUAAGCUGAAAAUUAUAAAUUAACACCAACCUGAAAUCUGCCAAACCAUGCAAUGAUUUGAGGCAUCCAUUCAGGAUGCUUGGAUAUCUGACUCCAUUGAAACAAUGGAAUCUCCAUCGACGUUUUAAACGCUGAUGAUAUUACUCGGGCGGCUUCAAUGUUUGUGAACCUGAAAAUAAAUGAAAUAAAUUCAAUAGUGAUUACUUCAUAAAUUAUGUUGUAAUUUAAAAAAAAAACUAAAACCUUAACAAACUUACAUCGAAAGGUCGUCCUUCCACUGUGCCUCGUACUUGCGGCUAAAUUGAUUCCGCUGCGAAGGCACGCCGCCUCUGCGCUGUGAAGUACCGCUGGAAGAGGCAACAUCGGUUGACGUCGCAGGUGGUGGAGGUGCCUCUUCUUGAGCGGCACCUAAGGAAAUAUCAUUCUGAGCGACCAACUCUGGUUUUCAUUCUACGCAUCUACACAAUUUGAUACAAAUAAUUAUAUAAUUAAAUUCAAAUGUAAAAAAAAAAAAUUCUACAGCACCUCCCCUAUACCGGAUACUACCCAAAUCCACAAACCUGCACAUAUUAACAAUAGCCACAACCAAUUUACCCAAUUUAUACUAAUUAUUCCAACAUAUUCAAUUACUAAUCCUAAGGUAAAUUCAACAUUAAGAAUUACAAUUCAACAAAUUAUUCAAUAAUUAUGCCAAUACAACAAAACAAUAAAUUAAAAAAAAAAACUCUAGAAUAACAAUCAAAAUAAAUGGAAAAAAUUAAACACAAAGCAUGCAAUAAUAGAGUAAAACUAAUAAUUAUUCCAACAUAUUCAAUUACUAAUUCUAAGGUAAAUUCAACAUUAAGAAUUACAAUUCAACAAAUUAUUCAAUAAUUAUGCCAAUACAACAAAACAAUAAAUUAAAAAAAAAAACCCUAGAAUAACAAUCAAAAUAAAUGGAAAACAUUAAACACAAAUCAUGCAAUAAUAAAGUAAAAUUAAUAAUUAUUCCAACAUAUUCAAUUACUAAUUCUAUGGUAAAUUCAACAUUAACAAUAAAUAUUCAACAAAUUAACUAAUAAUAAUUAUGCCAAUAUAACAAUAAAAAAUAUUCAAUAAAUUCAAAAAAAAAAACUAUAGACUUUAGCAAUGAAUUAUGCAAAAAAAAACUAUAGACUUUAUCUACAUUACAAAAAAUACACCAAAACAAAAAACAUAACCAAAAAAAUAGCAAAAAAAAAACAAUUAAAGUAAAAUGAAAUAGAGGAAACACUAACCUUUUAAACUGAUGGAGAUUCACGAUAAAAAAAGCUUGAGAUCGCCUGAAGAACGGAGAGGAAAAGAAUGGUGAAAAACUGAGGAGAAGAGAAAAUGAACUGAAGAGGCGGUCGGGGUAGGUUAAAAGCCAGUUUUACCGACGGAUUCACCGACGGAUAUAAAAUUAAUUAUUAUUUUAAUUUAUUCUGUUGGUGAUGUGUUAAAAAUCCGUCGGUAACUUUUGAAUUUCGUACCAAAUUUUUUAAUGGCGCUCCAUAUUUUUCGCAGUCCGUCGGUAAGAUGACGCGGUCAGAGAUGCAUUUAAUGAACAACCCUUUGAUAUUCGCGCGGUCCGUCGGUAAUUGUGUCGGUAAAAUUGAGAGAGUACCGACGGACUUAAGUCCGUCGGUACGGCCGUCGGGAUGUGGUGGCAUUACCAGUAAUUGUUUUCGAACUCUCUGUGAAACACCGACGGACUUAAGUCCGUCGGUGUGGCCAUCGGUGAUGUGGUGGCAUUACCAGUAAUUAUUUCAUGUCACAAAAUAUAUCAUCCAUGAUCAAUAAUUAUUUCAAGUAAUUAUUUCGUAAUUGUGGCAUUACAACUAAUUAUUUCAAGUAAUAAAUAUUUUGUGUUUCAAAAUAUAUCAUCCAUAAUCUAAAUUACAUGAAAAAAAGGGUUUUACAUAGGGCUUCAUUUUGGUAGUUAGUUAGAAUUUUCUUCUUCUUCAUCAUCAAUUGAAUUGUCAUCACCUUCGUCGCAAUCUUCAAUAUGAAUAUCAUCUUCUUCAUCGACAUUUGCUUGUCUGCUAGAGCUCAAAACAAAAUUCAACUCCUCUGCGUCAAUAUCAACAAGACUAUCAUCGAAAACACGAAAAUUUGAAUUUUCUUCCAAUUCAAUCGAAGGAGUAACUCGAUAUAGUUCAACCACCUCACUAACUUGAAAGACUUCAUCUCGCAUACUUGUGUCUUCGUUCUCAUCCUGAACAACCUCGACACGACCCCGGGGUUUCGUUUUUAAAACGGACAACCAAUCCACUCUUGAUCGAUCCUUUCUAAAUGAAGGGGUGUAUGUGUAAUAAACUUGUUGACAUUGCUUUGCGAAAACAAAGACAUCGUUUAUGUUGCGGAGUCUAGCUUUUGAGUUGAUUUCAACCAGACCAUAGUGCGGAUCAACUCUGAUUCCUCUAUCAGUCGUGUCAUACCAAUAGCAUUUGAAUAAAAACACUAUAUUCUGCUCGUUAUGAUAUUGCAGUUCGACGACCUCUUCUAAUCUACCAUAGUAGUCAACUUCUAACUCACUACUAGUGGAUCCCUUAACACAAACACCGCUGUUGUAUGUCUUUCUUCCUUGCCUGUAUUCUUCAGUAUGGAAAACAUAUCCAUUGACAAAAUACCCGUUGUAGCACUUACAUUUUCUUUCAGGCCCCAGGCUUAGUGAAGACAAUGACUUAGGUGCACUCCUUCCCAUUUGAUAAACCUUGUAUGUAAUGUACAUCAAUAAACAGUAAAUGAACGAGAAUCUCGUAAUGACAUGCAUACGUACAGUAAUUUUGCAAGUUAUAAUGAGUUUGUGAUAGUGCUUACAUGUGUUCUGAACCACGUGGCAAACUGCUCAUCUUGUAAUUGAAAGAUCUGGGAUUCGGUCAGCUGUGAGUUAUUGGAUAGCAAAUAUUGACGAUGUUGCCUGCAAGUGAUAAUGAGUGUAUGAUAUUACAAUAUAUAAUUAACAGUAUAUUACUAACAAAGUUUAAUUAGUAUAAACUUACUGAAUAAAAGGUCUCAGCUCAUCACAGUUAAAUAGAACAUAGUUGUGUGCUUGUUUGAACUCUAUUUCCGACAAAUAUCUUCCUCUUACGGCAUUUUUAGGUGUGGGUCGUCCAGUAUUGGAGAAUAUUGACAAGUUCCCACUAGAAGGCACUUCACCGCCAUCAUCAUGCCGUGGAACGCGAUUGAUUCUCAUUCUCAGAUGAGGUUCGAAAUAAUACGAGAUAAAUGUUGAGAUCUCCUCAACAAUAUAGGCCUCACAUAUCGAAGCCUCAACAUGCGCCUUGUUCUUAACCUUUUUCUUGAGAUUAAACAAGUACCUGCAUUGAAAUAUUAAUCAAGUAUUUUCAAUUAAGAAAAACAUAUAAAAUACUUUUAUAUAUGAAUUACAUUGCAACUGUAAUAUCUAACCGUUCGAAUGGGUACAUCCAUCUAUAUUGGACUGGUCCUCCAGCUUUUGCCUCGAAUGGUAGAUGUAUAGGGAGAUGCUCCAUUGAGUCAAAAAAUGAUGGAGGGAAUAUCAUCUCAAGUUUGCAUAGUGUCUCGACGAUAUUCGUUUGAAGCCUCUCAAUGUGAUCAACAUUCAACUUGCUGGAGCAUAUAUCUCUGAAGAAAUGACUGAUCUCCGUGAGUGCAUCCCAUAUUCCCUUUGGCAACAAAUCACGAAAAGCUAAUGGGAUGAGUGUUUGCAUAAACACGUGGCAGUCAUGACUCUUCAUUCCAUAUAAUCUGCAGUCCUCUAUAUUAACCAGCCUUGAUAUGUUUGAUGCAUGUCCAUCCGGAAAACGCAGACUCUUAAGCCAUUUGUAGACUAGCAGUUGUGCGUUUUUCUCUAACACGAAGCUUGCUCUUGGUUUUGCGACCCGUGACUCAUCAUAAACCAACUCCAUAUUUUUACGGUUACAGUAUAAAGCUAUAUCCAAUCUAGCCUUGAUGUUGUCCUUUGUCUUCCCCUUCACAUCCAUGACGGUGUUGAAAAUGUUCUCAAACAUGUUCUUUUCGAUGUGCAUGACGUCAAGGUUAUGGCGGAGCAGAUUGGUCUUCCAAUAAGGAAGCUCAAAAAAGAUACUUCGCUUUACCCAAUUAUGGGUCAAACCAAAACCAGGAAACUUUUGCUUACCUGAUUGAAGGCCAAACACAAUGUCACCAUACUCUGAGACAACAUCAUGCAAUUCUUCACCAGAAAAGACGCGGGGAUGCAACAUCUUUUUCAACUCUGCCAACAAAGAAAUCUUUUCUGUUCUUUCUGUACCUGUGAUGAAGUGGCAAGAAGCGACGGUGACAGUCAAAAAAAGAAGCUUUACCUCCAUUUGCUAGUGUGAAUGCCUUGUUGUUUUCCAUGCAGUAUGGACAUGCGAGUUUCCCAUGCGUGCUCCAACCAGAAAGCAUUCCAUAAGCUAGAAAAUCAUUGAUAGUCCACAUCAAUGCCGCCCUCAUAAGGAAAUUUUGUUUCCUCGAUAUAUCAUAAGUCAGAGCUCCGGAGGACCACAACUGCGCCAACUCAUCAAUCAACGGUCGAAGACAAACAUCUAUAUUCCGCCCCGGGCUUCUUGGACCGGGUAUGACAGUAGAUAAAAACAUGAACUCCGGCCUCAUAUACAUUCCCGGUGGCAAGUUAUAAACUGUGAGUAUGACCGGCCAACAAGAAUAAAGAGCAGCAAAUGACCCAAAUGGGUUGAAUCCAUCUGUACACAACCCAAGACGCACAUUCCUUGAUUCAGCUGAAAAGUGAGGAUGAACACUGUUAAAGCGUUUCCACGCUUCGCCGUCAGAAGGACGAACCAUCACUCCAUCAACCGCAUGGUGUGCUUGGUGCCAUGUCAUGUGCUCAACAGUCCUUGGUGACAUGAAUAACCUCUGCAGUCUAGGUGUGAUCGGGAAGUAUCUAAGUUUUUUAUAUGCCACUAGAGUCUUUCCCCUGCCAGUUCUAGGUUUGUAACGGGAAUGCCCGCAUGUCAUGCACUCGGUCAUCUCAGCAUUUUCAAGGUAGUAUAACAUGCAGAAGUUAGGGCACAUGUCAAUUUUUUGGUAUCCUAAACCGAGGGGUUUCAUCAUGGACUUCGCAGCAUAGAAGUUCUCUUUCAGCCUGUUCCCUUCAGGUAAAAUGCUUCUUGCCCAUUGACACGACCAAAAGAUUGAUGUCUUCUCCCAAGUGCAGGAGUGUCGAGGUAAUAAAUAACCCGGCAAGACCGGGGUCGAACCACAGGGAGGUUAAUUGUAUAAAUUAUAGAUAACAAUAAUACAACAGCAACAAUAACAACAAUAAUAAUAAUAGUGAAGAAGAAGAGGAAGAAGUUGAUGAGAACUUUGAGAUGGAAGAUUAACGUAAGGAUUAAACAAUGAUAACAACAAAUGUCAAGGUUAGAGGAUCCACUAAUGGUAUUUCAAACAAGUAUAGUAUAAACUCUUUUUAUUCAAUUGGAAACCACACACAAAGGAGGUUCCAAUCAGAUUAUAAAUUGUUAACAUGAUUACAUUAGUUAUCUUAUUCGAAUAAUGCUAAUACUUGUAAAUGUUGUCAGGCAUUCAUGAUUAUAACUUAUGUUAACAACAAAUCAAGUUCCUUUCAUAGCUCAGGUGUCGGUUAUACCAUACAGUAUGGGCUAUGAAAGUGCCAAGUAUUUGUUGUACCAAGUGUUAUACAACAUAAAUCUAGAUUAACCAUUUAACAAGCAAAGUAUUAAAAGUGAACAAGAUAACAAAUAUAAAGCAUGUUAGUAUCCAACAUUAAAGUCCAUGUUAAGUUUAUAUUAUACUUAUUCUUACACCAUUAGUGUACCCUUUUCACCUUGACAUAAUUAACUUGGUUAAACAUAAUGAAAGAAAGAAACAUAAAUAAACAAGGAAAGGAAAUGAAAAGCAUAAGCAAGAAAUUAAUAUAAGCAAAACUUAAGCAUUACAAAAUAUAAAGAGAGAGCAAGAGCAUGAUCUUGAUCUGAACACCAAGAUGCCUAAAUACAUGGCAAAUGCCUCCUUUUAUAGGCCAAAAUUCGGAACUAUUGAUUUGUUGACUAAUUGAUGAGUGGGUGGCCACAUCUUGACUUGGUGACAAUUCUUAUCUUCUUGUCUGCCAAAAACGUCAUUGAUGACGUCAUAAUUGGAACAAACUUAAAUCAUGAAAGUUCUAGGGAAUUGUCUCAUCUUUCCAGGAUAAAAAUUUGAGAUCAUUUGGAUUUCUAGAACUCGAGAUAUGGGCUGAACACUGAACAGUGUCUGGGCUGCAGGAUAGAUUCAGACUUCUUUGUUGUUGCUACAAUUUGGACUUUCAAACGGCCUUGUUAAAUCUUGGGCUCCUCAUGAAAGUUGUAGGCCUAUGUCUUAUCUUUCCAUCCAUAUAAAAUAGACCUAAAUCCGAGAUCUACAGCUCCAGAUAUCACCCAAUUACCAAACAGUGUUCCAGUUUGGACUACACCAAUCAUCUCUUUUCUAUGUUUGGCCAUCUCUUUGUCCUUUCAAUUUCAGUACUUCAACUCAUCAAUCAAUUCUUUCAUUUAUGUGAUAGGCCUGCAUUCAAGAUGAACAUUUACCAUAAAUUAAAGGUAUCUUAUAUUAUUAGAUAUGUUAUUAUAAAACAUGCUUUAGUUAAGGAGUUAUUGAUACUUCAAGUGCAAAAUGAUGAUAUAAAACCUUGAUAAAAAUGCACUUUUAAGUACUAAUCACCCAUUCAAUAAUCUUAUCAUACCCGGCCUCACUCAACCCGUGAUCUGACUUGAUGGUGAACACCUGUGCUACGGUCGAUAAUUUACUGUGGUUCAUGCAGCCAUCCCAUAAUGGUUCGUCCGAAUCUUUCAACAAAUCAAAAAACCUAGCUGCAUCUGCAUUAGGUUCUUCUUCUACGAUUGGACAUUGACUGCCAUUACCUUGAUUCAUUCUCAUUGCAUCCAUAACCAUAUUUCUGUAAGGAUUAGUGUUGUCAUUUGCCGCUUCAUGCACGUUGCUAGCACUAGAAGUAGACCCAACCACCGUUUCUUCCAUUCUCCUCUCACUCUUGCUAACAAAUACUUCUCCAUGUGCAUACCAACACUGGUAAUUCUCCAUAAACCCUUUGUGUAGAAGAUGCAUCAUUACAACAUCUUGAUGCAGAUACUUUUUAUUUUCACACUUCCUGCAUGGACACCUAAUACCGCCUCCAGUAAAAUUUCUGGGAAUAGAUGUUGCGAAAUUAAUAAAACCCUGAACCCCGUUAAAAUAAUCCAUCCUCCGCAAUCCUUGGGGUGAAUCUCGAUACAUCCAUGAACGAUCAUCUAUGACUUAUAUCGAACCUCUAUAAAAUUAUGAUGACAUCAUGUAUUAAUUAACUAAGUUAGGUAAAUAAACUUGCAAAAAUAUUACUUUACCUCGAGAUUAUCCAACAAACCAAUCACAACUUCUCAUAAAUAUUAAAUAUUCAUUAUCAUUUAUCAACGUCCAUAUGAAUUAAAAUAUAUAAAUUUACAGAAAUUACCACUCCGCAAUACCAUUGAUAAAACUUUAAACGGACCCAUUAAGCAAGCUAUUAAUUAUUUCAAAAUAGCACAUGUAAUUCGGUAGUUCCAUAAAGUUUUAACAAUUUACAAACAAAUACAAUCUUACAAAAUCUAAAACAAACCAUAACAGGUAUAAAAUUAUACAUUCAUAUACUACAAGUUUGUUUGAGAAAUAACAAUAAAACAUGUACAUCUACUAACAAAAUACAUAUACUAAAAAAACAAUAAAAUUGACAUUUAAUUAAAUGUUAAAAUUUUAAAAGAUAGAAAUUACUUACAAAAAUUGAUAAAAUCCGUCCGUAAAUCAGAACACGGAUGAUGUGACCACAAAACUUCAAGAAAUAUAACUUGUUGUGCUGAUAUGAGGAAGAUUUGUUUUGGGGGGGGAGGGGGGGCUGGUUGUUUGCAGAUGGGGAGAGUUGGGAUGAGGAAGAAGAAGGAGAAAUAGGGGAGGAGAGGGUCGGCAGAGCUGACAUAUAUUAAAUUUUUCCGAUGGUUUCACCGACGGAGUUUCCGUCGGUGAUUCUGACGGAAACGUAGACAAGUCACCGUACGGAUCUGCCAUUUCAAAUCCCUCGGUGAGUCCGUUAGCAAUUUAAACGGCGAACCGGUCGCGUCACUGUACGGGCACUGUACGUGCUGUCGUUUUGAAUCCGUCGGCAAAAAAUAACCCGCCAAAACCUCCACGUCAGCAACACGCCUUUUUUUUUAAUUCGGACCAUUUUCCGUCCGUAAUUCAGUCGGUAACUACCGACGAAAAAUUUCCGUCGGUAGUUACCGACUGAAUUACGGACGGAAAAGUGUCCGUCGAUAAUUUCAAGCUCAAAUUACCGACGGAAUAUUUCCGUCGGUAAAUCCGUUGGUAUUUAGCGAAUUUCUUGUAGUGUAUAGAAGACAUCACCUGAAACAGCGAACACUGAUAAACCUGAAACACACUUAAACAAGUAUAAGAAAUAACAUAACAAAAUAAAAUGCUAUUAAUAAAACCAAAGGACGCAAGGUUUCACAAACGAAGGCUCAAAUCCAAUCUAAGUUUUUUACGACUUUCCAUAGUUGACCAAUUUAUACGACUCAUGAAGGGAUCAAGUACAGGGAUGAAAAAUUGUAAUUGGUCAAUCAAUUGUUCAGCAGUAGCAUCAGAGAUUAUGAUUUGUCGUGCCAAAGAUGUUACAAAUUCCUGUUCCACAGCUUGAUAAAGAAAAGACAACAAAUUAUCAUAAAAAUCAUUAACAUCUAACAAACCUAUAGGUUUAUGGUGAAUGUGCAGUUGGGCCCAAGAGGAAAUAUGAAAGAUCUCUUUCAAUGUGCCCAGACCACCUAGUAAAGCAAUGAAGGCAUCAGUAUGGUUAAACAUCGCAUUCAUUCGAUCAGACAUUGUGGAGACCUGUAAUUCCUCUCCAAUUAUUUUUCCAAUGAUGUCCCUUUUGUUAAAGCUUUGGGUACAACCCCUAAAACUUGACUGCCUCCUAAAAAUGCAGCUAUUGACACACCCCUCAUUAACCCAAGGCUGCCUCCCCUAUACACUAAAUGAAUCUUUCUCUCAGCUAGUACCUGACCAAGAUGAUUUGCUGAUUCUAAAAACUUUUUUUCUCCCAGGACUGUAUCCACCAAAAACACAAAUAUUUCUUAUGUGAUGACUUGAGGAACCUGCCAUUUCUACACACUUUUAUAUCUAUUAAAUGUAUGGGUUGAGUAGAAAUGAAGGGAAAGAAGAGAAGAUUUUAUAGAUGAGAAAUUGAAAAUGCAAUCAUACCACCUAUAUGUAGGCCAGCUGGAGUCUCUCUCUCUCUCUCUUUUUUUUUUCUUUUUUUUUGAAAACAUAUGUAUAUACAAGUAGUUGUGAUUGUGGCUCGUAUCUUCUCUUGGUUUUACGUCCAAGAACGGCUUAAACGCCCUUUAUGGGUCAGGGAUAGGCUUUCAUCUAGUUUUCUUAAAAACUGGCAAACAAGGUCUUUUUUAGUCAGAUUCCCAAGAAAGUCGAUCAUGUUCUUUAUGAAAAUAGGGUCAUCAGUCAUGAAAUGCACAAUGCACAUUGCCACUAGAAUAUGUCCCAAAAGUCAAUAGAAGAUUAUCUAAAGACUCUUUAUGUUUUGAAAUAAAUCCUAACUUUUGACAAUUUUCACAAGCUUUGCAGAACACAUGUGUGUCUUUGAACAUGGUGGGCCAAUAGAAUCCAUAUUGUAAGAUUUUUUUAGUCAUCUUUUUUUACAAGAAAUGACUCCCACAUGCCUCAGAAUGACAAAGUUUAAUGACACUACUUACCUCAUUGUUCGAAAUGCAUCUUCGAAAUAUUUGAUCAGGACAAUAUUUGAAUAAGUAAGGGUCAUCCCUAUAAAAAUUAUUCACUUCGUUCAAAAUUUUUUUUUUGUCUUGGGUACUCCAAUGAGCUGGCAAAUCUCAUGUUGCAAGAAAAUUGAUAUUUUUAGCAAACCAAGGCAUUGAACUAAAAGAAAGUAAAGAUUCAUCAGGAAAGUAAUCAUCGAUUGGUGUGAUGUCGGAUGUCGAAUCUAUUGUCAAUCUUGACAAAAGAUUCGUAUCAACAUUUUCAAUGCCUUGUCCUCGAUUUCUUCUUGAGAAUAAAUCAUUUGCAAUUCUUCAGAUUCAUCAAACUCAUUUUUACUCACGGUAGAUUCAAAUUGAUCAUAAACUAAUUCUUCAAUAACAUCUACUUCCUGUGAAUCAUUAUCAUUUCCAGGUUGCUUGCAAAUGUAAAUAUUCAUCUCCAAUGUCAUAUUUCAAAAUUAUAGCUUCAUCAGUCCAUUCCUACAAUUAAUUAAUGCAUUAGAAGUUGCAAAAAAUGAACAUCCUAAAAUAACAGGAAAUGAAUUACAUGCUUCAAUAGGUUGUGUAUCCAAGACAAUAAAAUCCACGGGAUAAAUGAAUUUAUCAACUUGUACUAACACAUCUUCAACUAUUCCUCUAGGCACUUUUACAUAUCUAUCAACAAGUAAGAGAGUUAUAAAAGUUGGUUUUAACUCACCUAGAUUGAGACUCUGAUAGACUGAAUAUGGAAGUAAAUUCACACUAGCUCCAAGAUCAAGUAAAGCUUUUUCAAUUUUAUGUUCUCCAAUAAAGCAAGAAAUUGUAAGACAACCAGGGUCUUUAUAUUUCAAAGCAUUAUUGUUUUGAAAAAUGGCACUUACUUGUUCAGCUAAAAAAGCUUUCUUUUUCACAUUCAGUUUUCUCUUCACAGUGCACAGAUCUUUCAAAAAUUUAGCAUAGGAAGGUACCUAUUUAAUAGCAUCCAGCAAAAGUAUAUUGAUCCUUACUUGUUUGAAAGUUUCAAAGAUUUCAGAGUUGUGAUUGACUUUCCUUUGUUUGGUCAUGACAUAAGAAAAUGGAAAUACUGGUGGGGAAUCAGUCUUUUCUUUGCAAUGUUCAGAUUCAACCCCUUCCUUGCCCUCAGAGAUUGACUCAUCAUCUUUCUCACAAGGUUCAAAAGUGGGUUUUUCAAUAGCCUUACCAUUGCGAAGAGUGAUGACUAAUUUGACUUGAUCCAUGUGUUAGCUUCCAGAGCUACUUGCAUUUGCAUUGUAUUAACCCUUUGGAUUUUGCUGUGGUUGAGAUGGAAACUUACCUUUCUCUUGAAAACUGAGAGCAGAUGUGAAUUUUGCGAGUAUCUUUAAAAUUUGUCAUGCUUUGAGCAAGUUGAGUGUUGAUUGUCUCUUGCUUUUCAAUGAAUGAAUGCAAUGUUUCCUCAAGAUUUUUUCUAGGAGGUGGAGCAUAAGGAGGUGCAUAUCCAUGAGAAUUUUGGAAAUUAUGGCGUGCUUGAAACGGUGGCUGUGAAGUUUGUGCAUUAUUGUUAUCACUCUUCCAACUAAAAUUUGAGUGAUUUCUCCAACCAGGAUUGUAUGUUUGAGAGUAUGGGUUAUGAUUGGGCCUUUGAAAACUGUUUAGAGCAUAGGCUUGUUCAUGAAGGCAUUCCUUGAAAGAAGGCAAAGUUGGACAGUCAUUGGUUGAGUGUUCAUUGGUUUCACAGAUUUGACACACAAUGUCUUGGUGACUCUACUGCUACUAUUGCUAGGAAGAAAAGGUGUCCAUGGUGCAACCUUUUUGGCCUGGUGGUUUUGUGAUAUCCUACCUUGAUGAGAUGAGGACCAGCUUGAUAAGUUAACAGCAUGGAACAAAGUUCAACCGAAGAAGGGGUUAAUAGGACAAAAAGAUGGAGCUGAUUUCUCUUUUCUUGGUGUUGGUGGUGGAGAUAUUGAUAGAGAGAGAAUGUUGGCUGGUAUUGGUAUUGGUUGGUUAUCGGAGAGAAAAAAAAAGGCAGGGGGCGACAGCUAGUCUUAGAGAAGGUGAUUCUUUAGGGUUGGCUGUCCCCUUUUUUUAUGAAUCUUUUUUUUAUGUUUUUUUUCUUGUAAUGUCUCCCUCUUGUCUGGAUGCACUGAGAUCUGUAUUUAUAGUACAAGAGUUCCAUCACGUAUGAAAAACAAAGUCUCAAACAAAUUUAUUCUCUUUUUUGAAAUUUCAAUUUGAUUAAAAUUCAAAUUUAAAAGCGGAUAACUAUCAUCUUGAUGAUAAGAAUAGAAUGGUAAAAGCACAUUAUAGUUUCUAGUUUUCACGCAAGUUCACAAAUCACAUUUUUCAUCGAAAUAAAUCUCUGAUCUUUUAAUUUUAUAUUUUAACCCCUGUAAAAUUAAAUUAAAAACUUAUAAUUCAAAAUUGGGUUAUAACAAUAACAGUUCUAUUUAAACCUGCCACAAAGUCUCAAACAAAUUUGUUUUCUUUUUAAAAAAUUGAAUUUGAUUAAAAUUCAAAUUCGAAAGCGGAUAACUAUCAUCUUGAUGAUAAGGAUAGAAUGAAAAAGACACAUUAUAGUUCCUAGUUUUCACGUAAGUUGACAAAUUACACUUUUCAUCGAAAUAAAUCUCUGAUCUUUUAAUUUUAUAUUUUAAUCCCCGUAAAAUUAAAUUUAAAACUAAUAAUUCAAAAUUGUGUUACAACAAUAAGAGUUCUAUUAGGAAGUAGAAUCGUGACUCAAUAUAUAGAUAAAAUUACAACACAAAUAAUUUAAACCUGCCAUAAAGUUCCAAUCUUUUUCCAGAUCCUUAUAAAAGCAUAAGAACCCAUCUGGAAAAACAUAAACCCACCAUUUUUUAUUCAAUAACUAAUUUUCCAAAGUGGUUUUCAUGUUGUUUUGAACUUUAUAGUAGUGACAAAAGCUCAUGUGGUGUCACAAUAAUGGAUGGGCCAUUAGUAUCCACAUAUCAAAUCAAUUUAUACUAAGAGUGUUCAAAUGUGUACCCAUGUAUUUAAGCAAUUUGUAGAGGACAUUAUCUCUAAAUUUUAAAUCCUAACUUUAACCCUAAUUUUUCAAUAAUUGCUUGAAGCAUCCCUUCUAUCUUCAUAAUAGCCUCUUCAAUCAUGCCACAUCUUCAAAAUCUUGAAAACAAAAAUCUUUAUCGAAGAACCUAACCAUACCCAUAUAAAAUAAACUAUAAAUUAAUGACAUAAUUAAAUGAGUCUUGAACAUGAAGAGAGAAAGUGAAAGGUGAUGGGUGGGAUCAAUUUUUUAGAAUAGGGCUUCACUAGAGAGGAAGUGCUUGUUACAAGCAUUUCAGUUUUAACUGAGAGAGUGUAAUGGGCCAUGUGGAAGUGAAUCUCCAAAAUUGGUGAUGUUUUGCAAACCCACGAUAAGAUAGAUUAUAUUGGGAGAGAGAGAGAGAGAGAGAGAUUGUGUUUGAAAAGAGAGAAUUUUUUAUAUGUUUUUGAUAUGUAACAUACAAGGGUAAUUUGGUUUUUUUAUUUUAUUUGAGAAAUUGUUUUGACCUAUGAUGUAAAUUAUGAUUUUUAAAAGAGCAUAAACAAAGUAAAAAAAAAGAACUAAAUUUUUCCAAAACUUUUUCAAUAAAUAUUAACUUCUUAAAACAAAACUACACAUAACACUCCUUGACCCUGGAAUGUACUUGUUACCUUAUUUAGCGAGAAAUUAGAAAAACAUUUCCCAAAAUUUUUAUAUGCUUUGUCAUUGAGAAAAAAUAGUAUCCAAAUUUUUAUUUUUAUUUUCAUCGUCACUUUCUUUUUGAAUGCAGUCUUUUAUACUCAAUUUCAUGACAAAUUUGUCAAUUUUUAUUAAGAAAACAAAUCCAGCAAUAGAGGACCAAAAUGGAAAAUAAAGAGAAACUUGAUGGCCAAUCUUAAAUUCAAUAAAAAAAGUUCUUUUUAGUCCACCUACUUUUCUUUUUCUUACUUUACAACCCCUUUAGUUUUUGUCAUUUUAAUUUUGGUCUAAAAAUUUAAUUUCUUAACAUAUUAGUUCCUUAGUUAGAAAGAUAAGAAAGAAAGUCUACUGAAAAUAAUGAAGGAGGGACAAAGUGAAUAAUCACUUUUUAGUAAUGAAACUUGUCUUUCUUGGUGACAAUUGUUCCAUUCAAUAAGGCAAGUUCAAUGAUUAUGGAUUUUUCCUAAACGUGCCUGAAAAAAUAGAUUAAGCUUGGUUUGGAUUUUUUUUAUUCAAUUAAGUUUUUUUUUAUUUGAGUGAUUUUAGGAUGUUUUAGGUUGACAUGUUGUUUAUUGAUAUUUUUAUGAUAUUUUGAGGUUUUUUAUAUGAAAUAGCUAGAAAAUAAAUAUUGACGAUAAAAAACCCCUUCUUUUCAUUUUUCAGCUACCAUAAUGAUGACUGGAUUUUGAGAUGUUGCCUACUUAAAAAAACCUUAUGAGCUGAAAACGCAACGUGUUACCUGCUCCUAAUGAAAAAAUAAAAAAGGCACAAAUCUACUGAAGUCUUUAAAGAAAACAAUGGGAUAGGGCCCAUUAAUUGAACUUAUGAUAGAAGAGAAAAAUUGAAACUCACCAAAGAGAAGAAAAACAAGAAAAAGCAUGAACAUGGAUUUCAAGCCGCCUCUAGGAUACUGAAAAUAAAAAAGAGAGAGAGAAAAAUUAUUUUAAUUACCUAUUGUUUUAAUUAAACAAACACGCUACUAAUAAAAAUUAUUUUGGUUAAAAACAUGAGUAAAAUAAGAAUAACUAACUUACUUAAUAUAUAUAUAUUCUCCAUUUUAAAAUAUGUAUUUUUAUAUUUUCAAAAAAACUUUAGAGACUUGAGUGAUUUUUCGAAAAUCCUGAGACAUCAUAGUGAUUUUUGAUAAUUUUAAAACAAGUUUUCAAUUACAUGAUUAAUGUGCGCACGUGCAAGCAGAGGUCAUAUAAAGUUAGAGAUAGAAAAAGAAAAUCUUCGUAAAAGUUUGGUCUCCUCUGUUUUUGGAUGGAUCUUUAAAACUGGCUUGCAUGAGCAACACGUGUACUCGUAUCUUGGAUAUUCUAAUUUCUUUGCUGUCUCUCUAUAUUUUGAAUGCUCAAAAGACCUUUCUUGUACCGAGUCCAAAAUUUUCAGAAUCUGACAGAAAUGUUUCCUUAUAUUAGUUAAUAGGAUGAUUGCUAAUAAUAUUUUUUUUUAAAAAAAAAAACCUAUUACAUCACUAUUUUUAACAGGAUCCUGAGUUGAUUCAAUAAUUUGAGUGAUUCAGAUUCUAGAUCAUAUCCAGUAUUUUAAAAAAAACAUUAAUGUGGUAAAAAACUCAAGUAAACUUAAUUAAUAUUUAUUAUAUUUUUUUUUAAAUAAUAUAUAUUUUUUAUGUUUUUAUAAUAUAUAAAAAGUUGGGUAAACUAGAAUUAUUUGAUUAACCUAUCUUUUUUAUAUCCUGAAAUUUAUUACAAGUCAAGUUUAAAAACUAUGUAUUAAAGUUUACAAAAGAAUUAAAAAUUAAAACUUAUAUUAAAAACAAAUAUUGAUAAAACAAAGGCAAGAACUAAGCAACUCAACUCCAGACCAAGACCAAAAUGUUAUUGUAAUAAAGAUAUCGUGUUAAUAUGGUGGUGGUUUGAUCAAAAGGUUAUUAGUCUUUUAAGUCUGUGAAUUUUUUAUUUCUUAUAAUCAUUUCUUGAAGCAUUCAAAAUAACAUUUCUUGUAUUGAAAUAACAUGGGGGUUUAAUUAUAGCUGUGAAUCCAUGCAACACUGCAUGCAUGCUUAAAGUUUAUUUUGUGUAAUAAAUAAUGUCCAAGUGCUCCAAAUAUGUUUUAAAGCAUGAUAAAAAAUUCACGACUCGAGUCAUGGACUUGAUUAAAUCAAAUAAAUUGGUUUUAUUUUAAUUAAAAAAUAAAAAAAAUUGACAACAACAAUAGAUGGACCAAAUUAAGAAAAACAAAAAACAUGAUCACAAUGACCUAAAAAUAUAUUUUUAAAAAAUAAAACAAACAAUGUAACUCAAUUCUCAACUCAUUAAAUAUUAAAGGACAAAAUUAGGUUAAAACAAAAGGGCUAAAAAAUUCAUUCCAAUUCAACCCAAGUUAUCAUAGCAAACCUAUAACUAGGGUUAACUCACUAAAUUCGCGCCACCGGUCAUGAGAUCAGAAUAACUGGAUAUAAAAAAAAUAAAAAUAAAAUCACAAAACUCAUUUUUGUUUUAAAAAAAAUUCAAUAUUGAAUGAUAAAAGUUGCAAAGAAAAUACAUAAUAAAAAAAACUGUGUGAACUCGAGUUAACUUUUCAAACCCAUGAACUGGGUCAUUAGAGUGGAAGCAACCUAUAUAAUUUAUCUUUGUGAUAUUUUUAGUUAUAUUGUAAGCUGCAUUCCAAUAAUUUAGAUCUCAAAUCGAUUGAGUCUGAUCUAAUAUCUAGCAAACACAAAAUAAAACAAAUUAUCUAGUAUAAUCCAAAACACAUCAAAUAUAAAACAAGAUAAUUAUUUAUGCCACGCGUGCUCCUUCAUUUGACCACACAACACCAUCCCCGCUGCCAUAUGCCAAUUCACCUCGGUCUGGUACGAACAUGAUGAACACACCUUCUCCUCAGCAACAAGUUCAACAGCAGCAGCAAAGGCAAAAGAUGAUGCAGUUACACUUCUAUUUCUUUUUGUUUUGUGUGUAUGAAACCAUAAUAUUUUUAGUUGUAUUGUGAGCUGCAUUCCAAUGAUCUAGAUCUCAGGUCGAUCGAGUCUCGUCUAAUGUUUAGCAAACAUAAAAUAAAACAAAUUACCUAGUAUAAUUCAAAACAUAUCAAAUAUAAAACAAGAUAAUUAUUUAUGCCACGAGUGCUACUUCAUUUGACCACACAACACCAUCCCCGCUGCCAGGGGCGGAGCUAGUUGCAUUUUACAGGGGAGGCCAAAAUUAAUAUAAUAAUAUAUAUUAUUAAAAAUCUUAUUUAUUUAAAUUAAAAAUAUUAAAUAAUAAAAAAUUUUAAAAUGUUUUGCAGGGCCCGGCCCUGCUUGCCACCCCUGGCUCCGCCCCGCUGCCAUAUGCCAAUUCACCUCGGUCUGGUACGAACAUGAUGAACACACCUUCUCCUCAGCAACAAGUUCAACAGCAGCAGCAAAGGCAAAAGAUGAUGCAGUUACCUCAGCAUCAGAUACUUGCUCAGCAACAGCUGAGGCAAUCUUCUUUGCAAGCUUUGGGACAGGUGUUGGUUUUUUUCUGAUUCUUGAAUUUUUCUCGUCAUCUCUUCUUUUAUGAUUGGCUGACUUAACAAUCAUAUUCUAUUUUAUCCAACAAAUUUUAAACGACAAAUGAACCCAGAGAAAAGAUUAUUUUAUCCAUGAAAGACAACUUUGUGUAUUUUUUUUUGAAGGGCAAAGACAUUAAUGUACUAUUAUAAUCCAAGGUAAUUAAAGGUAUAAUAUAAUGUUUUUCUCCACACAGCUUAAGUUUUGUUAAUAAUAAGACAUGAACUGAAGAUAUAUUUUGUUUAAAAUUCGAGUUAUUAAUAGAUAGAUUAACUUAAAUCUAUUAGAUCUAAAAUCUAGGUCAUUGCUCGAGUAAAUUAACCCUAUUUAAUCUUAAUAUAUUUUUUAAAAUUAAAAUAUCAUCAUAUUAGACUUUUUAAAAUGGAAAGUAAACUUGAAAUGACAUGAUUUUGAAAUAAAUUAUUUUGUUAUAAGUAUUGUUUCUUAAAUUACAACAAAACUAAUCACAAUCUUGAAAGAAAGUUUUAACAAAAUAAAAUUUGAAAAUUAUAUCUAAAAAAAAUAAGAAAAAGAUUAAUCUAAUUUUUUUUAUUAAUUUAUAAUAAAGAAUUACAAAGCAGAAAUCUUAUAUUUAUUGAAUAUUUAUAAUCACAAAUUUAAAAAUAAUUGAUCCAGAGAUGAACUUGUUACCGUUGAUGGUAAAAAAAAAGAAAAAGAAGAAGAAGCAGGCAUAACUUUGUUGCUGGCUGAUCAUGGCAGAUAGGGGGCAUAUGCUAUGUUUUUUUUUCUCUCCUUUUUAUUUUCAGUGUCCUAGAGGCGGCUUUUCUACUUGAAAAUGUGCAAUUAUUUUCAGUGUCCUAGUGAUAUCCUCCCUUGAUGAGGACCAGGCAUAAUAACUUAUCAGCAUGCAGCAGAGUUCAACCGAAGAAGGCGUUACCGGGACAAAAAGAUGGAGCUGAUUUCUCUUUUCUUGGUGUUGGUGGCGGAGAUAUCGACAGAGAGAGGGUGUUGGCUAGUAUUGGUAUUUGUUGAUUCUCGGAGAGAAAAAAAAAAAAAAAAAGCGGGGUCGGUGGUUGGUCUUAAAGAAGGUGAUUCUUUAGGGUUCGCCACCCCUUUUUUUAUGUUUCUAUUUUUAUGUUUUUCUUUUUUCUUGUAAUGUCUUGUGUGCAUGCACUUAUAUAUGUAUUUAUAAUGUAAGAGUCACAUCGCGUAUAAGAAAUAAAAUCUCAAAUAAACAUUUUUUUUAAUUUGAAUUUGAUUAAGAAUCAAAUUUGAAUGUCAAUAACUAUUAUUAUCUUGAUGAUAAGGAUAGAAUGAUAAAAGCACAUUAUAGUCCCUAGUUUCCGCGCAAGUUGACAAAUCACACUUUUCAUCGAAAUAAAUCUUUUAUCUUUUAAUUUUACAUUUUAACCCCCGUAAAACUAAAUUAAAAGCUCACGGGCCAAAAUUAAGUCAUAAUAAUUGCCCCAUUUUUACAAUGCUUACGGUGUAAAAUCAUUAAAAAAUUCAUUUUCUUUUGACUUUAUAUAGUAAGUUUUGUAAAGAAAAAUAAGCAUGAAAACCCUUCCUCUUCUUUUCUUUUGAUUAUUUUUUUAUUUUUUUAAAAUGGUUUAAUUGUUAUAGGCGACCUACUCGAUAAUAAAAUGUGAGGGAUCUCAUAAGUGGUCUAAUUGUUCCAAGCGACCUGCCCGAUGAUGAAGAAUGCGAAGAAUUUCAUGAGUGGUCUAAUUGUUCCAGGCGACCUUCCCGAUGGUAAAGAAGAAACGUGAAGAAUUUCACGAGUGGUCUAAUUGUUCUUAGCGACCUGCCCGAUAAUAAAAUGUGAGGGAUCUCGUGAGUGGUCUAAUUGUUCCAGGAGACCUACUCGAUGGUGAAGAAGAAAUGCGAAGAAUUUCACGAGUUGUCUAAUUGUUCCAGGCGACCUGCCUGAUGAUAAAAUGCGAGGGAUCUCGCAAGUCGUCUAAUUAUUUUAGGCGACCUGCCCGAUGGUGAAGAAGAAAUGUGAAGAAUUUUGCGAAUGGUCUAAUUGUUCCAUGUGACCUUCCAGUUGAUAAAAUGCGAGGGGUCUCGCAGGUGGUCUAAUUGUUCCAGGUGACCUGCCUGAUGGUGAAGAAUGCGAAGAAUUUCACUUGUGGUCUAAUUAUUCCAGGUGACCUACCCGAUGAUUAAAUGCGAGGAAUCUCGCAAGUGGUCUAAUUGUUCUAGCUGACUUGCCCAAAGGUGAAGAAUGUACAUAGAGAUUUGUUUUUGUGAAAAAUAAAAAGAUUUUUCAGAAAUUGUCUCAUUGUAAUGGGUAACCUACCUAGAUGGAAAAAUACGAGGAUUUUUCAGAAGGGGUCUCAUUUUAAUGGGUGAUCUACCCGGGUGAAAAAAUAUCAAGAUUUUUUGGGUGGCCUAAUUCUUGUGAGCGGCCUUUCCAGAUCAAAACUCAAAGAGUCUCAUUGUGAUAGGUGACUUUCAAAAAAAAUACGAAGAUUUUUUGGGUGGCCUAAUUCUCGUGGGCGGCCUGUCCAAGUCAAAAACAAUUCUCAAAAGUGAGCAAUUUUCACAAGCAUUUUUAGUUUUUGGCCAUUUUAAAGUGGCCUUCCUUUUUAGGGAUCCCAUCGCAGAUUUCUCUUAUGAAUCUUUGCAAAACACAUUGUUCAAUGUCUCAAAGUUUAGAUGACAUGCAUGCAUCCUUACCUGAUUUGAAAUAUAGGUCCACAUUUAUUCUCAAUCUUCUUGUUGGUUGAUUAGUAAGGACUUGAUAUCUCUGAUUUGAUCUUCGUCGUUUGGCUUGUAGCCCACUCGAGUUGGCCAAUAUAAAUCUUUUUAUAGAUUUGUUUACACAACUCAGCCUUCAUGGUGCCCAUCGUGACCCACUUGCAUGCUAGAGAUUUUCUGUUUCGUUGAAUAAUUUGAGAGGGUCAUUUAUUGCUCCCCGUCUAGCUGCUAAAAACAUUCGGUGUCACUUGUUGAAAGGAUUAAGCAGCCUUUUGUAAACCAAAAUGUCGCCCUAGUCUUAUUGUAGGAAAUGUUCCUCUCAUUUUUUUUCUAGAAAGGAUCGAUUUUCCUUCUAAACACAAUGUUUCCCCUUUGUACUAGUCAUUGCCUGUGAGUGUGCUCUGUCAACAACUUAAACAAAUAAUGGUUUCGAGGAACAAUUCUCUCAUUUCUCUCAUUUUCAGUUUGGUGAAGGAAUAUUUGUCUAGAAUGAAUCUUGAAAUCUUGAUCAUAUAUUUUGAAAACAAAAAUUGUUUCGAUGUGAGUUAAAGCAAUUUGUCUUUCGAAAUCUUGCAACUCCCUGGUUAUAUUUCCUGGAAAAGAGAUGACUUGCUCUUGUGUUGGCGAUAUUGUCAUUGGUGAAAGUACGUGAUGAGGUGACCUUUUUUAUGGGUUUUCAAAGUGAAGGGCUCGAGAAAAAGCUCGAGGUUUUGUUUGAGAAAAAUUUAUCUCUUUCUGAACACUCAUUUUAUCAGCAUGAAUAAUAAUGAGUAGCUUGUUCUCGAUGUCAUGACUCUUAUGAAAAAGUACUCUUUGCAUUUCGAGAGCAUUAUUUACUAUUCCAAGUUGCUUGCUUGCUUGAUUAGAAAAGACUUCUACAAGAACGUAAUGUAGGCUGUGAUUUUAGGCUAUGAAAGAAAAGAAUUCAUAAGACUUAAAGAGUGUUUCAAGGUUUCAAAGACUAAGGAUCAAUAUCAACAGUUCGACUCUUUGUGUCUUUUAUCUCUUUUUUUCUGCUCUUCUUUGAUUUGCCCCCUUUCAUUGUUUUGGCCGGGGCAUGCUCACUCUGUUUAGGCUAUUAGUUUUUCUUGUGAUUUGGAAAUGCCCUCUAUCAUUUGAGUUUCUUGGACUCUUUUGCCUUUUUGGCUUUCUCACGGCUUUUUCCUCUUUUUUUAUCAUUGAAAUUUUUGUUUGCCCCCAGUAUAGGGUGUAAUCAUAGUCAGGAUUUUCAUGAAAGAAAAAUUUAUUCAGGCUAAAAAAGGAACCACAAGGGAUAUAUUUAUUUCAGAACGUGAAAGGAAUAACAAAGAUGGUAUGUUCUCAUUUUAAGUGCAAACAGUUAAGAUCAAUAAACUUUGACCUCGUCCAGUGUGAUGAUUUGGUCUUUCCAAAUGGAUGCAUUUCAUGAGUCUAUGAACAACGAGUCCACUACAUACCAUUAUGCAUAUAUUUAAAACACAUGGCUUUAGAGUCAUGGUGUGAGGGUGACAAUUUAAUUUUUAUUCGUGCACUUUGGUUUAGAGUUUAGUCACCUCAAUGAACGAGUUGCUUGAUUCAUAUGUCAUUCUACAAGUAAAAUGUUAAAAAUAUCAUUUUAAAUAAACAUAAAAUCAUUUUAGAAAUCAAAAGGCAAGUUCAAUUUUCUAAAAUUCCACCAGGGAAAAAGAUUUUGGUAAAAGAAAUUAAUUGAGUUUAUGAGAUCACGUAAGGCUUUAAAGGUGUAUUUGUGAUUUCUUUAGGGGGGAACCCCUUUCGAGAUAUUUGGUUGUAAAUCAAAGAAAAAAAAUGUAAUUGGAAGAUAAUCUCAUUAUUUCAUUGAAAUUUUAGAAGGGAGGCUCAACAACAAAGACUUUAUACUAACAUCUUGAGCUAUGAUUACUAGCAAGGUAACACAUAAAAAGGUUAAACACUUAGCAAUCAUUGAUUGGAGUUUCUAGAAUCUUCCAACAGUCCCUCUCUUAUGAAUUCCUCAACAGAGGCACCUUUCCAAUAGUCAUUUGAGGUCAUAUAUAGACCAGUCUUAGCCUAAUGACAUUGUAGCUUCGUCUUCAUGACGAGUGAUCUCUAGAUGUCUUUGUUUUUAUAGUUAUUUCUCUCGCCUUUGUAACCACCUUUGAUAUUGUGAACCUCAGUUUCUUUCCUUUUUCCAGUGAAACUUUUCUCCUCAGUCGAGUCAUCAAUCCUUCCUAACCGGAUGACUUGUUCAAUCCUCUCGUCUAUAGCAACCGGGUCAGAAAAAGUUGUGCAGAGCUUUCAACCAGGUAUUCAAAGUUUGGGGCCUUGAAAGUGUUGGCAAAUAAAUUGAUCAUCUUUUUUUUUCCAACAAAGGAAGAUUAACUUGUGAAGUUUCCUCACGCCAUCUUUGGGCGUAUUCCCUUAUUGACUUAUUAUUGUCCUCCUCUAUAGCUUGCAAGCUUGACCUAUCAGGGUCCACGUCCAUAUUGAACUUAUAUUGUCUAAUGAAGGCAUCAACUAAGUCCUUUCAUUUUUUUUUUACCUUAGUAUUGCCCAACCGCAUAUACCAAGUAAGGGCAGCAUCACUCAAGUUGUCUUGAAAAAAGUGAAGCAGCAGUUUGUCGUCACAGACCACCUCAGCUAUUUUGUUGCAGUAUACAUUGAGAUGAGUUACAGGACAUUGAUUUGAUGAAUUUAGGCACUCUAAAAUUUUUGGGCUGAUCACAUUGGGACCAAACAAAUCUCAAUAACCUUUAUAUGGUCAUGUAGGCUAGUUCCCUCGAAUGCCCUCAUCCUUUGUUCUGGGGCAACCAAUUUAUCCAGGCCAUCUUAUCUUACCAUCUUGUCCUUUUCAGAUUCCUUCAUUGUAAAAUCAAUGGUAGACGACCUUUUUAUGAGAUAUGCUGGUUGAGCAAUUUGGGAAUACGUAGUCUGUUGAGAUUGAAAUAACACCUUUUUUUCCUCUAGAUUUUGCGGAUUUGCGAGCAAAAGUUCAGGUUGAGCUGUAAACUUUGCUUCUCUGAAUUUAGAUCCUAAGGCCUGUUCGAGUAGACUAGUAAGCCUUGCGACUUCUUCUUUAAGACUUCCCAACUCUUUUUGGUGUUGAGCUUCCAACUAAGUUGUUUCUUCAUUAUCCAUUUGUCUUUUUCGCAGUCAAGUGUUAUAGGUGUGUUUCAAUGACGAACCUAUAUUUCAACCCACUAAAUGAAAGUUAUGCAAUCAUGCGGAAGUAAGGACGCUAUCAACAAGGAAAAUGCAGAUUCAAUGUGGUCUCGCCCUUCAUGGGGUGGCAAUGGUCAUUAUUCAUGGAUUUUAGGAACCUGAUGUCGUUAUCAUGCCAAUGAAGGGAUCCUUGUCCAGUCUUGCUUAAGUUUGAGCUUUCGACUUUCAAUUUAAGUUGAUCCUCUUUUGUCAAAUGUAACAACUCAAACUCUUGUAUCUUAUAUGAUGGUCAUUUAUCAUCCACCAAUGGUCUUGGAAUUCAAGAUGCCGCAUGUCGGGCUAGCCAUAGUGAGAUUAUAUAGGGUACAACCUAGUAGGUGAGUUCUAGUCGUUUAAGUGCAUCAAAGGAUAGGUCACUAUCUAGUCUCAAAGGGUCUCUCGCAUGCUCAAUAAUCGUCCUUGAAAGGUUGAUAUGAGGCUUACUAGUAGUGUGAAGAUAGAGGUCCUGAGUAAUAUCAAAUCGGCAUAUCAAUUACUAUCGAGUAAACAAUCAAGCGAAAGUUGGAUGGUUUCACGAGUCUUGCUCAGGCUAAAGCCAUUGGGGUACCGUUACUCCCCCACCUAUCAUAAAUUUCAACGUGUGUGCUCUUGAAGUGAUGCAUGACAAUAUGGAUGCGUGCUAAAACGGUAAAAAACGAUAACCAUAUAAACACAACACAACAAACAUUAUAGCAAUUUACAAAUAAAAAAGCAAAGCUUAGUCCUAGAAGUCCCCAGUGAAGUUCUCAUUCUGUCACACCUAGACAUCACAGCGACCAAUAAAAAAUAUUUGGAAAAAGAACAGAUAUAUGGUAUCUUGUUAUUUUGGGGAAAAUGUCUAGUUUAAGGAGUCGUCACCUAAUAUUAUGGUCACUAGGAACCCUAACUGGUCAACAGAGAUUCUAUGGUAUGAGACUAGUUAUGUGAAAGGGAAGAUGCUAUCACCUCUUAAGCAUUCUAUAUGAGACAGACUGCAUUGCUUGUUUUGUCUAAAAUUGUUAAGAAUUUUUUUUCCUCUUUUUCUAGUCUUCCUAUAAUGUUCCUGACUCUGACGUCAAUGAACAUUUAUUUACAAAUAUUUCCAACUCUGACAUUGGUAAAUAUUGCACAACCCAAAAAGUGUGAUAUUACUGACUCUUACGCUAGUGAAUAAACCCGUAAAAUUUGAGUUUUAAGAAAAGGAAGCUAUUUUUAUUAUUUUUAUUUGUUUUAUUUUUGCUCGAUUUAGCCCAGCCGUACGGGUUGGGCUACACCUAGUGGCCCGACCUGGUGAUUGGCCCAAGCCAGUGACUUGGCUGGCCACUGUUGCACGUAUGCUUGAAUGGUUCAUGCAUGCAUGCAACCGUAACCAGUUAAUUAUUUUAGCAAGCAAGGAAGGAAACUUACCUGGACGUGUCGAUGCUGGAGGCAAAGUCGAGGGAGAUGAUUGGAUGACGCUGGAGACUAAUGGCUGGGCAAACAUCUCGAUUUUCCGUUCAUUUUUCUGUGUUUCUCAUUUCUCCCAGGUCUUCUUUUUUCUCUCUCUCUCCCUUUUCCUUUCUAGUUUCUAUUACUCCUCGCUAUUAUGAAAGGGGAAUGGAGUUGUUGGCCGGAGGAUCACAGUGGGGAGAGAAGAGCGCCUGUAGGAGCUUGUAGCGUGCUAUUGCUCACAGCUGGUGUAGAGGAGAGGAGAUCGCGAUCGCAAUCUAGAGGAGGAGAGCCGGCGUUGUGAAGAGUUACUGGACGUUGCUUGGGGUUGGACUGAAACUUACCUUCUGCUGGCAAUGGGAACCUCUUGUCUCACGUGUUCGGCGUCGCGGCGGUCAUUCACCACUCAAGAAAAAAAUAAUAGAUCUAUCUCUAUCUGCGGAGAGACAAGGAAUUCUUAUUUCUUAUCAGUGAAAAAUUUGAAUAGGAGUCGCCACCUAGUAUUCUAGUCACUAGAAACCCUAACUAGUCUCAGAGAUCGGGUACUGAGACUGGUUGUGUAAAGGGAAGGUAUUAGCACCCCAACUACGCCCUACCUAAGAUAAGCUACAUUGUUUUGUUGUCUGAUAAAAUCUAAAGUCUUAUUGUGGUUUCUAAUUGUUGGUCUGUUUAAAGGGUCAAGAAAAGUCCUCUGUAAAGAGAUCCUUAUCUUAUCAGGUAAAACCUAACUAUUCUAUGUCAUCAAAAGAAAAACAUUUAAUAUUCGAAAUACGUAUUACGUGUAAUGUUAUACCCCGGAUACUAAAAGACAAACAAAAUAAAAUUUUUGUUGUUUUUGAAAUUUUGGCCAAUGUUCUCUUGACUUUAAUAAACUGGUUAUUAAAACCAAAAUACAUGCUAAAACAUUGUUUUUUGGUGUAUGAAAAACAUAAUAUGAGACACUUGGUCGUAUGCACAAAAACAAUUUUUCUAUUUUCAUAUUUGUUUUUGUAUUUUUGGAAGUUUUGACGAAAACUACGUAUUUUAAUGCCGGAUUCAUAUUUUUUGAAAUGACAAAAAACAGACUAAGUUUCAACAAAACAAAGUAGAAAAAUACACGAAAAAAAUUGUAAUUUUUCAAAAGCAUUUUUUUAAAAAAAAUAAAUUGAAUUGGGCCUGACCUGGCCCAAAAACUUUUCUUGAACUGGGCUGGGCCUAAAUAUUCGGCUGGGCCAGAAUUGGCCUAGCCAUGAACAGUGCUCUCCACUGUUCACAGACUACGUGAACAAUGGAGAGCAAGGAGGCGAGAUGAAGUAGAAGAAAAAAAAGGAAGGGGAAAGGCUAACUUGCGAUGGCUGCAACCGUUGGCUAUGCUACUGGAGGCGAGAGGCGGCGACGCUGGUGGUUCGCAGUGGCUGCAACCUCUUCUCUCUCUCUCUGUUUUCCUCUGUUUUUUUUCUUUGUUCUCUCGGUCUUCAGACCAUUCUUCCUCUUCUGCUUUUCUUUUUUUUCUUUUCUUUCGGUCCUCUCGCUUGUCCCUUCUCUACUCCCUCUGUCUCAUCUCUCUUCAUUUCUCCUCUCGUUUCUGCUCCCCCUUCAUCUCCCAUGUAUUUAUAGGAAAAUAGGGGAGAGACAUGGUUGGGGCAGCCAUUGUGCUACCGCCCCACGAUUGCCUGAGGAGGCACGUCUCCUCCGUUUCUCCAACACGUGGGAGGUGAUUAGUACUUAAAAGUGCAUUCUCAUUAAGGCUUUAUAUCAUCGUAUUGCACUAAAGUAUCGUUAAAUUCCCUAACUAAAGCAUGUUUUAUAAUAACAAGUAUGAUAAUAUAAUAUAUCUUUAAUUUAUGGUAAAUGCUUAUUUUAAAUGCAGGUAUAUCUCACAAUUCAAAGGAUUGAUUGAUGUGAUUAACUAUUGAAAGUGAAGAGACAAAAAGAGAACUAGGCUAAGAGAAGAGAUGCUGGUUCAAUUCCAAACUGGAACACCAUUCGGUUAUUUGAUCAUAACUGAAGUUGUAGAACUCGGAUUUAGGUCCACUUUAUAUGGAUGGAAAGAUAAGACAUAGACCUAAAACUUUCAUGAAGGGUCCAAGACUCAAUUCUUCCAUUUUCAAGUUCAAAUCUUAGAAACAACGGAGAAGUCGGAACCUGUCCUGCAGCUCAAACACUGUUCGGUUUUCAACUCAUAUCUUGAGUUCUAGAAGUCCAAAUGAGCUCUGGUUUUUUUUGUUGGAAAGCUGAGACAAUUGCCCACAGCUUUCAUGGAACAAAGGGCUCAAAUUCUGAUGUUAGCAAUGAUGUUUUGGCCAGCCAACAAUAUCAAAAAUCUGCCAACAAUAUCAAGAACCAGCAGCCAACAAUAUCAAAAAUCUGCCAACAAUAUCAAGAACCAGCAGCCAACAAUGUCAAAAACCAGCCACCAAAUCAAUGGUAGCCUACCAAUCAAUAGUUCUGAAUCUUAGCCUAUAAAAGGAGGCAUUUGCCAUGUAUUUAGUCAUAUUAUUUUUCAGAUCAAAAUCAUGUUCUUGUUUUCUCUCUUUAUAUCUUUGUAAUGUUCAAGUUUUCUUUCAUGUUAUAUUAAUCUCUUGUUUAUGCUUUUUCAUUUCCUUUCCUAUAAUUAGUUAACUUAUAUCAUGUUUAUGUUCUUAUGUUGUUUAUUUAUGUUUUUCUUCUUCAUUAUGUUUAGCUAAGUUAAUUAUGUCAAGGUGAAAAGGUUUUACUAAUGGUGUUAGAAUAGGUAUAAUAUAAACUCAACAUGGACUUUAAUGUUUAUAUCCAAGAAAAAUUGUUAUUAGCAUGUCUUAUCUUUUUAUCUUACUAAUUCUUAAUACCUUGCUUGUUAAAUGGUUAAUCUAGAUUUGUGUUGUAUAACACUUGGUACAUCAAAUGCUUGAUCCUUCAUAGUUUUCGGCCGACAUCGUUGUUAUGAUAGGAACUUGAUUUGUUGUUAACAUAAGCUAGCAACAUAAAUGCCUGAUGAUAUUUAUAAGUAUGGUGUUACUUAGAUAAGAUGAUUAAUAUGAUCAUGUUAAUAAUUUAUAAUGAGCUAAUAACGAUAAAUCAUCCGAUUGGAACCUCCUUUGUGUGUGGUUUCCAAUUGAGUAAUAAAAAGAGUUUAUAUUAUAUUUAUUUGAAAUACCAUUAGUGGAUCCUCUAACCUUGACAUCUGUUUAUUAUUGUUUAAUCCUUACAUCAAUAUCACUUCACAAAACUCUCUUCAACUCUUUUUCUGUUAUUAUUAUCUUCAAAUCUUUCUCUUUAUUUGUAAUUUAUACAAUUCACCUCUCUGUGGUUCGACCCCGGUCUUGCCGGGUUAUUUAUUACUUCGACACUCCUGCACUUGGGAGAAGACAUCAAUCUUUUGGUCGUGUCAGGAGGCCACGGGUCAGCUGAGCAAAAUAAGGUCUUUGGUUGGCGUCUUUUAAAACUAAAAGGAGGAAGAAAAGGCGGUGAAAACAGGGGAACAAAACUUUCUUCUUCCCUUGUUUUCUACGCGUCCAAGGGAGGAAGAAAGGCUAUAGUGCCAUUCAAAACAACACCGUUUUGAGCUCUCUCUUUUUUCUUUUUUGAAUAGUGUAUGAAACGACGCCGUUUUAGCCAAAAUGUGUCGUUUUAUUUAAAUGAAAGCGGCGCCAAACUUAUGCCAAAGUCCAAAUCAGUCUUCAAUUUGUAAUUUGUUCAAUCAAGUCCUAAAUUGCAAUUUUGAUUUAAAAAUCAAUGCAAUUGCAUCCCUUCCAAAAAUCAGACAGCGGCCCUGAAGUUGGCCGCCUUUUUCACUUUGGUCCUUGGUCUUGAAUUUAUACAAUUUGACCCUUAAUUGAUAAAUAAACUUCUAAUUUCUUCAAUUUGGCCCUUGAUUCGGUUUAAUUGCAGCCCCUCUAUUUACGUGUCUUUUCCAGUUUGGUUCUUGGUUUUGAAUUUCUUCAAUUAAGUCCCUAAUUGGCCAUCAAACUUUAAUUUAUGCAAUUAAGCCCCUGAUUUGACCAAAUUAACUCUAAAAAAUUAUAAUUUGACCCCAGAACUUUAAUUUCUUCCAAUUAAAGCUUAAAUUGACUUCAAAAUCAAUUUUUCUUGUAAUCAAACCCUCCAUAAAUUCAAUUAAACUUUCAAUAAAAUUUAAUUGAGUCCAUAAACAUCUGGUUUUGGACUUUUCUUGCUCAAAUUGAAUUUUCUUUGUCAACAGGGUUCUCAUCAGUCAAUAAAAUACCGUUAAAUUUUAAUCUUUGUAUUUUUGAACCUCCUCGAUCAAUUUUUGACCAUUUUCUGAGCGUUCUGGCAUCUUCUUUUCACUGUUAUAUUUUUUUGAUAAUAUUUUCUAUUUUUUUGUAUUUUUUUAAUAGAGAAAAAAUAUAAAUUGAAAAAUAACCCAAAAAUGGGUUAUGACACCUCUGAUGGAUGUUACUCUCGAUUGAAGAUAGGACGUUGGACGUUGUUGUUGCACUACUUAAAGAAGAGACUUAUGUUGUUUGCUCAUUGUAAAACCAAAGAUUGCAAGUCUAAGAGGAAACCUUCUGCUGCUCACGAUGGGAGCUUGCUAAGAAAAGGAUUUAUGCUGCUCACAGUGGCAGCUUAUUGAGAGGAGCGGCUGGCGUUUGUUGCUGAUGGUGUGAGUCGAAAUCAAGUUGUUGAAACCAGUGUAGUUGUUAUAUCAGAGAGGAAAUAACGGCAUAAAUCUGGAGGAGGAGAGCCAGUGUUUUCGGUGAGGAGGAAAGGAGGAGCGACCCCACUGCUGUCUUGGUGACUCUGCUGCUACUGCUGCUAGGAAGAAGAUGUGUCCAUGGUGCAACCUUUUUGGCCUGGUGGUUUUGUGAUAUCCUACCUUGAUGAGAUGAGGACCAGGCUUGAUAAGUUAACAGCAUGCACCAAAGUUCAACCGAAGGAGGGGUUACCAGGACAAAAAGAUGGAGCUGAUUUCUCUUUUCUUGGUGUUGGUGGUGGAGAUAUCGACAGAGAGAGGGUGCUGGCUGGUAUUGGUAUUUGUUGAUUCUCGGAGAGAAAAAAAAAAAGCGGGGGCGGUGGUUGGUCUUAAAGAAGGUGAUUCUUUAGGGUUGGCUCCCUCUUUUUUAUGAAUCUUUUUUUUAUGCUUUUUUUUCUUGUAAUGUCUUCCUACUAUUUGGAUGCACUGAGAUCUGUAUUUAUAGUACAAAAAUUUCAUCACGAAUGAAAAAUAAAGUCUCAAACAAUUUUAUUUUAUUUUUGAAAUUUAAAUUUAAUUAAAAUUCAAAUUUGAAAGCAGAUAACUAUCAUCUUGAUGAUAAAAAUAAAAUGAUAAAAAAACAUUAUAGUUCCUAGUUUUCACGCAAGUCUACAAAUCAUAUUUUUCAUCGAAAUAAAUUUUUAUAUGCUGUCAUUGAGAAAAAGUGCACAUAUCAACAAUUUUUUUAGUGUGCUUAACAUAAUCAUUUACAAAAACAAAAAUUGUAAUGUAAAAUUUAAAUUGACGAUCAUAUAAUUGAAAUAUGGCUAAUUAUGCUCUCUAUAUAGUAUAAUAAAAUAUAAUAAAAGGUUUAGGUAAAUCAUUGUAGCAAUUCAUAGUAUUCAAAUUUUUAUUUUCAUUUUCAUCCUCAGAGUUUCUUUUCUAAUGCAGUCUUUUAUACUCAAUUUCAUGACAAAUUUGUCAAUUUUUAUUAAGAAAAAAAAUCCAGCAAUAGAGGACCAAAAUGAAAAAUAAAGAGAAACUUGAUGGCCAAUCUUAAAUUCAAUAAAAAAGGUUCUUUUCAGUCCACCUACUUUUCUUUUUCUUACUUUACAACCCCUUUAGUUUUUGUCAUUUUAAUUUUGGUCUAAAAAUUUAAUUUCUUAACAUAUUAGUUCCUCAGUUAGAAAGAUAAGAGAGAAAGUCUACUGAAAAUAAUGAAGGAGGGACUAAGUGAAUAAUCACUUUUUAGUAAUGAAACUUGUCUUUCUUGGUGACAAUUGUUCCAUUCAAUAAGGCAAGUUCAAUGAUGGUGGAUUUUUUCUAAACAUGUCUGAAAAAAUAGAUUAAGCUUGGUUUGGAUUUUUUUUAUUCAAUUGAUUUUUUUAUUUGAGUGAUUUUAUGAUGUUUUAGGUUGGUAGGUGAUUUAUUGAUAUUUUUAUGGUAUUUUGAGGUUUUUUAUGUGAAAAUAGCUAGAAAAUAAAUAUUGAGGACAAAAAACCCUUCCCCUUCAUUUUUCAGCUACCAUAAUGAUGACUGGAUUUUGAGAUGUUGCCUCCUUAAAAAAAACCUUAAAAGCUGAAAACGCAACCUGUUACCUGCUUCUAAUGAAAAAAUAAAAAAGGCAUGGGCCUAGGCUUCUAAGCCCAGACUCACCUAGCCUUUUACUUCUGGCUCAUCAAUGUUUAUUGAUUUGAAAUAUUGUAUUUUAAUCAUGACUCUUGAUAUGAGAAAUGUUUGGAUAAUAGGUUUGAGACAAGAAUUAAGAAAAACAAAUCUACCAUUGAUUAUACAUGGAUAAUUCGGCAAUUUAAGGGGUAUAAGGGCAUGGAAUUGUUUGAUUGAAUUUAGUCAUUCAUGAAUAGAAUUAUGUUAGUUGGAAUGUGAAUUGAUAGAAUGAAGGGAGAAUUGAGGAGAAAUUUAGAAAGCGUUGCCUUGAUUACUACUAAACUACUCGGCCAAAGUAGAGAUUUUGGGUUUGAGGACAUUUGUUUGAAUUGUUGUAUGAAUUAUGUAGAAUUAAACCAACUCAGAUGAAAAAUGGUCAAAAGACAUAAAAAGUUUGGGAAUUUGAAAAAAAAAAUCCAUUUUCCUUAAUCUUUAUUGUUGACCAAAGAAAUAAUAAAAAGGAGGAUGAAUUCUAUUAAGCAUAUGGAUUAAAUUAGAUAAAUUUAACAUAAAAGGAAGGAAAAUAUGAGGGGGUGAAUUUAAAAAGAUUUAAAAUAAAUGAAGAAUUGAACAAGAAAUCAUUACUAUUUUAAAUUGAAUUUUUGGCAUAGGAGAAUAAAAUAAACAUGUUGAUAGUGAUGUUUGAAUAAUGAGAAUCAAUAGAGACAUUAAGUUAAUUGGAAUAAAUGAAUAAAGUUUAAUUGAUGAAAAAGAAUAUUAGUGUUUAAAGAUUUGAAAGUCUCUUAAUCUAUAAAUAAAUUAUGGGAUGAGUGGAAAUUAACUCAAAAAUAAAUAAAUUUUUUUUUGGAAAGGUUUUUUAAUCUGAAAAGAGUUUAAAUGAUGAUUGUUGCACGUCACCCGCGUGACGUUAAUGGUAAUUUUCGUUCGUUUUGCUUGAUUUGGAAGUCAUCAUCUAGUAUUCGAUUAAGAUGAAAAAUGCACAAAAAGCAUUUGAUAGGUGAUUUUCACCUCAAUAUGAUUUAGUAGGUUAUUAAUUAAUAAUAAUUUCAAUUUAUUUAAAUGCUCAAAUAUAUUGUGACAUGUAUGAAUCUUAAAAAAACAUAAAAAAAAAUUGAAUGAAGUACAUAUGAAGAAAUGACAUCCAAAAGAGGGAUCGUUGGAGUGUGGGUAUUCAACUGGAAAUACAAGAUUGAUUGACUUCCAAAUAAAAAUACCAGAUUAAUUAGCAUCCAGAUUGCCAAAGUAAUUAGUAUUUAGGGAGAAUACUAAAAUUAUGUACUUCCAUAUAAGAAUUUUGGAUUCAUGGGCACUCUGUUAGGGUUGCUAGCUAGAAUAAAUUGGUAAUCAGAUGAGAUUACCGCAAUUAUUAGCAUUCUUUAAAAUUAUUGGAUUAAAUUAACUAUUUGUAAGGUAGUCAAAUAUUUUUUGUAGCAAAAAUGAACUCAAUAGUAUUAAUAUUGUGUGGUUUAGUUUUAAGUAUUAAUGUUAUAAUCAUUGUAGGUUAUUUUAUGACUUAGCUUAAUUAUAAAGAUGUUUGGUUGCUUUAAAAAUACAACUUAGAAUGAACUGUUUGGUAUUAAUAUUGUGUGGUUUAGUUUUAAGUAUUAAUGUUGUAUACCCAAUAAAUUAGAGGGUGUUACGAGUUCGUAUCAGACCAAUAUAUUUCAUAUAUUUCACAUGACCAUAACAUUUUUUUGGUUCAAUAUUAAUUCAGUAACAUAACACAAGUCAUGUGGAAAAAAUACUGUCCAUAUACCAUGAUUUAUUAUGAUUUAAAAUAGUGAAAUUAUACAUUUUCCCUUCAAAAAAAAUAAAUAAACUGACCUUGAAUGGUAAUUGUAUCUUUUCACAUGAUUCAUUUGGUAUACUCAAGUUUUUUUUAAGACAACAACAUUGUCUUUUCACAAUUCUUUUGCACGAUUAGUUUAUUUGAUUACCUUAAAAGCAAAACAACACUUAACUAUGGUUUAGAAACUUUUUUUAUAUUUCAUUUUUUAAAAACAAUAGUGUAAUGACUUUAUUAUCUGUAAAAUUAAAAUUCUCAAAUCUUGACUUCAAGGGCUCAUUCAUAAUUUUACAAUUGUUUUUUCAUAAUAAUUAUUUAAACAUGUGUGGUGCAACGAUUUUAUUUUUCAAUUCAAAUUAAUAAUAUUAUGUUUUUCAAUAUAAAUCUUUUGUAAAAAUUAUUAUUUUUUUCAGUUUCAUUUUUUAAUUGAAAUAUUAUUUUUUUGAUGUCAAUUUUGAUUUUAGUUGUAUUUUUUUUUCUUUUACUAAAUUGAUUUUUCCUUUCAAUUAAUAUUCUGGAAUGAGAAAUAUUCUGGAAUGAGAAUAAAGAGCUGGUUCGAGUAAAGGUUAAAGAUACUCUUGACAGCAAGAAGCUAGGAUAUGGCUUUCAAGAUGCUCCUGUUCCUUGGCUGAAAAUUAGACCACAACCAAAAUUAUCAAGGCAGGAAAAAUCACGUCGUGCAGCUGAAAAAAGCGUUGUAUUAACACCAAUUAGUGCAUUCCCUGUUGUCUUGGAUAAAGUCAUAAGUGUGGAGGUUUCCAGGCCAAAGAAAUCAAGAAGCGCGACGGAGAAAGAAGAUGAAGAUGAAGUUUUAGUUAUUGAAGGGAUUGAGUAUGAAGAAAAUCAAUUAAGUUCGAUGUCCUCGGCAACGAUGAACCUGAUUCACCUGGUGGACCAGACAAGUCCGGUGGUGAUCUAGUUACCAUUGAUAGUGUCAAGAUUGAGUUUGUUGCUGAUUGAUCAUGAUGAUGAGGGGGGCUGUGCUACCAUUUUCUUUUCUUUUUUUUCCUUAAUUCUUUUUUCUCUUUCUAUGUUAGUAUUCAGUGAGUUUUCUCUCUUUUCUUUCAAUUUAGACACGAUAAUGAUUUCUUAGAUUUGUUCCCCCCAGAAAAAAAAAAUUGUUCAGAAGAAAUCAGUUGUGGUUUCUUUUCUUUAUAAAAAAAUAAAAAUCCAUCUUUCUCUAAACUUUUCUGUAGGCGAGCCUGUAUAGAAAUAUAAGAACUCAAUUGAACAUCCAUCUAUAGAAGGUCAAGUAUUCAGAAGCUUACAAUGUAAUUUUCAACAUAAUUUCAUUGAGGCUUAAUCUAUAGUUUUAUACUGAAUUACAUAUUCAAAAGAUUACAACAAUCAAAAUAUUUACAGACAAAAUAUUUGUAUUAAUUUACAAGCAUGAUUGUAGGCUUAAUUACUGCUGCAAAUCAUUAGCAGAUUUCUUUCAAGCUACUGCUGCAAUUACUUGCAGAUUUCAUGCAUCUUCCUUAAUAUUAUCUUCUUUCUUUUUUUAAAAAAUAUAUAUAUAUAUAUUUGUAUAUAUAUAUAUAUUAAGUAAGUUAGUUAUUUUUUUUUACUCAUGUUUUUUACCAAAAUAAUUUUUAUUAGUAGCGUGUUUGUUUAAUUAAAACAAUAGGUAAUUAAAAUAAUUUCUCUCUCUCUCUUUUUUCUUUUCAGUAUCCUAGAGGCGGCUUGAAAUCCGUGUUCAUGCUUUUUCUUGUUUUUCUUCUCUUUGGUGAGUUUCAAUUUUUCUCUUCUAUCAUAAGUUCAAUUAAUGGGCCCUAUCCCAUUGUUUUCUUUAAAGACUUUAGUAGAUUUGUGACGCCUAGUUAAAGGUCGGAAGAAAUAACAUGCUUUUUCUAUUCAAUAAAAUAAAAUAAAACAUCUCUCAUUCUUAUCCACGAAGAAAAAGGACAAAAGAUAUGGGGUGGAAAAGAAAAGGAGAAAAGAGAACAAAAAAUAAAUAAAUAUAUAUAUAUAUAUAUAUAUAUAUAUAUAUCAUUUUCAAAUUUAUAUUUUUAUAUUUUCAAAUGCAAAUAUAAAAAUAUGAUGUUAUUAAUUUAUACUUUGCCUUUGAGCAUAGAUAAUACAUUACAUUUCAUGGUUCCAUCGUUACUUUAAUAUUUAAAAACCCAGCAACACCGUGAAGAAAAAAUAAUAAUAAAAGCAAGAAGAAGCAAGACCCCGAAAGGUACUUCCUACCUCGUGAAUGAUCUUAUGAGAAAUUGGAAGAUCUCUCCCUUUUUUACACUGACACCGCGCUUGAUCAUCGCAGGUGGGUUUACUAAUGCGGCGGUGGACGAGGAGUGUUUCGAUUGAAAAAGAGGAGGUUUUUCCUUCUAUUUUUAAGAGAGAGAAAAAAAAGGCAAAUUUUAUAAAAUUCUCAUUGCAAUGGACAGAUAAAUAGCCAAUUUUCUACACCUCUUGCCUGUACUCCAACAUGAUAUACAGUAUAAUUAGUACAAAAACGCAAGGCAGUACUAUAUUAGAGGUUUUUUGUUUUUUUUUCUUUUUCUUUCAAAAGUGAACUAUAUGUCUUAUUCCCAAAAAAAAUCUGCUUUUUUCUUUUCGUAAAAUCGUUUUUGAAAAGGCAACGUAGUUUUACUUCUAUUUAGUUUUACUGCUAUUUCCAUAGAGCAAAUAUUACCAAAAAAAAGGUUAAAAUUCAAUCACGUGUGUUUGUGAAAAUCAAAUAUAUACCUAGAUACAUAACAUAAAUCAUUAAAACUAGGUGUGAUUAUUUUUAUUUCGUUCGAAUUUUGGGUAAAAGAACAGUCAAACCAUUUUAUAUUUUAGAUUUCAUAAUCGACCCAAGUGAAAAUCAGUCUAAAUGAUAAACCUCUACAAUUUUAAAAAUAAAAUAAAUAAAAAUUAAAAUGAUGUUAAAUAUGUGAUCAAUAAGUAAGAAAAGGAAAUAAUGGCAUGGAAAAUGUUCUUGUAAACCUUGGUUGAAAUCAAUAAUAUUACCAUGAAACAAUAUUAAAUCUAUAUAUGAACUAUGAUAAAAAGAUAAAAUAAAUAUAUUUUGAAAUAAGAAAAUGGUCCCAAGAAUUUAUUGCAAUAACCGAUACGAUCCAUGUAAAGAUGGCACAAGAAAAUUCAGAUUUUGAUGUAAAAUCACCUACCGACCAGUUUUACACUAUCGAGUAUAAUUCUCAAUACGACCAUCGGAUCAUGUUGAAAUCUUACAAGGAGUCUUCUAACAUAGUUUUCUAUAUUAUGUUAAAAUUUUAGAGUAAUCAAAGUAUAAAAAAGUUGUACAAGAAUGUCGACAAUUGGAUAAAAAAUAAAAUGUCUACUCAUUUGUUAAGAUCUAUUAUCAUAAAGAACUUGAAAAUUUUGGAAGAUUACCUGCUAUUUACUACUGAAUUUUAUUUUUUAGAUUUCAUAAUCAGACCGAACUAAAAAUUAGUCCAAACAGUAAAUCCAUAAAAAUUUAAAAAUAAAAUAAAUAGCAAAUAAAUAAAAAUAAAAAUGAGUUUAAAUAUAUGGUCAAUAGGUUAGAAAAAAAAAAGAAUGGUAUGAAAAAAUAUUGAUAUAAUCCUCGGUUGAGAAUCAGUAACACCUUGCAUACCUAAUUUACAGAAUUUAUGGACGCACACCUUAUUAGUAUGACACUACACAACCAUUUACUAAUAUUACACUGCUCACACCUAAUUCCUUAUUGUAGAAUUUAUGGGCACAUUUUCUUUAUUAAUAUGACAUCAUGCAACCACCUUAUAUACUUCUCUACACCCACUUCUUUGUUGUAGAGCUAUUUGUGCGAGUGCAUGAGCAUUUACAUGUCUCGUCAAUGGCGAGUACAACGCUACCAUGUCUCACCAAUUAACAUAACAUAAUAACCAACAACUCAUAACAACUCAUUUUACAAGUUACCCGUCCAAUAAAAAUAAUUAUUUUUUAUAAUUACUCAUGUACGAAUGUAUCUACAACCUUACUAUCUAUAAGAUAAUCUUAUGUGAUUAAGAUAUAUAAAUAUCUUAAUUUAAUAGGUAACAACACGCAAGGUCAUGAUACAUAACCACACACAACAAUCACAUUAUAUACUUUUCUACAUUGUUAUUUUUUAUUAUAAUUAUUUUUCUCAUAAGUUAAGCACAUGCUGGUGCGGGUUUUUUAUUCCAAUGUAGAACUUGUUUUGUAAAAGUCCUAAGUUGUGCCUUUCACAACUUAAAAAAAAAAUCCUUCAAAACCAAUCAAUGAAAAGACCAGAUUCAAUAGAAGUUUUUCCAACUUUGUUAGGUAUGAUAAAAAGUUAGCUAUGAUAAUAUAACCAUCAACCUCAUGCUUGAUUUGAAAUCUUAUUUAACUUGUGCUGAUAUCUAUAAUUAUUUAAAGUUCUUAUACCCUUUGAAGCAUGUGUCUCUAUGUACGUAUGUCUAAGAAUCAUUAUUGGGUAAAAGAUCAUCUUUAGUUUUGGGUUGAAUCAAAAUGAAUCCUUGCAUUUUUGUAGCUUUUCUGAAACUUUGAGGAGGCAACAAAAUACUUUAAUUGAUUUUAUCCAUGAAAGACAACUUUGUGUAUUUUUUUUUGUGAAGGGCAAAGACUUUAAUGUACUAUUAUAAUCCAAGGUAAUUAAAGGCACAACUAUAAUGUUUUUCUCUACACAACUUAAGUUCGGUUAAUAAUAAGACCUGAACUGAAGAUCCAUUUUGUUUAAAAUUUAAGUUAUUAAUAGAUAGGUUAACUUGAAUUAACUUAAAUUCACUAGAUCUAAAAUCCAGGUAAUUGGUCGAGUAAGUUAACCCUAUUUAAUUCUAAUAUAUUUUUUAAAAUUAAAAUAUCAUCAUAUAAGACUUUUUUAAAUGAAAAGUAAACUUGAAAUAACAUGAUUUUGAAGAAAAAAAAUUAAUUUUUCCCCUAAAACUAGUUUAAAUUAGAUUUUAGAUCAAUGAAUCACCAAGGUAAUUCGAGAUUUAAUAUAACUAGACCUAGGUGGACAAAGAUGACUAGGCCUAGAAAUAAAGGAAAAAUAAAGAACAAAAGUUGUGGGAUGAAAAAGAAAAGGAAAGGAAAAUAUAUCAUAGCAUAUCUUCUCCAUUAAAUUUAUAAUCAUCAUUUUUUUACUCAUGUUUUUAAACAAAAUAUUUUUUAUUAGUAAGAUGUUUUUUUAAUUAAAAAUAAAGGUAAUUAAAAUAAGUUCUUGUAAGAGUUUGAAUGAUUUAAAAUAAGCAGGAAAAACUAUAUUUAUUAAAUCUAAACUAUAUUUAUUUAUUAUUGUAUUUUAUUUAAGAAAAAUAAAUUAUUUUGUUAUAAGUAUUGUUUCUUAAAUUAAAACAAAACUAAUCACAAUCUUGAAAGAGAGUUUUAACAAAAAAAAAUUUGAAAAUUAUAUCUCAAAAAAAAAUAAGAAAAAGAUUAAUCUAAUUUUUUUUAUUAAUUUAUAAUAAAGAAUUACAAAGUAGAAAUCUUAUAUUUAUUGAAUAUUUAUAAUCAUAAAUUUAAAAAUAAUUGAUCCAGAGAUGAACUUGUUACCGUUGAUGGUAAAAAAAAAAAGAAAAAGAAGAAGUAGCAGGCAUAACUUUGUUGCUGGCUGAUGGACCUAUGCUUUUUUUUUUUCUCUCUUUUUUAUUUUCAGUGUCCUAGAGGCGGCUUUUCUACUUGAAAAUGUUCAAUUAUUGGACCGUAUCCCACUGUUUUCUUUAAAGACAUUAGUAGACAUACCAUCAAUGUUUGUUUGUUUUUUUUACAUGCUUUCUCUAUUCAAUAAAAUAAUAAUUAAAAGUACCUCUCCUUUUAAUCUUAUCCGACGAAGGAAAGGAAGAGGACAAAAGAUGUGGGGUGCAAAAGAAAAGGAGAACAGAGAAGAAUAUCAUAUAUAUAUAUAUAUAUAUAUAUAUAUAUAUAUAUAUAUAUAUAUAUAUAUAUAUAUAUAUAUAUAUAUAUAUAUAUAUUAUCCAUUUUAACUUUUUUUAAUAUUCUAUAGGAAUAAAAAAGAAUAGUAAAAGGAAAACAAAGAGAGGAAGUAUUAACCUUUUCAAAUGCUAAUAUUGACACUAAGGAAAUGUUAUAGAACAAAAAUAAAACGCUGCACAUCAAAUGUUUUUAAGAAAUUAAUGGAUUCAAAUAUACAAUAUGAUGUUAUUAAUUUUUUUUUAAUUUUUUUUAGAUUAAUAUGGGUGUCUGGGAUCAGCUUACGCGCAACUCGACUAAUUUCACGAGCCCUAAAGUUAAUGACUAUGUAAGUUUCCAGUAGCUCUGAGAUUUGUGGGACUCGAACCGGUAACCUUUAGAAAGCAAAAAUAAUACAUUACAUUUUAUUGAUCCAUUACUUUAAUUAAAAACCCAUCAAAGCCAUGUGAGAGAGAGAGAAAAAAACAAUAAAUAAAAGCAAGAAAAGAGAAACAAGAAUGCAAGAUUUUUUUAUUAUUCAGUGGGGCAGCAAUAUCAUAUAAUUGCAAAGAUUUUGAAACAAGGUUCACACGUUACCAUGUUUUGAAAUCGAUCAGAUUUUAAGUUUGUUCUUUAAAAAUUAUUAAUUCAAGUCCUAUAAAUUUUAGAGUUAUUGGAGACUUAGAUGGUCGUUAACUUCAUGACCUAUGAGAUUAGUCAAGAUGCGCACAAGCUGCUCCAGACAUCUAUAUUAAAAAAGAAAAAGAAAAAAGAGAGAAGGUAUCAUGGUACGAGAAAUUAGAAAGUUUCUCCCCUUUUUUACACUUCGAACAUUGAAAAAAUAAAAGAUAAAAAACCAAUGCAGGCUCAAAGAUCCCAAUUAAACCAUACCCAUUUACUUCAUCACUCACUAAACAGAAAAGUAUUAAAAAUCCAAUCUUUACUUGUCCAUUAUGACCCUCAGGUAAACAAAACACUCUUUCUCCAUGCUUGGGAACAUCACAAGUGGAACUACACAUGCCUUCCAUAACUCUAUAUUAUCCUAGAACCAAAAAGUCAGUUUUCUUAGAAAACAAACAAAAUAAAUAAAUAAAGUAAUUUCACACUUCACAUUCAUUGUUCCCCAGUGGAAUUUACCAUCCUCCUCUUCCUUUUCCUCGAUUCGUGGCCAUCACUUUUUAAAACCCACCAAGCAACAAAAGCAGCAUCCAAAGUCAACAAAAACUUGAAGAAUCGUGCUUUUAAAAUAGAGACUUGCGAGGGAAGAAAAAUGCGAGACAGCAAGAGAGGCAGAAGCGGGGUUGGCUAUGAAAAGGGCUUUGGUGGACAUCGAGAGAGAAAGUGUUUAGAGGAGGAAGGGGGUGUAGGGUGUGAGAGUUAAUUUUUGAAUUUGAUUUUUUUAAGACACUUUUCUAUUUAUACUUCUGUUAAGUUAAUAAUAUUUUUAAUUUUUUAUUCAACAAUUCUGGCCCGAUCUAGUUCAAUUGGAAUCUGUUUCAUGUUUUUGAAAUCAAAACUAAAUAGAAUUGAUUUUUUUUUUGUUUUUUAGUAGGUUAUAUUUUUUUUUUAGGUUUUUUUGGUUGUUUUUUUUUUUGUUUUUUUAGUUUAAUAAGUUUUUUGGUUUUAGUUUUCUCAUCCCUAAUUAAAAUACUAUCCAUUCACUACGCAUUUUUUUAAGUUUUCUACGUAGCUCUAGUUAAUAUUUGCAAUUGAGUUCCUAGUUUUAAUAAUCUUUGCAUUUAAGUAACAAUAUUUCAUUAUAUUCUUGUUUUUAUCUCUAUAUAGCUGCAAGAGAAACGAAAGGAGAGGAAAAUACUCCAAUUAAGGUUUUUAUGUGUUCAAUUGACAAUCCUUAACAUGGCUGAAGAAAAAAGAUCAAGACUUCAAUAAUAUAUUGAGUUUUUUUUUAUUUAGUUGGGUUUUGAAGGUUUUUUUGCCAAUUAAAAUGUUUUUUAAGACUGAAAAUAAAUUUAUAGAGGUUGUUAGUAUAAUGUUUUGGUGUGUAGAGUGGAAAAUGAAAGAUUUGGAUUUGUAUGACCAAAACUAUAGUCUCGUAAUGUUCUAGUAACCAAAUGGUUAUUGAAAAUAUUAAUUAGUCAAAUUUUUUUAUGAAAACUAAUACACUACAACAUUAUCCAGUUUUACCGACGGACUAAUUCCGUCGGUAACAGCAAUGAAAUCCGUCGGUAAAAAUAAUACCGACGGAAUCACCGACGGAUAACGUCCGUCGGUAUAACAGUCGUCGGUAAAUCCCAUUUCCGUCGCUAAUUCUGUCGCAAAUAAAAAAAACCACCCACCGACGGAAACACCGACAGAAAUACAGACGGAUACGCGCGCGCCAAAAAAAAGUUUCCCGCGGGAACAUUACCGACGGAAUAAAUCCGUCGGUAAUGUCAAGGGUAAUUACCGACGGCAUUACCGACGGACAAUCCGUCGGUAAUUAUGGCAUGGCUUGUAAUUUUGUUGCAACUCUCUGUGUAAUACCGACAGAUAUUAUCCGUCGGUAAGUCCGUCGGUAUAUAAUCACCGACGGAUAAUAUCUGUCGGUGAUGCCGUCGGUAAAUAUGGCAUGGAUGGUAAUUGUUCGGCAACUCUCUGUUAAAUACCGACGGAUAUUAUCCGUCGGUAUAUCCGUUGGUACUUAUUUAAAAUAUAUAUAUAUAUAAAUAAUUUAUUAAUUGUAAAAAACCUUAAUAAACAAAUAAAAUGCAUUAAACAUUAAAAAUGUAAAAGUAAUAAUAUUCAUUACAAAUUUAAUGUGUUUAAAAAACAAAAUUAAACUAGAAUAGCGGCGGAGCUGGAGGAGGAGGCGGAGGAGGAGGAGGCUGGUUGUUCCCGGGACCAUACGGCCAAAAAGAAGCUGCACAAGUAUCGUCACCCAUCUUUGAUCUCAUCUCCAUGACUAUUUGACGGAGCUCAUCAUAAUUCGUCGAGAGUUGUUGAUAUUGUCGUUUCAACGCAAUGAACUCCUCAGACUGGGUGUUCGAUACUGAUGGAGAGCUUCCAACAGUUGAGACACUACGAGUCGAACGCAAGUUGUCAGCCGUAGUGUUGGAGAGCCCGUAGACCCUGUUUUUAUCGGGUCCACCAGACGAUCCCGCCUCCAUCCACAAAUCUGGAUCGAAAUCUGGAUGGGUCGACGGAUUGUCCCCAUAUCUCUACCUCAACCGGCUAUUAUAGGUCUCCUGAAAAUUCCAUCGGUAAAAAAAUCAUCAAAUGCAAUUCAAGAUGCAAUUCAAGAAAAUAAUAACUUACAAAAUAAAAUGAAUGAACGAACAUACCACGAAGUGCUGAGCACGGUUGUCCACGAACUGCUGCACCCCCUUUUGGCGAUCUUGACUCCGCACAUGCGUAUCUAGAAACAGCUCCAUUGGACUCGGUUCUCGUCCAAGAGACGCAGCCUGUAAGGAAAAAAUAGGUUGAAAGUUAAAUAUAUUAUAAGGAACGACAAAUUAAUUAACGAUAUAUUUCAAUAAAAUUAAUCUUACCAUCCGCUUUGCAUGUGCGCUGAAUGGGACGGAUCCGCCAGUGUGCGUGGUCACCGAACCAUAAAUUUGUCGGUUCCGGUUGUCGGCGCCAGACUGUGAGCGCCGUGAGAACCGCUCUGAGGUCACGUGCUCAAUAUAUGCCGUCCAUAUUUCCCCCGAGAUGAAUGGCGGUUUGAAUUCCUGCCAAACCGCCACCUCAUUCCAUCCUUCAAGACCGUUAUCCCUCGCAUGUCUUUUUGAUUUUUUUUGGGUGUCAUACCAAAAAUCACGCAACCUACUUCCAUAGUAACAAAUUAGAAUUUAAAACAUAAAAUUAUAAAACAAAAAUAAAUAUUAUUUUCGAUGUUACCUAGUUGCCGCGUGAUUCUCCCAUACCCUCCUCACAACAUUGUUGUCCGCCCUAUCCCACUCAAAUUUGUUCUGUGUAUAUAAAUAAUUCAUAUAAAAUAAAAAUAGUACAAGAUAUAAAAUUAUAAAAAUCAUUUAUUAAAAAUAAGCUGUAAAUUAAAAAUUAACACCGACGUGAAAUCGCUUAAACCAUGCAUCGAUAUUAGGUUUCCACUCAGGAUGUUUGGAAACCUGGCUCCAUUGAAACAAUGGAAUCUCCAUCGACGAUUUAAACGCCAAUGUUAUAGUCCUUGCAGCCUCAAUGUUUGUGAACCUGAAAUUAAAUAAUAGUAAUUAAUAUUAAUUAGUUGUUCAUAAAUUAUGUUAUAAGUAUAUAUAAAAAAAAACUAAAAUCUAAACAAACUUACAUUGAGAGGUCAUCCUUCCAUUGUGCCUGGUACUUGCGGGUGAAUUGACCCCGCUGUGAAGGCACACCGCUUCUGCGCUGUGAAACCGCGCUAGAAGAGGCAGCAUCACAAGUUGGCGUAGAUUCCUCGCCGUGAUCAGCACCUAAGGAUACGUCCUCCUCGCUGCUAGAAGAACUAGCUGCAACCGUCUUCUGACGACGUGCUGUAGAUUUCAUUCUAUGCAUCUACACAAAUGUAUACGAAUAAUUACAUAAUUAACUUCGAUUAUUUAAAAAAAAAUUCGACAGAGUCUCCCCUGUACUGGGGGGUCCCAAGUUGUCGACAAAAUCAUAUUACACUUUCAAUUUUAUUUCACAUCCCGAUCCAAUCAUCCUGGAUCUCAACCCAACUCAUCAUCAUCAACACAAUAUUUUAUUCAAUAACAUCAUAUAUAAUUACAACUAUGAACAUUCAUUGUUAAAUUGGUACUUAGAGUUACAAACAUUAGAUUAAAGUCAUACAUUCAAAUUUACGGAUAUAAACUAACAUUUUUAACAUAAAUUCAACAAUAACAAUUAUAGCAAUACAAACAAUAAUAUCCUAAAUUAAGAUAAACUAAUUAAAUGCACUUCUAUAUAUAUAAAUUAACAUUUUUAAAAUAAAUCAACAAUAACAAUUAUAUUUAUAACCUAACAUUUUUAACAUAAAUUCAACAAUAACAAUUAUAGCAAUACAAACAAUAAUAUCCUAAAUUAAGAUAAACUAAUUAAAUGCAAUUCUAUAUAUAUAAAUUAACAUUUUUAAAAUAAAUCAACAAUAACAAUUAUAUUUAUAACCUAACAUUUUUAACAUAAAUUCAACAAUAACAAUUAUAGCAAUACAAACAAUAAUAUCCUAAAUUAAGAUAAACUAAUUAAAUGCAAUUCUAUAUAUAUAAAUUAACAUUUUUAAAAUAAAUCAACAAUAACAAUUAUAUUUAUAACCUAACAUUUUUAACAUAAAUUCAACAAUAACAAUUAUAGCAAUACAAACAAUAAUAUCCUAAAUUAAGAUAAACUAAUUAAAUGCAAUUCUAUAUAUAUAAAUUAACAUUUUUAAAAUAAAUCAACAAUAACAAUUAUAUUUAUAACCUAACAUUUUUAACAUAAAUUCAACAAUAACAAUUAUAGCAAUACAAACAAUAAUAUAAAAACUAAAAAACUAAAAUUAAUAAAUAAAAUUAAAAAACUAAAAAACACUACACUACACACAACAUAAACACAAAAUUAACAAACAAUACACAAAACUAAAAAACAUUAUAUCAAUUCAAAAUAAAUUUGGGAAUAAAAAAUGCUUACCUUAAUAAUGUGUUGAAUUUAAGAUUUUAUCUACAAACAAUAUACAAUACAAAGAACACCAAAAAAAAUAAUCAUAAUUAAAAUAAAAAAAAUACAAAGAUAAAGAAAAAUAAAUACAUACCUUUUAAAACUACCACCAAAACAAUAAAAUCCUUCUAAAAGCUAAAUAUAAAUGAGAGGAGAAGAGAAAGGGAGAAGAGAAAGGGAGAAGAGGAGAAGAGAAGUGAAAGGGAGAAGAGAAAGGGAGAAGAGGAGAGGAGAAGUGAAAGUGAAAGGGAGAAGAGGAGAAGGUGCGGGGGAGGGGGGGGAGGGGCGGUAUAUAUAGCAUAAUUUCCGACGGAAUUACCGACGGAAAUUAAUUGCUGUCGGUGCAAUUAAUUUCCGUCGGUAAUUCCGUCGGAAAUUAAUUGAAAUGCGCACCAAAAAAGUUCAAAAAUCCCGCCAAACUUUUUGUUCUGUCGGCCAUUCCGUCGGUACGCGUGCAGACGGACACGUGUCAGCCAUGCGUGGUCCGUCGGUAUGUGACGUCGGUCGGUACGCGUGCAGACGGACACGUGUCAGACAUGCGUAGGCCGUCGGUAUCUGACGUCGGUAAUCGUGCACACGGACACGUGUCAGACAUGCGUGCGGACAACCCGUCGGUGAUGCCGUCGGUUUUAGCGUCGGAAAAGCCGUCGGAAAGCCGUCGGUGAAUGUGGCAAAAUCCCGUAAUUUUUUUGCAACUCUCUGUGAAAUACCGACGGGUUAUAGUCCGUCGGUAUAUCCGUCGGUGAAAAGGUAAAUUUUUCUUAUGUUUUGUAUGUAACCCUCUCAAAAAAUCUUGAAUUGCAAAUUAAAAAACACACACAACACAAUAACAAAGGCUGACCCUUAAAGAAGAAUAAAUAUUUCAUGUUUCAAAUUAUUACAUUAUAAAAAUAAGGCUUUAUAACAUGUUUAGUUAGUCGGAAUUUUCAUCUUCGUCCUCUAUUGAAUUGUUAUCAUCAGCUUCAUCGCACUCUUCAAUUUCGUUAUCAUCUUCUUCAACAACAUUCUUUUUUCCAUUAGUAGAGCUCAGAACAACAUUCAACUCCUCUGCGUCAACAUCAACAAGACUAUCGUUGAAAACACGAAAAUUCGAAUUUUCUUCUAAGUCAAUCGACGGAGCAACUCGGUAUGGUUCAACCAACUCACUAGCUUGAAAGACUUCAUCUAUCACACUUGUGUCUUCGUUCUCAUCCUGAACAACCUCGACACGACCCUUGGGUUUUGUUUUUAAAACGAAUAACCAAUCAACUCUUGAUCGGUCCUUUCUAAAGGAAGGGGUGUAUGUGUAAUAAACUUGUUGGCAUUGCUUUGCGAAAACAAAGACGUCGUUUACGUUGCGGUGUCUAGCUUUUGAAUUGAUUUCAACGAGACCAUAGUGAGGAUCUACUCUGAUUCCUCUGUCAGUUGUGUCAUACCAAUAGCAUUUGAAUAAAAACACUCUAUUUUGCUCGCUAUGAUAUUGCAGUUCGAUGACCUCUUCCAAUCUACCGUAGUAGUCAACUUCAAACUCACUAGAAGUCGAUCCCUUAAUACAAACACCGCUGUUGUAUGUCUUUCUUCCAUGCCCGUAUUCUUCAGUAUGAAAGACAUAUCCAUUGACAAAAUAUUCAUUAUAGCACUUGACUUUUCUUUCAGGGCCCAAACAUAGUAAAGACAGUGAAAUAGCAGCACUACCUCCCAUUUGAUAAACCUAGCUUGUAAAUUAAAUACAACAAUAAUCAAUAAACGGAUAUUAUGUAACAUUGACUACAAUUAAUUACAUUGCAAGAGAUAAUGAGUUUGUGCUAGGACUUACAUGUGUUCUAAACCAUGUGGCAAAUUGUUCAUCUUGUAAUUGAAAUAUCUGGGAUUCGGUCAGCUGUGAGUUAUUGGACAGUAAGUAUCGUCGAUGUUGCCUGCAAGGUUGUUCCAAAGUAUAUGAGUGUAUGGUAUCACAAAACAUAAAUAGUACACUCUUGACAAAGUUUAAGUCGAACAUCUACUUACUUAAUAAAAGGUCUCAGCUCAUCACAGUUAAAUAGGACAUAAUUGUGUGCUUGUCUGAACUCUAUUUCAGACAAAUAUCUUCCCUUCACGGCAUUUUUAGGUGUGGGUCGUCCAGGAUUGGAGAAUAUUGACAAGUUCCCACUUGAAUGCACUUCACCACCAUCAUCAUGCCGUGGAACACGGUUUAUCCUCGUUCUCAAAUGAGGUUCGAAAUAGUAUGAGAUAAAUGUUGAGAUCUCCUCAACAAUAUACGCCUCACAUAUUGACGCCUCAACAUGCGCCUUGUUCUUAACCUUUUUUUUAAGAUUGAACAAGUACCUGCAUAUAUAUAUAUAUAUAUAUAUUAAUAAAAAAUUAUCAAUUAAAAACAUUAAAAUAAAAAUAAAAACAUUUAAUUAUAAAUGUCAUAGCAACUGUAAUAUCUAACCUCUCGAAUGGAUACAUCCAUCUGUACUGGACCGGUCCUCCAACUUUUACCUCAAACGGUAAAUGUACGGGUAGAUGCUCCAUUGAGUCAAAAAAUGAUGGAGGGAAUAUCAUCUCAAGUUUGCAUAUUGUCUUGACGAUAUUCUUUUCAAGCCUUUCAAUGUGAUCAACAUUCAACUUGCUGGAGCAUAUGUCUCUGAAGAAAUGACUAAUCUCCGUUAGUGCAUCCCAUAUCCCCUUUGGCAACAAAUCACGAAAAGCUAAUGGGAUGAGUGUUUGCAUAAACACAUGGCAGUCAUGACUCUUCAUUCCAUAUAAUCUACAUUCCUCCGUAUUAACCAACCUUGAUAUGUUCGAGGCAUGUCCAUCGGGGAAACGCAGACUCUUAAGCCAUUUGUAGACUAGUAGUUGUGCGUUUUUCUCUAGCACGAAGCUUGCUCUUGGUUUUGUGACCCGUGACCCAUCACAAACCAACUCCAAAUUUUUACGGUUACAGAACAGCGCUACAUCCAAUCUAGCCUUGAUGUUGUCCUUUGUCUUCCCCUUCACAUCCAUGAUGGUGUUGAAAAUGUUCUCAAACACGUUCUUUUCAAUGUGCAUGACGUCAAGGUUAUGGCGGAGAAGAUUGGUCUUCCAAUAAGGAAGCUCCCAAAAUAUACUUCGCUUCACCCAAUUAUGGGUCAAACCAAAACCAGGAAACUUCUGCUUACCUGAUUGGAGACGAAACACAAUUUCACCGUACUCUGACACAACAUCAAACAAUUCUUCACCGGAAAGACGCGGGGGUGCAACAUCAUUUUCAACUCUGCCAACAAAGAAAUCCUUUCUGUUCUUUCUGUACCUGUGGUUAUGUGGCAAGAAACGACGGUGACAGUUAAAAAAAGAAGCUUUACCCCCGUUUGUUAGCGUGAAUGCCUUGUUGUUCUCCAUACAAUAUGGACAUGCUAGCUUUUCAUGCGUGCUCCAACCAGAAACCAUUCCAUAAGCUGGGAAAUCAUUGAUAGUCCACAUCAAAGCCGCUCUCAUAACAAAAUUUUGUUUCCUCGAGAUGUCAUAAGUCAAAGCUCCAGAGGACCACAACUGCGUCAACUCAUCAAUCAACGGACGAAGACAAACAUCUAUAUUCCGCCCCGGACUGCUCGGACCUGGUAUGACCAUAGAUAAAAACAUGAACUCCGGCCUCAUACACAUCCCCGGUGGCAAGUUAUAAACCGUCAGUAUGACCGGCCAACAAGAAUAAGGAGCAGCAUUGGGUUGAAUCCGUCUGUACACAACCCAAGACGCACGUUCCUUGAUUCAGCUGAAAAGGGAGGAUGCAUACUGUUAAAGUGUUUCCAGGCUUCACCGUCAGAAGGAUGAACCAUCACUCCAUCAACCGCAUGGUGUGAUUGGUGCCAUAUCAUGUGCUCAGCAGUCCUUGGUGACAUGAAUAACCUCUGCAGUCUAGGUGUGAUUGGGAAGUAUCUAAGUUUUUUAUAUGCCACGAGAGUCUUCCCUCUACCAGUUCUGGGUUUGUAACGGGAAUGCCCGCAUGUCAUGCACUCGGUCAUCUCAGCAUUUUCAAGGUAGUAUAACAUGCAGAAGUUAGGGCAUAUAUCAAUUUUCUGGUAUCCUAAACCGAGGGGUUUCAUCAUGGACUUGGCAGCAUAGAAGUUCUCUUUCAGCCUGUUCCCUUCAGGUAAAAUGCUUCUCGCCCAUUCAAUAAUCUUGUCAUAACCGGCCUCACUCAACCCGUGAUCUGACUUGAUGGUGAACACCUGUGCUACGGCUGAUAAUUUACUGUGGUUCGUGCAGCCAUCUCAUAAUGGUUCGUCAGAAUCUCUCAACAGAUCAAAAAACCUUGCUGCAUCUGCAUUAGGUUCUUCUUCUACGAUUGGACAUUCCCUGACAUUAGCUUCACUCAUUCUCAUUGCAUCCAUAACCAUAUUCCUGUAAGGAUUAUUGUUCUCAUUUCCAACUUCAUGCAUGUUACUAACACUAGAAGUUGACCCAACCACCUGUUCUUCCAUGCUCUCAUCAGGAACAAAUAGUUCUCCGUGAGCAUACCAACACAUGUAAUCUUCCAUGAACCCUUUGGUUAGAAGAUGCAUCGUUACAACAUCUUGAUGCAGAAACUUUAAAUUUUUACACUUCCUGCAUGGACACCUAAUACCGCCAUCAGUAAAAUUCCUCGGAAUAGAUGUUGCGAAAUUAAUAAAACCCUGGACACCGUUACAAUAAUCCAUCCUCCGCAAUCCUUGAGGUGAGUCUCGAUACAUCCAUGAACGAUCAUCCAUGACUUCUAUUGAACCUCUAUAAAACAUAAUAAAAAUAUUGGUUUUCCCCGACAAUAUCCAACAAACUAAAACAACACUUAUGUUAAAUAUUCAUUAUCAAUUAUCAAUUAUCAACUAUCAACUAUCAACGUUCAUACAUACAAAUUUAUACAUAUAUAAAUUUACAGAAUUAAUCACAACUUCGAAAUAUAAUUGAUAACAAUUAAACAAGACACUUAAACAAGCUAUUAAUUAUUUAUUUCAUCACAACGACACAUUUAAUUCGGUGUAAUUCAAACAAAAUUUCAACAAUUUACAAACAAAUAUAAUUUGACAAAAUCUAAAACAAACUAUAACAACUACAAAAUUAUACAUUCAUACUACAAGCUUCUUUGACAAAUAACAAUUAAACAAGUACAAACGUUAACAAAAUACAUAUACUAAAACAAUAAAAUUCACAAUUAAAUAUUAAAACUAAAAAGGAUAGAUUUACUUACAAAAAAAUGAUAAAAUCUACAAGAAACGGAUAUUGUGACCACGUACAAGAUAUAAGAAACUUGAGUGCUCGUGUUGAGAAUAGUGGAGAGUUUGGGAUGGGUGUUUGGCUGCAGUUUGGGAGGGGAGAGGUGGGAUGAGAAAGAAGAAGAAGGAGAAACAGAGGAAGAGAGUGUCGGCAGAUGGGGGCAUAUAAUGGUUUUUUCCGACGGAAUAUUCCCGUCGGUGAUUCCGUCGGUGAUGCCGUCGGUGAUAGCGCCACGUCACUGUACGGCCAUCUCAGUUUGAAUCCCUCGGUAAUUUCCGUCGGUAAAAUCGCCUGACGUCACCAUGCCGUUGCGUAUUUCCAGACGAACUGUAUACUCCGUCGGCAAAACCGUUGGUAUAUACCGACGGAAUAUUUCCAUCGGUAUAUACCGACGGAAAUACCGACGGAAUAAAUCCGUCGGUAUAUACCGACAGAUUUGGAGACGGAAUUAUUUCCGUCGGUAUAUAUUACCGACGGAAAAAUUCCGUCGGUAAUUCCGUUGCUUUUCUGUAGUUUUCUGGUAGUGAUAGUUUAUUUUUUUCCUUAAUUUUUUUAGAAAGUACAAUUUAUAUUUUAAAAUUUAUUAGCACGCUUAAAAAGAGUUAACAAAAAUUAUAAAGUAUACCAACUUUAGUGUUUAGAGUUAACAAUUUAUAUUCAACCCUAUUACACCCUAUUACACGGUGUUCAAGUUACAACAUCUUUUUUGAACUUUGGAGAAGAUUCGAUUCGUGACAUGCUUAGUCUCCUAAUUUUCUAGUAACCAAAUGGUUAUUGAAAAUAUUAAUUAGUCAAAUUUUGGAGAAGAUUCGAUUCGUGACAUGCUUAGUGCCGACAAAAUGUAUACCAACUUGUUCAAAAAAAAUAUAUAUAUAUAUUGCUUCAUCCAUUAUAUAGCAAGAUUCGAUUUAACAUGUUUAUCUAUUUGUUUUUCUUUUCAUUUUGUACUCUUAUGGCCAUUAUCAUAGUGUCGACCUCUUUCUAAUCAUGUUUUAUAAUUAUUAAUGUUAAGACAUUGGUUUAAUGAUUAUAGAGGUUAGCUCCAUUAUUAGCAUGCUACCAUAAAGGAUGUGUUUUUAAAAUUAUUCUAAAAAAAGUUUAAAGGGUUUUUUUGCCAAUUAAAAUGUAUUUUGAGACUGAAAAUAAAUUUAUAAAGGUUGUUAACAUAAUGUUUUGAUGUGUAGAGUGGAAAAUGAAAGAUUUGGAUUUGUAUGACCAAAACUAUAGUCUCCUAAUUUUCUAGUAACCAAAUAAAUUUUUUUUCUAAAUCUUGUAUUUGGGCCAUUACUCUCAAUUUCUAAAUCUUAUGUUUGUCGCAACAAUAUAUGGCUCCAGGAUCUUUAUUGUUUUUCAAGUUUUAAUAACUCCAUUAUCAUAUUAAGUUUAAUAUGUGAAUUUGAGUUUCAUAUAAAAAACAUGAAUCUUAUUAUGGAGAAAGUUAUCGGAUAUACAACUUCCAAUCUAAGCAUGCUUUUGCAAUUGAUCUUGUUAAUUUACACUUAGAGACAAACCAGAAAAAUAGUAUUUGGGGUUCCAAUUGGAUAAUCUAUGAUUUUUAGGUGAAAACAUGUAUUUUUUAUAAAAUAAACUUUGAGUUGGAGGGUUCAAUUACAAAAUUUUAAAAUCUUAGAGCUAAAAUGUAACUUUUGUAUUAUAGUUCCAACUAUUCAACCCUAUUACACGGUGUUCAAGUUACAGCAUCUUUUUUGAACUUUGGAGAAGAUUCGAUUCGUGACAUGCUUAGUGCCGACAAAAUGUAUACCAACUUGUUCAAAAAAAAUAUAUAUAUUGCUUCAUCCAUUAUAUAGCAAGAUUCGAUUUAACAUGUUUAUCUAUUUGUUUUUCUUUUCAUUUUUUACUCUUAUGGCCUUUAUCAUAGUGUCGACCUCUUUCUAAUCAUGUUUUAUAAUUAUUAAUGUUAAGACAUUGGUUUAAUGAUUAUAGAGGUUAGCUCCAUUAUUAAAAUGAAAUAGACAUGCGGCAACUUUUGAUAAACAAGGUUUAUCUGAUACUAGUGUACACUCAGGGGUCAUCACUUGAGAUUCGAGUGCCUUUUCUCCUGUCCCACAUGCUCAGACGGCUAUAGCUGUGGAAAAGCCUUCGAAGAUUAAUGCACAUUGUCCACAUGCUCAGAAGGCUCAAUAGAUUUUUGAAUCUCACCACAUAAAUGCAAUAAGUUGGCUGUAAAAGGACAACGGGGACAGAAUAUAGAGCAUGCAUAAUUUCACGUCCGUUCCUCUGAGGCUGUGUCAUGUACUUUGUAAAAAGGAUUUUAUUUGAAAAUAUAUUAAAUAAAAUUUUUGAUAUUAAAAUUAUAAAAAACUAUAAAAUAUUAAUUUUUUUAUAUAAAUACAUUUUUUUAAAAUAAAAACUAUUAUAAUCUCAAAUUUGUAUUAACUGGUUGCAUCUAUUAGCUUCUUUCAAUUCAAAUAUAUAUAUUUUUUAUUAAUAAAAGUUUUCGCGUCAAAGUAUAAAUUUUUUUAUUAACAAGGGUUUUGUGUCAACUUGCACGCAUCUUGCUUAAUCACAUGAUCCUGAAGUCAACGAUCAUGUAAAUCUCAAAUGAACUUGAAAAAACUCUAACACGUAAUUAUUAGGAUAAAAAAAAAAUUCAAAAAAAAGAUUUACCGAUCACAUUCACUCGGAUUGAGAUUAUUUUAAUGGAAGCCACAGUAUUCGCUUCACCAUAGACAUUUCUUAUAUAAGGUAUCCAAGAAUCCUUCACCCCCACACCAAACCAAACUAUGGCGUCCUGUAUCUCUCUUUCCAGUAGCAUCCCUUUAGCUGCCUCCUCUUUCUUGCCUUCCUUCCCGAAAACACACCAAGUUUCCAGAGUUAAAAAGCCAAACCGUCCCAAUAUCCCGAUUGUUUCUUGCAAAUCAGGCAAGAAUGAUCAUGAACAAAACCCUGCCACCAGAAGAGAUCUGCUCAUUGGUCUCGGUGGACUCUAUGGAGCAACUAGUCUUAGUGAUCCAUUUGCCUAUGCUAACCCCAUUGCACCCCCAGACAUAACCCAAUGUGAGCUAGUUACCCUGCCAUCCGAAAGUAAUCCCACGAACUGUUGCCCUCAAACAUCCACAAAGAUCAAAAACUUCGAAUUCCCUUCUGCGUCCUCCCCAAUGCGCAUUAGGCCUGCUGCUCAUUUAGUUGAUAAAGCCUCCUUAGCUAAAUACGCCAAAGCCAUUGCACUGAUGAAAAGUCUUCCUGACGAUGAUCCACGUAGCUUCAAGAGCCAAGCCAACGUUCAUUGUGCUUAUUGUGAUGGUGCUUAUCACCAAGCAGGCUUUCCUGAUUUAGAACUUCAAAUUCACUUCUCGUGGCUCUUCUUUCCCUGGCAUAGAGCCUAUUUAUACUACUUCGAAAGAAUCUUGGGUAAACUGAUUGAUGAUCCAACUUUCGCUUUGCCUUUCUGGAAUUGGGAUGCCCCUGCCGGCAUGCAAAUACCAGCCAUUUUUACUGACCCCAAAUCACCACUUUAUGACCCCCUUCGCGAUGCGAAUCACCAACCUCCGACAUUGUUUGAUCUUAAUUACGCCACAGGAGAUGCGAAUCCAGACCCUGCAAAAGCAGAGGAAUUGUAUGCAAGCAAUCUUAACGUAAUGUACAGGCAAAUGGUGUCCGGUGCCACGAAGCCUACUCUCUUUUUUGGAAAACCAUAUCGUGCUGGUGAUGAUCCAAGUCCUGGAAUGGGUACAAUUGAGACCACCCCACACACUCAGAUUCACAUCUGGACCGGCGACCCCAAUCAAACUAAAGGGGAAAAUAUGGGCAAUUUCUACUCAGCAGGGAGAGAUCCCAUAUUUUAUUGUCAUCACUCGAACGUCGACCGAAUGUGGGACUUGUGGAAGAAAAUACCUGGAGGGAAGCGAAAGGAUAUCGAGGAUCCUGAUUGGCUUAAUUCAGAGUUUCUUUUCUGGGAUGAGAAUAAAGAGCUGGUUCGAGUAAAGGUUAAAGAUACUCUUGACACCAAGAAGCUAGGAUAUGGCUUUCAAGAUGUUCCUAUUCCUUGGCUGACAACUAGAGCAACACCAAAAUUAACAAGGCAGGAAAAAUCACGUCGUGCAGCUGAAAAAAGCGUUGUAUUAACACCAAUUAGUGCAUUCCCUGUUGUCUUGGAUAAAGUCAUAAGUGUGGAGGUUUCCAGGCCAAAGAAAUCAAGAAGCGCGACGGAGAAAGAAGAUGAAGAUGAAGUUUUAGUUAUUGAAGGGAUUGAGUAUGAAGAAAAUCAAUUAAUUAAGUUCGAUGUCCUCGUCAACGAUGAACCUGAUUCACCUGGUGGACCAGACAUGUCCGAGUUUGCAGGAAGUUUCGUCAAUGUGCCUCACAAGCAUGCAAAAAAAUCAAAGACAACUAUGGUAUUGGGGAUUACAGGAUUGUUGGAAGAUCUGGAAGCUGAAGGAGAUGAUACCCU
RNAcentral lists this long non-coding RNA (120858 nucleotides) under Populus trichocarpa (black cottonwood). Its description in RNAcentral is "long non-coding RNA (PTRI_LNC000390)". The stretch from base 73864 to 74019 matches the Rfam family "MIR2912 microRNA precursor family". The record is from RNAcentral. Lineage: Eukaryota; Viridiplantae; Streptophyta; Magnoliopsida; Malpighiales; Salicaceae.